AAGGUUCCUCAACCUUGCUGACACUGACAUAAGAAGUUUACCUGAGUCAACAUGCAAAUUGCUGAACUUGGAAAUUUUGAUAUUAAGAAAUUGUUCCCGUUUGAUAAAGCUUCCGCAGAAAAUGAGGAAUUUGAUCAAUUUACGUCAUCUCGAUAUAAGAGGUGCAAAGCUGCUAAAGGAGAUGCCAUUUGGAAUGAAAGAGUUGAAGAAGCUUCAAACAUUGUCCAAUUUUAUUGUAGGCAAGGGUGAAUCCGCAUCUGGUUUGGAAGAUUUAAAAAGUUUAAACCUUCUUUGUGAUGAACUCUGCAUUGCUGGAUUAGAGAAUGUAAAUAGUCCACAGAAUGCAAGAGAAGCCACAUUAUGUGAGAAGCACAAUCUUGAAGCAUUGACUCUAGAAUGGGGGUCUCAAUCUGACAGUCCUCGGGAUGCAGUACUAGAAGAGAAUGUACUUGACACUCUACAACCUCAUGAACGUAUAAAAGAGCUGGCAAUCAGGCACUAUGGUGGUGCAGGAUUUCCACUUUGGAUCGGACAUCCUUUGUUCUCCGAGAUGAAGGUCCUUAAAUUGGAGAACUGUGACAAGUGUGUAUCUCUGCCAUCGCUUGGCCUGAUGAAUUCACUUAAGCACCUUGCUGUUAAAGGGCUGAAGAAACUAAAAAGCAUAGAGUCUGCGGUCUUUCCAUCAUUGGAGACUCUAAGUUUUGAGAAUUUGCCAGAAUGGCAGCAUUGGAACACCAAUAUCAAAGGAAAUGAGCCUGUUGAAAUAUUUCCUCGUCUCCAAGAACUUUCCAUUGCAGAAUGUCCCCAACUCUCUGGAGAACUGCCUGAGCUCCUGCCUUCUUUGGAGACACUUGUUGUUAGUAAAUGUGGAAAGUUGGUAGUUCCAUUGUCAAGCUAUCCGAUGCUCUGCAGAUUAGAAGUUGAUGAGUGCAAAGAGCUAGUGUGCAGGACUCCAAUUAAUUUUGAGUUGAUAAAGUCUGUGACUAUUUCAAAUAAUUCAUUACUCAUGAAUGGAUGCAAGGAGAUGCUAUGCCAUGGUCAAGCUGGCUCUUCACUGCAGAAACCCAAGACUAUUAUGAAUGUUUUGGAGUUCGGAAAAUUAUUGAAGCCUGGAUUUCAGAUAUUAGAAACUUUGGUAAUUGGCAAUUCUGAACGGCUCAAGUCAUGGAGUACUUUUAUUGAACCAGGGCUACAUUUGCUCGCUUCCCCUGAAGAGGUAGCAAUUGAAGAAAGUUGUGUACGUCUUGUUUUGUUUCCAGAGAUCAAUUUCUUUCCCAGAAAUCUGCGCUCUCUUCGAAUUUGCAACAGCACUGCUUUCAAAUCCUUACCCGAGGAAAUGAUGGAAAACAAUUCACAACUCGAAAGGUUGUAUAUCAGAGAUUGCGACUCUCUAACAUUCAUCGCAAGACGGAGGCUACCAGCAUCUCUUAAAAGGCUUGAGAUAGAAAAUUGUGAGAAAUUGCAACGUCUGUUCGAUGAUGAAGAGGAUGCUUCUUCUUCUUCUCCUUCAUCCUUGUCUUCCCCAGUGAUGCUGCAACACCUGAGAAUAGAGAAUUGCCCAGAGCUCACCAGUUUAUCAUCGGGUGUCCAAUUCCUUGAGGCGCUUGAAUACCUCAAGAUAGAGCAUUGUCCAAAGCUGGAGUCAAUACCGGAUGGCCUGCCCAAUCUUAAAUGUUUACAGAGCAUUUAUAUACGGAAAUGUCCAAGUCUUGUUUCCUUCUUAGAAAGAGGGCUUCCCAACGCCAUUUCAAGUUUUUACAUUUGCAGAUGUGACAAGCUCGAAGCCUUGCCCAAUGAUAUGCACAAACUCAACUCUCUUCGAGAUUUAAGCAUACAUGGGUGUCCAAGUCUUGUUUCCUUCCCAGAAAGAGGGCUUCCCAACGCCAUUUCAAGGGUUUACGUUUGCAGAUGUGAGAAGCUCGAAGCCUUGCCCAAUGAUUUGCACAAACUCAACUCUCUUCGAGGUUUAAGCAUACAGAUGUGUCCAAAUCUUGUAUCGUUUCCAGAAGAAGGUUUUCCUACCAAUCUAACAUCACUUACAAUUAGAUAUUUCAAAAUGUAUAAGACACUCGUCCAGUGGGGGUUGCACAGGCUUACCUCUCUUAAACGCCUCUGGAUUGCUGUACGUGAUGAUGAAGCAGAGUGUUUUCCAGACGAGGAGAUAGGAAUGACGCUGCCCACCUCUCUCACCGCUCUGCACCUUACUGGAUUCGAAAAUUUGAUAUUUCUGUCUUCAAUGGGUUUUCAAAACCUCACCUCUCUUCAAUCUUUGAGGAUCGAGAAUUGCCCGAAUCUCACAUCAUUUCCAGAGGUGGGCCUUCCAUCCUCACUUUUGGAAUUACACAUUAGAGAUUGUCUAAAGCUUAAAAAAGCGUGCAAAAGAGAUCAAGGAAAAGAGUGGCCCAAAAUUGCUCACAUCCCUCGCGUUGAGAUAGACGAUAAAUUCAUAUACGAUCCAGAAGCAGAGUAGAUUCUAUUAUUAAGGUCAGUUGAUUUGUAUUAUCCGCUAUAACAAGCUCCUCCUUUUUUUUUCAAAUAAUAAUUUUGCAGUCACUCAUAUGAUUCCGUUUUCACAAGUCAGAUUGUAUGUUGAGGCUAUUUGCCUUUUAAUUAUAACACUUAUUGGAGUAUAAUAUUUUGGAGCAAGCAUACUUGAAAUUUCUGUCUUCAAUAUUUUGAUGCUUUUUUAAUUUUUGAUCUAGUAAAAAUACAUAGCCUUCACCGGCAGGAUUCUAGUCUUGGCUUUCACCUCUCUAACUCAUCGUCCCCACUGGGAUUCCAGAAAUUGAAAUUUCUGUCUUCAAUGGGUUUUCAAAGCCUCGCCUCUCUUCGAUUUUUAUGGAUCGCUUCGAUUUUUGCACAAAUCUCACAUCAUUUCCCGAGGUCGAGGAAAAGAGCGGCCCAAACUUGCUCGCAUCCCUUGGGUUAUGAUAGAUGGAAAAUUCAUAUACGAUCCAGAGUCAGAGGUGUUGAUUCUCUUAUUAAGGUCAACUGAUUUCUAUUAUCCACUCUGACAAUCUCCUAUUAGUGUUUUUCCUUUUCUUUUUCAAAAUUUUGCAGUUCUGUAUAAUUGAAAAUGCCACUCACUUGUUUCCUUUUUCGCAGGUCAAAUAGUGCGUUGAGGCUAUUUGCUUUCUAUCGGUGUUUGUUAAGGUAAUUAGUGCUCCAUCAUAGGUAUGACUGGAUUUUUUUCACUUCCGUAAAUAUUGCAUUUCUAUCGGUGUUUGACUGGAUUUUUUUCACUUCCGAAAAUAUUGCAUUUUAGACUGGCAAAUUUAGCAGUAAUUUUAAUACAAUUUUGUUGGUGCCUUUUGUUCCAGAAGCUAGAAAAAUGUGUAGUUUUCAGAUAAGGAGGCUUGUCAGUUCUCUAAUAAGAAUCCAAUAAUUUGCUUUUGCACGUCCAUCUAAUUUGUGGAUCCUUGCAUCAGAAUUUGAUCAAUCCAAAAGGAAUUGCUUUUAGACAGAGGAAGAAUAGCAGUACCUAGCCUAUGUCAUAGUGUAUGGAACCGCAAACCUGAAACUAUUAGAUUGAGGUAAAAAAAUCAUUGACCCCCUCACAUGUUAACUUCUUCUAGUUACUUUCGUUGGAAAAAAAAACAUUUAAGGAAUUUGCAAUUUGUUGUUGGUUAUGGUAUCUGAUGUUCUUUUCUGUUUUAGUGUUUGUAGAAUCUACUGUAUUAUGUGUUGGCAGUUGCCGUAUCUGAGGUAACUUGCCUUUAUUUGACAAAGAUUUAGAGAAGCAUCUCAAAACACUUAGUAAACUUGACAAACUUCAAGAUGCACUUGCCCCCACGCCUUAUUCUCCACAACGCAAAACUUGUGAGUACACCUAUGCCUGCAAUUAUUGUGAAGUGUUUUCAAUUUUGAUGCAGAGAAAUGGUUUCUUGAUGCAAAAUAUUAAACUGUUAAGAUUUAUCCUGCAGGCUUGUUAGAUGCUGUAUGCUCGAAAAGCCAACAACAUCCAGAACUAGAACUCCAAGACCAGCUUUGCGUUAAUUCAGUCAACUGUAAUAAUAAUGCAAAUGACACUAUAUCAAGCUGGACUUAGAGACUAGUCAGAUCAAUCAUCCAUUUCAUCAACGGUUAAUGUCAUGAUGGUGGCUAUCAGAGGAAACAAAAGAUGUGUCGGAAUCUAUACGAACAUUGAGAAGCAUGAGAGGAGCUUUGAUUUUGAGUAGGGUCAAUGAACUCAUGUUGGUAAGUGGUAAUUAAAGAAAUUUGUAAGCUUAGUAGAGUUUCAGUAUUUUCUGUUUGGAGUAUAGUUGAUAAGUUGACUCUGUUUAAUAAGCCCGAUUAUAGUAGCUGACUGUAUUAACCUUUUUUUUUUUGGUCUACUGUUGUUUUUGGUUUCGAUUAUUUUUUCAACAUUGGGUUGAUCUGUUGAAGAACAAGCUUGGGUUCGAUUCUGCUUUAACUACAAGGAAGAGCCAGACUUGGAUGCAGGCGUUAAGAUUUUAAUGGGUAAGAACAAAUGAAUGCUUUAACCAUGUUUCUCACUAAUUAAAAUGCACGGAUUGAAGGCAUCUGGGUUGAUCCUGACAAUGUGAUGGAAAUACUUCUCUAUUUUGUUCCUGUGUUCACAUAAUGUUUGUGGGAUAUGCUUCGACGAAGACCAGCAAUGAUGAGCAGACACCUGGUAAUAGGGUUCCUCGAGCAGGUAUAUCUUGUAAGAGUAUGGUAUUCAGGGGAGCAGGAGCAGGAAUAUCCUGCUCAUCCGCGAGCACGUCAUCCACGAGGCCAAUCUCCUGUUGGAAGCAUAAAGCCAUUCCUGCUACAUUCCUGCUAAGGGUUGAGUCGAGGAGACCCGGUCAACGACAGUUGGCGAGGCGUGCUCUCCAGUCCGAGAAUCAAGGCAUGAAGGCCACGCAACCACCCACGACUACGGAAAUGGGGCAUCCACUUUCGAGAGGUGGGAGGAUAACGAGCGCGAAUGGAAGAAGGCCCGAGUUCAGAGAUGGCCUAUAAAAAAGUAGCCAACAAAGGUAAAAGGGUUAGAAUUUUUGACAUUGUAACAGAAAAAAAGAAAGCUCUAAAGAACUGAGACUAAAAAAGAAAAGCCAUAAGAUUUGUGGCUAGUGUUCCCAGAACCUUCAUAUCUAACUUGAGCGUCGGAGGGUUUACGCCGGGAAAACAACCGGCGUACUCUGACCUAGUUCUGUGUACGCAGGAACUUCUGGAGAAGAAGCCUUACGAGGAGAGAUCCUAAUCGAGGUGGAGUUGAUCGAGCAAAGAUCCUGGUCGUAACAAGAGAGCAACCAGAAUCUCGCAUCAACAUUUUGGCGCCAUCUGUGGGGACUUGAUCAAAAAGCUUCUGUUGAUAGCAAGAAGAGGAGUGAAGCAAGUGGAAAAGCAAUGGAGGCAAGAAGAAAUAGUGCACAAUGGGGUGAUAUGAGGCUUAACGAUUCCGUGACGCUGAGGGAGAUAGCCAGUGAAGCACGGGAAAAAGCCAUGUUUGACCGGAUGGAACGGAUGGAAAAGCAGAUGCAGACCCUGACAACCAUCCUACAUGAGCUGCGGAGUGAACGAAGGGGAACCCAGGAGGAAAGGGUGAGAGGUGGUGGAGUGGCACCAGGUCAUGAUAGUACGAGGAGAAGUCAAACCACCGAGAGAUUUGGUGGUGAGAGAGGUAACCUAUCUCUACGGGGAGAAAUUCAUAGAGAGGAAGAGCAAUCCCCGGCAAGACAGAUUUUUGACGAGGACGACGGGGUGGCGAAUGCAGAGGAAACAGAGUUGAGGUAACACUUGCAUGAUGUAGAGCAAGAGCGGGAUCAAGUUGCAGCACGUGACCUUGGUCGUGUAGUGCAGCUGGAGGAGGAAGUGCGCAGACUAGCGCAGAUAAUUGAUGACAUGUAAGGAAGGAGCAGAGCUCCUGGUUGGAGGAUAAUGCUGGACGGAGAAUCACCGCUCGCAGCAGAGAUCAUGAGGGCAGUUAUUCCAAGAGAUUUCCGCCUCCCAGACCUUAGAUAUUCGGGACGAACUGAUCCGCUGGUGCACAUAGAGCGCUUCAACGACAUAACCGGGGUACAAGGAUUAUCUCAAUCCCAAAGGUGCAGGGUGUUCCCACUAUCCCUUGAGGGACGUGCACGCAAGUGGUACAGGAAACUUCCUCGGUGGAGCAUUAAAACCUUCGAGCAGAUGUGACAGGAAUUUGUAGAGCAGUUUCGUGGGGCAAUAGCACCAGAAGAUGACAUGAUGGAGUUGAAAAGCAUGAAGCAGGGGGAACAAGAAACCCUUCGGGAAUUCAUCAAGAGGUUUCAUCGUGCUGUCCUCGAUUUGGGAGCCUUCAACCAUUCUCAGGCAUUAAGGGGAUUGAAAGAAGGGGUGAAGAUAGGAAGGCUGUGGCACAACUUGAGAAGCCCAGUUAUUCAGAUGUAUACAGCCGCAUACGAGCAGGCUAAGAGGGACAUUGAGAUUGAAGAAGAAAAGGCAGCACGGAUUAAGACAGACCAGCUAGAAGGGUUGGGAAAGAAAGAGAAGAAAGCAUUACCAGGGAAUGGGCCGAUCAGGAGGAAGGACCACCAGGCCUCAGGUAGUGGUGCAAGAGGUCGAGUAACCGCUUACCAGCCUCAUCAGAGACCACCACAGUAUUAGCACAGCAGAGCACAACCUCCUCGUUCCCCAGUUAGAGAGCUUUGGAGAAGGCAUGACUCGACAUAUGGUGGUCUUCAUCAACACUCCCACGGUAGUAGAGGGAGCAGACCAGAAGCGCUGCCACCGCCUCUAACUCAGAAUGGAACAAAUAGAGAAAGGGUAGUGCACAUGAUCGACCAGAACCAGGACUAUGGGCAGUAUACUUCCUUGAAGAUGUCCCUGGACGAGGUGUACGAGGCCAUAAAGGACCGGGGAUUGAUGUACCUCCCUGCCCCAAUAACAAAGCUACCCAGCAGGACGGAUAGGGGACGCUAUUGUAAGUUCCAUGGCACUUAUGGCCAUACCACUGCAGAAUGCAGAGAUCUCAAGACCCAAGUUGAAGAUUUGGUGAGAAAUCGGUACCUGGAUGAGUUUAUAGAUGAGACUUUCCCGAUGGUGGCCUCGACAUGUGAAGGGGAGCAGAGUGAUAGAAACUUUAGGCGCGAGCAGCCUGCAGUAAGGGUAAUAGCUGGGGGCCCAACAUUGGCCGGAGAUUUCAACAGAUCGAGGAAGAAUUAUGCUAGAUACGCCAUAACUAGUAAAGAGUUACUCUUCAACACCCCAGCAGCCAAAUGAGUAAGAGUCAGACAAGUGCCAAUCAUGUGGACGGAUGAAGAUGAAGAAGAGAUUCUAUACCCCCACGAGGAUGCUUUAGUCAUCAAGGCUACUGUUGCAAGUAAGAAGUUUGACCGGAUACUGGUUGAUACAGGGAGCUCAGUUGAUGUGUUAUUUAAGUCAACUCUGGAGGAGAUGGGAAUAGCAGGCCGGAAGUUGGAGUACACCAAUACCUCCUUGAAAGGGUUUGGAGGAGGAAAGCUGGUCCCUCUGGGCGUGGUCGAGCUGCCUAUCACGAUUGGGAGCUCCCCGACAAAAAGGACUAUGAUACUGGACUUUGUGGUGGUGGAUGAAGAAUGUCCUUACCAGAUGAUCUUAGGUCGGCCAUUUCUGAGGAUGAGCAAAGCGGUACUGUCCAACCAUUAUCUGGCUCUCAAGUACCGAGUGAAUGUGGUAGUUGGAGUGGUACGAGGAGACCAGAGAAUAGCACGAAGCUGCUACUCCUUGGCAGCAAGGGAAGCAAUGCAAAUAACAUCCCUUGAUACCCGAGUGGAAAACAUGAAUGGCAGACAAGAACCUGUAGAGGAGCUGGAGACAGUAAGCCUGGGACCAGAGAAUCCGGGAAAAACGAUCAGAAUCGAGUCGAGACUUAAGGAAGAGCAGAAGCAGGAGUUGGUGAAAUGCUUACAGGCUCAUGCAGAUGUGUUUGCUUGGACACAUGAAGACAUGCCAGAGAUUGAUCCUGAGGUAGCAUGUCAUAAGCUGGCAAUAAAGAAAGGUGCUCGGGCAGUAAGGCAGAAAAGGAGGUGCUUCAACCAGGAGAGGUAUGAGGCUAUAAAUGGCGAGGUGGAGAAGCUCUUGAUAGCAGGGUUCAUUUGCGAAGUCGAUUAUCCUGAGUGGAUAUCGAAUGUGGUGUUGGUAAAGAAGGCAAAUGGCAAGUGGAGGAUGUGUGUAGAUUUCACAGAUCUCAAUAAGGCGUGCCCGAAAGACAGCUUUCCUUUAUCAAAGAUCGACCAGCUAGUAGAUUCAACGGCUGGACACGGCCUGCUUAGCUUCAUGGACGCGUUUUCGGGAUACAACCAAAUUCCCAUGUAUGAGCAGGAUGAGGAGAGCACGGCUUUUAUUACUAACCAGGGUUUAUUUUGUUACAGGGUAAUGCCAUUUGGUCUUAAAAAUACUGGGGCCACGUACCAGAGGCUGGUGAAUAAAGUCUUUAAGCCAUUGAUUAGGAGAACCAUGGAGGUGUACGUGGACGACAUGAUAACCAAGUUGAACAUCCCGAAGGAACAUGUCAGAUACCUCGAGGAGACAUUCGGGCUUUUGAGGAAGUAUAAGAUGAAGCUCAACCCGGAAAAGUGUGCUUUUGGGGUCGAGUCAGGGAAAUUCCUUGGAUUCAUGGUGAGCCAUAGGGGGAUCGAAGCAAAUCCCGAGAAGAUCCACGCGAUCGUGUAAAUGAGGUCACCUCGUAGCCUGAAGGAGAUGCAGAGCCUCACGGGGAGGUUGGCGGCAUUGAGCCGAUUCAUAUCCAAGGCUACUGAUAAGUGUCAGCCAUUCUUUCAAGUGAUAAGGAGGGGAAAGAAAAUAGAAUGGACCCCAGAAUGUGAAGAAGCCUUCCAGAACUUGAAGCAGUACUUGCAGCAAGCACCUCUACUGUCCACACCGAGGGAUGGGGACAAGUUAUUUUUGUAUUUGGCGGUAUUAGAUCGGGCCGCAAGUUUUGUUCUGGUGAGAGAGGAAGAAGGGGUUCAGUAUCCGAUAUACUACACCAGCAAGGCUCUGCUCGACCCUGAGACCAGAUACCCACCGUUGGAGAAAUGGGCAUUUGCCCUUGUGGUUGCUGCUCAGAAGCUGAGGCCAUACUUUCAAGCAUUCCCAGUCUCGGUAAUAACAAACCAGCCAUUGCGUCAAACUCUGCACAAGCCAGAUGCUUCUGGUCGGCUCGUCAAGUGGACUAUAGAGCUGAGCGAGUUCGACAUAGACUACAAACCCCGAGCAGCGAUAAAGGCUCAGGCGAUGGCCGAUUUCAUAGCAGAAUUCACAGAGCCCGAAAUAUGUUUGGACCAGCGAGAUGUAGCUACAGACAGCAACGAAGCCCGAGUAUGGCAGAUGUCUGUAGAUGGAUCAUCCGGGGAGUAGGGAUCAGGAGCAGGAAUUGUUUUGGAAGGCCCAGAAGGGGAGGAGAUCUCUUAUGCUGUAAAGUUAGAAUUCGCAGCCACAAAUAACCAAGCAGAGUACGAAGCCUUGAUAGCAGGUUUGGAAUUGGCUAAGGCAGUGAAAGCGGAUAGAGUGAAGAUCAGAACUGAUUCCCAGCUGGUCGCAAAUCAUGUCAGUGAAAGAUUUCAACCGAGAGAGGAGAAGAUGGAGCAGUACCUGAAGAUAGUCAGGCAUAUGAUGGGGAAAUUUGAAGCGGUUUAGGUGAUACAAAUCCCCAGGGAGCAGAAUAGUCGAGCAGAUAUUUUGACGAGGAUGGCAGCGGUAGCAGACCCAAAAAUGCCAAAGUCGAUCCCUCUGGAGGUGAAGUCCAGCCCGAGCAUCGAGCAUAAUUUGGGGGUGCUGCGGAUAGAACAAAAAUGCUCGUGGAUGGACCCGAUAAUUUCAUACCUUAGAGACGGGGUAUUACCACCAGAGAAGCUGCGAGCUCGGAAGAUUAGAGCCCAGGCCUCGAGAUACACGAUGAUUGACGGGGUAUUAUAUCGGCGAGGAUAUACGCUACCUUUCCUUCGGUGUUUGGAUGAGGACGACGCGGACUACGUACUGAGAGAAGUACAUGAAGGAAUUUGCGAAAAUCACUAUGGUGGGAGGUCCCUGGCUCACAAGGUUCUAAGGCAGGGAUAUUUCUGGCCGACAAUGCACCAGGAUGCGCAAGAGAAGACCAGGAGCUGUGUAAGCUGCCAGAGUUUUGUGAGUUUCUCUAACCAACCACCAGAGAAGCUCACCUCUAUGGCCCCCCCCUGGCCAUUUGCUCAAUGGGGAAUUGAUCUGAUCGGCCCGUUGCCAAAGGGAUGAGGAGCAGCAACACAUGCAAUAGUUGCGAUAGACUACUUCACGAAGUGGAUAGAGGUAGAAGCCCUUAGUAGGAUCACAGAGAAGAAAACAACAGACUUUGUAUGGAGAAACCUGGUCUGUCGAUACGGGAUCCCUUAUGCCUUGGUAACGGAUAAUGGCAGGCAGUUUGAUAAUCACAGCUUCAGGGAUUUCUGCCAGAACCUCGAGAUAGAGUUGAAGUAUUGCUCGCCUGCUCACCCUCAAUCUAAUGGACAAGUAGAAGCAGCCAACAAGACCAUCAAGAGGCUUUUGAAAACCAGGCUUGGAGCAAAAAAGGGUGCAUGGGUUGAUGAGCUGUCAGGUGUCCUAUGGGUAUACAAGACAACCCACAAAACAGCAACUGGGGAGACACCGUUCGCCUUGGCUUUCGAACAUGAAGCGGUCGUACCAGCCGAGAUAGGAACGACCACGCACCGGACAGAUCAUUUCAAUGAGCAGGAGAACGACGAGCAGAUGUGUUUGAAUCUAGAUCUGCUAAUGGAAAAGAGGGAGCAAGCAGCCGAGCGAUCAACCAUUUGCCAGCAGAGGGUUGCUCGGUAUUAUAACCAGAAGGUGAAUGUACGGCAGUUCAAGGUCGGAGAUUGGGUGUUAAGAAGAGUGAAUCAGAAUACGAAAGACUCGGCUCAGGGAGUACUUGGACCAAAUUGGGAGGGGCCAUAUAGGGUCAAGCAGCUAGUUGGACCCGGAGCUUACAAGCUGGUUCGCUCGGAUGGCCACGAGGUGAAACGCCCAUGGAACGCAACACACCUCAGGAAAUAUUUCCAGUAAGAAUUGUCCAUGUUUUCAAGUUAUUUCUGUUCGUGUUUGUUGUUAUUUAUUUUAUGUCAAAACAAUUUCAUGUAAGUUGAAUCCUGCAAUUAAUGAAACGUCGAGGAAUUUCAUUCACUUGAAACUGUGAAAAAUCUACUAAGGCAUGCUAAGGCUCACUGAGUCUCAAAGCCUGUUUAUGGAAAGACCAGAAGCCAAGUGUGCCAGGAUCUGCUCGACCACGCGAAGGCCAGCAGAAUCCCAAAUCAUUGAAGAAUCUACCAAGGCAUGCAAAGGCUCGUCAAGUCUCAAAGCCUGUUUAUGGCGAGACCAGAAGCCAAGUGUGCCAGGAUCUGCUCAACCACGCGAAGGCGAGCAGAAUCCCAAUCAUUGAAGAAUCUACCAAGGCAUGCAAAGGCUCGUCAAGUCUCAAAGCCUGUUUAUGGCGAGACCAGAAGCCAAGUGUGCUAGGAUCUGCUCAACCACGCGAAGGCGAGCAGAAUCCCAAUCAUUGAAGAAUCUACUAAGGCAUGCUAAGGCUCACCGAGUCUCAAAGUCUGUUUAUGGCGAGACCAGAAGCCAAGUGUGCUAGGAUCUGCUCGACCACACGAAGGCGAGCAGAAUCCUAAAUCAUUGAAGAAUCUACCAAGGCAUGCAAAGGCUCGUCAAGUCUCAAAGCCUGUUUAUGGCGAGACCAGAAGCCAAGCAUGCCGGGAUCUGCUCGGCCAAGUAAAGGCCAGCAGACUCCCCAACAUCAAAAAAUUAUCCAAGGCAUGCAAAGGCUCGUCAAGUCUCAAAGCCUGUUUAUGGCGAUACCGGAAGCCAAGCAUGCCGGGAUCUGCUCGACCAAGUGAAGGCUAGCAGACUCCCCAACACUGGGAAAAUUAUCUAAGGCAUGAGAAAGCUCGUCAACUCUCAAGGCCUCCUCUGUGACGAGGUCAGAAGCCAAAUGGAUAAAUAAAUUAAAAUUCCAAUGCGAGGAAGCAAAUAAGAACAAUUUUAUUAAGCUCUUAAAAGUCUGCAAUUCUGUUACAUACAACGCUAAAAAAGCAAUUACAACGCAAGACAAGUUCAGGAGGACGGCGGAUCAGUAAACCGAGUAGCUUCGGUUGGCUGGUCCACUUCAGGGGUCGAGGGGGUGUCACCAGUUGCGUCCGGGGGGGUACUCGCCUCACCAACGUUAGCAGGGACUGCAUGAGGAGGAGAGUUUUCCUCCUCAACCACGAUUGGCUCCACCCCUUCGGCAUCCUCCUUUGCCGCCUCCUCGUCCAUGUGUUGAACAAUACUAGCCGCAAGGUCAUCCAUCUUCAGAUCAGGAUGCUGCUUCCCGAGGACGGCCAUGAUGCAACGAUAGGAAUGCCGAAGUCCCUGGUCGUACUGGUUGUCGGCUUCCUUCUCCAAGUUCUUGACCUGAACUCGGUGGGAAUCGCGGAGAGAUUCGAGCUGAGCCUCGUACAUAAUUUUCUGCCUUUGCAGAUCCUCCUUGACCUUAGUCAGCUCUUCCUCGAGAGUAACGGCCUAUGCUUGAGCAAGAGAUUCUUGCUCUAUCAGCUUCAGAUUCUCGAGAUUCAAGUCUCCCGCUUUCUUCUCGGCAGCAUCGGCUCUGGUCGUCGCCGAUUGAAUGUCCUCCUUCAUCUUCCGGUCGUAACGGCCAACCUUGGCCUUAUAGUAAGUGGUCAUGCAGCUGAGGUGGAAAGCGCUAUACUGCAUGGCCCCCACCAGCUCACCUAGGGUGCAGCCAUCAAAGUCCUCCAGGUCCUUCUUGCUCACGAGUUUAAAUAGCUCAUUGAGAUAGGGGACCAAGUGUUCUGCUCGGUGGUCAGAUAAACGAGAUCUAGGCCCGACAGGAGGAGAAGAGAAAGCAGGAUCAGUGGCAGCUCCACUAGUCUCUCUGACUUUGGCAGGAGGAGGAGGAGGUAGAGUCUGCAAGGGAGCAACCUGUUGCACGAUGUUCACCUGCUUUGCAGUAGGAGCAUCUUUAUUCUGGUCCUGCUUGGUCGUUGGAGGUCGAGAACGUUUCCUAGUCAGAGCCCCAAUCACAGCAUCCUCCAUCUUAUGGCCGGGAGGCACCAAACAAGACUCGAGCAGGUUAUAAGUAGUUAUCAGCUCUCGGCUCGAGCAGGAAUUGGCUAGUACAGCCUCGACCCGUUUGAGCUGGUCAGGUUUGAGCGGGAAGUAAACACCCCAAGAACCUGCAACACAAAUAGACACUUGGUUAGAGACAAACCAGUAUAGCGAGAACAAUUAUGGAUACAAGACAUCUAAAGCGAGCAGGCAACCUGAGAUCACGAAACGGGGUGGGACGCAAGAAUCCUUCCCGUCAAUUUGUGCAACUUGACCCCAGGAACCCCCAGCAAAAAAGAAUUUUUUCUUCCAAUUCCCACCACCACCAGUAAGAAGAUCGGUUAUGGGUUUCCUGGUCUUGGUACUAGAUUGGAAGUAGUACCAGCCGGCAUCUUUGGGGCUGCUCUUUAGCUGGUACAGGUGCUUCACCUCAUCAACUGUGGGCUUGCUUUGGCAACAUCUGUCCCACAAUAUGAACAGACCAGAGAGUACUUUCCACCCGUUGGGGUUCAGCUGACCAGGAGCUAGAUUUAGCCCGUUAAGCAUCCGGGCAAAGUAGGGUUGCAAGGGACACCUCAGCCCAUACUUAAAGCUCUCUAGAAACAGGGUAACGUAUCCCCUAGGAGGCCGGCUAGGGGUAUCCUUCUUUCCUGGGAUCUUAAGAGGUAUUUCACCAGGAAUACUAUACUUAAGCCGGAGGUCAGUGAGCUCGUCAAACGUGGUCGUGCACGUCAUGUAAUCAAUAGCGUAAUCCCGCGAUAGGGCUCUACCUCCUACUGUACUCUGCCCUUCUGGUCGCGAUGUUCAUAAUGGGGACACCUCACCAGAAUCACCUCUUCGAUCCUCACUCAGGGUGUUUUCCGAGCCAGAAAACCCCUCCUCACCGCUAUUUCUGCUCGAGGAGGUUGUUUGGGGGGACAUCCUCCUAGCGCUAGUACCAACACUAGGUCUAAUGGGUUCUAAGGGGAUCCCGGGGUCAAAAGCAGGAUCGGUGAGCAGACUAGGCAGGAAGUCCAACUCAUUGUCAUCAACCUCAAUGACCUUCUCUUUACCUUUCGACAUUCCCUAAGCUAUAACUAGAACACCACCACCAACUACUACCCAAGCAAAGCAAAGAGAAAAGAAAUUAUCUACAGCUAUCCGAGACUGAGGAGAUAGAAGUAAUACCUGAAAUAGUGGUUCAGUCGGAGAAGGACAGGGAUGGAGGCCUUUAUGCCGGAACUUCUUUGCCAGGGAGACAGGGACAGAGACGGGGUAAAUGACGAAUUUUCCUUUGGAGAGGUUUUAGGUUUUCCUAAUGGAGAAUAAACUCUUGGGUUGCCAGCAUUUAACAGCACCAAAUCCCGAGGGUCUCGUAACCGUUGGUUUGAAAUUCAAAUAGAGAGGUAGAUUUCUGUCACAUCACCUCGUCCGCAAUUAAAUGCGACACAACUCUUGGCAGCCUUUUUCCUAUCCCGCGCAAGCAAGAGCUGUCAAGUUUCUACUAUCGGCUUACUACGUUACCCAACACCAGAAACUGGGGGAUCGGUGUUUGUGGGAUAUGCUUCGACGAAGACCAGCAAUGAUGAGCAGACAUCUGGUAAUAGGGUUCCUCGAGCAGGUAUAUCUUGUAAGAGUCUAGUAUCCGGGGGAGCAGGAGCAGGAAUAUCCUGCUCAUCCGCGAGCACGUCAUCCACGAGGCCAAUCUCCUGUUGGAAGCAUAAAGUCAUUCAUGCUACAUUCCUGCUAAGGGUUGAGUCGAGGAGACCCGGUCAACGACAGUUGGCGAGAUGUGCUCUCCAGUCCGAGAAUCAAGGCACGAAGGCCACGCAACCACCCACGACUACGGAAAUGGGGCAUCCACUUUCGAGAGGUGGGAGGAUAACAAGCGCGAAUGGAGGGAAGGCCCGAGUUUAGAGGUGGCCUAUAAAAAGGUAGCCAACGAAGGUAAAAGGGUUAGAAUUUUUGACAUUGUAACAGAAAAAAAGAAAGCUCUAAAGAACUGAGACUAAAAAAGAAAAGCCAUAAGAUUUGUGGUUAGCGUUCCCAGAACCUUCAUAUCUGACUAGAGCGUCGGAGGGUUUACGCCGGGAAAAGAACCGGCAUACUCUGACCUGCUUCUGUAUACGCAGGAACUUCUGGAGAAGAAGCCUUACAAGGAGAGAUCCUGAUCGAGGUGGAGUUGAUCGAGCAGAGAUCCUGGUCGUAACAAGAGAGCAACCAGAAUCUCACAUCAACACAUAAUAUAAUAUAUAUAUAUAUAUAUAGAAAGCUGAAUUUAUUUAUUUACGCGCAUGUGCUAGUGCCCACUGGCAUCCACUUGAUUUGUAUCGGUUAAAUGUAUCAUACAAUACAAUAUUAGCUUGACUGUAGAAAAGAGGAGAACGAGUUGGUGUUGGUCUGAACUCUUAUCUUUGAAUCUCACGUGACUCCACUACUUUUUACUUGUUCUGUAGUCCAUUGUCGGCAGCUCAUACAAGGUCUUUUAGCUUUUUAAAAAGUUUUAGCUUUUUGGAUAAAUUACUGAUAAUUGUAAUCUAUAAAUAAUGAAAGGAAUUAAUUAAAUAUUUGGUAAAUUUUAUUUUUUAAAGUGUUAUGAGUUUUAAAAACGGUUGUAUGUAUAUAAAUUUAUUUACACAUAUAUUUAUAAAUAUGACUAUAUAAUAAUAUUUUAUGUGUACAUAUAAUAAUUGAUAACUAAAAUAAAUAUUUUUAUUUUAUUAAUGGUUUUUUCGUCUCAAUGUAGUUGGUAAUAAUAAUCUCUUGAGAUGUAACGAUUUUAUUUCCUAACUGAAUAAGGAAAAUUUUAGAUUUUUAUAAUAAAUGUUAAGAUAUAUUUAGAAUUACAUUAAGUAUGAAAUAAUCCUCAAAAUUAGAUUUUGAAAAGCAAUUCUUUUCUUGCCUUUAAAAAUAUGUCAUAUGAUGAGAUGAUUUUACUAAAAGUGAUUUUUUUUUAAAAAAUUACUAAACAUCAAAAUUAACUCUUAACUUUUUAAAAUCAUUUCUAAUCUUCUCAUCCUAAGUUCUCUAUUAUUUUGUACAAAAUCCAAGGUUUUGACUUUAAUAAAAUGCCCACUCAAAAAGAAAUUAUUUUCUAAUUAAGAUUUGUUGUUAAUGUAUAACUCGAAGUAAUAUUAGAUAUUUGUAAUUUUAUUUCAAAAAAUUUAUUCAAAUGAUAUGGCAAGCAAUGAACAAUAGUUGAUAGCAAUUUUUUUUUCUUUAACAAUGUUCAAAUCAAUCAGUUGCAUUAUCUCACCAUUUUUAUGAUGCCAUGUUAUUUUAAACGAUUUUUUUUUUAUAUAAAACAUACGACGUGUUAACAUCAUUUGCAUAACUUGACCUUUUUUUUUUUCCCUACAAAUAGUAAGUCAAAUUUACUCACCCUAUUUCUACCUAAAAUCUACCUAAAACUCAUGCAUCACUGCAAAACAAAUCCAAAGAUUGCGGUGCGUUUUUCUUGGUCAGAAAUCAAUAAUUAGGUCAAGUACUACUACUAAGCGUGCACAAUUAAUUCUAAAAUACGGUGAUCAAAAUCAUACUUUACGCAAGAGGAUCAGGGCUAAACUUCAAUUAGGCAUUAUUCAUCCAAAAAUCAUUGACUCGGCAUUCUUUGCAAGUUGUAGCAUGGGACAGCUAAGAUAAUUAGCAAAUGAUAUGGACCAUAUGCACCAAUACAUUUGUGACAUGUGAAUCUUGGCAUUAAAGGAAAGGCAAUGUGUCAAAAUUUAAUAGAGCCCAACUCUUCAUUGAAUGAUUAUCAGAUCCAAUACGCAUCCUUUGAUUGGAUUAUUUUAAGUCAAUUAUUGGUGGAUUGGGGCCCACUUGACUCUACCAAAUCGGGCUCGACCAUAUCACCUAUUAACGGCCACCUGUCCUUAUCAUAAAUAGCAAAUGUCACUUGUUUUAUUUUCUAUUUUACCAAAGUAAAGUCACUACGAACGCAAAAGAAAGUGACCUCAAUUUUGGGGGUCAUGAACUUUGGAUUAUUAUGGACACAAGAGACAAGCGCAAUGUUUCUCAUUUAUCACUGGAUAAGAUUUAAGUUAUCAACCCAAUAUUAAUAAAUUCUGCUUGAAAAGUAAAGUUUGAAGCUUCAUUUUGCGAAUAUUCAAUGGUUAACAUUUAAGUAAUUAACCUGAUAUUAAUCCAAUUAAACUUUUUAUGUAAUCCAAGUCAAAAAUAUAUUGAUAAACCUAAACUAAUCUAAUUGGACAUAUUAUUUCAACUUGAAAAGGUGAAUUUAUCAUUUUUCAAUUAAUUUUGAAUCAAGCUAUGUAAAAUAUAAGCUUAUUAAAGACAUAUUUGAAAAUUUCAAAUUGAAUUAUUUGACAAUUACAUUUCAACUAAGUUGUACUGCUAAUUAACUUCCUCAACUUAAAAUGUAUUUUUCUCAAUUAAUUCGUAACAAAGAAUGUUAGAUGUUUUGUUCGAAUGAUAACAUUCAACAUCCUUAUUCUUUAUGAUUAUUGCAUAAAAACAUAUUUUAUCCAUUUACGUCACAUAUGUUCCUAAAUUGUAUAAGAAAAUCACCAAAUUUACUCUUGUAAGUUACUAUAUCAAUGAACAUGAAACUAACUAAUCAUUAAAGUCUCGGAAUGACAUCAUGAGGGGGAUUCCGUUACAUUUAUUGAUAGGAUUAGAUAUAUGUCUUCCCAAAUAUUAGUAGGAGUAAUUAAACAGAUGCAGCUAUUAAAAAUAUGGAAUUACUUAUCUCGUCAAUAACUAACGAUAUUUUUUAUCUAUGCUCGAUAGGCGUCUGAGCUAUAUUAUAAAUUGUAAUAUUUGUAGAUUGUAACAAUUAUAAAAAAAAAAAAAAAAAGCUCCCUAAGACUAAACGACAACAGGACUGUUUUGAAAUAGAUAGAUAAAGUAUGCCCUUAUUUGAGAAAAGGUAAAACACUAGGGAUCUAAAUGUUAUUAUAAUCCCAUGCACAAAAAUGCUAGAAAAAACUAAUAACAACUAACCGAAAAUCCCAGGCGUCAUAUUCCUUUUUACCGCGUUUUAAAAUGCACAACAAUGAUAUUCUCACAAAAGUGGGUACAAAGGUUUGUACAACCAGGGUCUCUUUGUAAAUUAUUUCAAAGUUUUGUGUUAUUUUUUAAAUUUAUGAUUUUUAUUAAUUUUGAUUCAUUGGAGCAUUUCUCCUUCCAUCUCUUCUACAUCUAUUUUUAAAGUUUUUUAAAAUUUUGACUAUAUCUUUAUAGAGUUCUAAAUGAUUAUCUUUUUUCAUAAAAAUCUAUACUUAAAUUAAUCCUUGAAUUUAUAAUCAUUUAUCUUCUUUGAGUCAUAGACCAAAUUUUUUCUUCUAACAUAUCUAUGUAUACUCCUAAGCUAUCUUCAUGGCUUAGAUACAUUCUAUCAAAGCUUUCACAUAUAAAUUGUGAUUUGAGAUCUGCAUCUUGAAUCAACAUCUCUAUAUUAUCCAUUGUUUUACGCUCGAGGGUAGUUAAAAUUGAUUCUAUUAAUGCUAUCGUGUUUCUCCUUCAAAAGAAUCAAAUAUUUCUGGAUUAUUAAUUUCUUUUAUUUCUUCAUACAAGCAUUCGUUUGCCGUUAAUCUUGUUUUAAUCAAGGAAGCUGUAUAAGCAACUUGAUAUUCUUGACAAAAGUCUAAAUGAUCUAUUGCAUCUAGAAAUUUAUUAAUAGAUCUUUCCAUUUUUAAGAAAUUGAGUUACUCUUAUCACUUCCAAUCUUUUAACAUCUCAGAAAACAAACAAGGCCCAGCAUGCUUCCGUUUGUAGCUCAAAUAAAAGAAGAGUUCAGAUCACUAACCAAUGUACUAUCUCUCGGAAGUCUGAGAUAGACUCACUAAUUGCCUCUAACCAUAGAGAGGUCCAUGGUCAGCACCACCAUAGCUCCACACAUCAUACAAGAUCACUUCAACGACUGUUCCACAUGGCCUAAUGCAACACACAGCAGACUGGCCUAAUAGGAUAUGUCUAAGUGAUUUUCUUGCAGUUGUCUCUGGAAGAGUGCUUAGUAAUAGAAAAUCUUCUUCGUUUAGUACAAGUAUUGGUAUGUAAGGUUCUUGAUUAAUUUUCAAAAGAUGUAUAAGUGUUAGAGUGCAAUUUAUGCACUAGUUUUGCAUUAUUUACUUCCCUUAAUAUCAAUGUUUUGCACUUAAUAAUAGUGAUUUACUUGUGUUUUACUUUUGUAGGUCCAAUUCUAUUGAUUGAUGAUAAAAUUGAGCUAUAAGAUGAUGUUUAAGGAUGAUUGUUCUCUUGGAGAAAUUAUGAGCGUCAGAAGAACUUUGUUGAUAAGGCGUGGGCGCGUGCUGUCAAUUGCGGACCUGCAGUUUUUAGUUUAACGUGUUUUGUAUUUUUGGUUAUUUUUGUAAUUACGAAUUUAAUAUUUCAGAUAUUAAGAUUUUAUUUUAAAUAGAAUUCUAAAAGAGAAGAGAGAGAGAGUAUUUAAGGGAGGAAUCUAUUGUGAAAAAGGGGGAUUUUGGAUUGGAGAAAGAAAGAAACCCUAGAUCUAAUUUUUCUCUUCUCUCUAUGAAGAACUAAACUUAUUUUUCUAGUUGAAGGUUAACGAAGCUUUGAUUCAUCACUACUGUGAGAUCUUUCUUAUGCUUUAAUUGUUUUAUUACUUUUUGGAUAUUUGUUUAUUCUCUGAAUUUUUUUCAUGAUUAUGUUUGUUAAUUAGGUAAUUGGCCACUAUUUAAUUAUCAACUUAAUCUAUUGUCAAUUAAAGGAUUCAUCGUAUGAAGAAUUUAAUAUUUGUGACAAAUAACAUAGCAGAGAGUUGUGUUGUGAGAAUAAACAAUCUAAUUUAAAUGAAUCAUCAUAUGUGUUGAUUAGGAUUUGGGUCUCUCUGGUUUUUCAGGCUGUCAAUGAAUUAAAUCCUAUGAUCGUAUCUAGGGUUGUCCAUUGAUUAGGGAAAUAACCAACGGUCGUACCUUGGUUAUCGACUAGUAAAGGAGAGAUUGGCUAUUAGAGGGUCUCAAUAGCUAUAACCGGUCUAUUCAUAAGUAAUAAUAAUCUAUAUUUGAAUCAAUGAUCAGUAGUAGAAUCAAGCUGAGUUAAUUCCUUCAACCAGAGCUUUCUCCAAUUUGAAUUACAACUUUAAUUUGCAUUCUUGUUAUUUUGAUUUGAUUUUUAUUAUUGUCAACAAUUCCCCCAUUUUACGUUUUACGUUUCAAAAGGAUUUAAAUAAUUACCGAUCUCUGUGGACACGACCCUGCUCAAUCACUAUACACAAUUUAUUUAGAGUAGGAAUUUAUUUUUGUUCGCUUCGACACCACUGCUGCCUCGCCAACUAUUCCUUCUACAUCCGCACCACCUUUGAGCAUUCAGUUAGAGAAAAUAGAGCACAAGCUGAACAAGAUGGAGCAGAAUUUGGCCGCAUACUUCGAGAGUGUGGGUUUUACCCCACCAUUUCCGCCAAGCCCAUAGACGUUAUGUGGAUCAAAGCUCACAAUUCAGGGAAGUUUCUUUUUGCCCUUAAUCUUUUAUCCUUACGCUUUAAUUUUUAUGUGAGCUUUAAUUAUCUUACAUUGGGGACAAUGUAAGUUCUUGGUGUGGGGGAGGGAUUUUUGCAUUAUUGAUGUCUGGAAGUAUUAUUUUCACUCUACUCAUCUAUUUUCAUUCUACUCGUCCUUAAAUGAUUUUGGAGUUAGUAUGCUUCAUAUAUUAUUAUUUUUCUUUUCUUUUCUUUCUCACUACUUUUUUCCCAUCUAUCUCAAAUUAUUUACAUCUAUUUUUAUUCUAUCAUACUCUUUCAUCACUCACAUUUUAUCUUUCACUUUUCAUAUUACUACAUACAUCUUUCUCACUUCUUAUCAUUUUUACCUUUCCUUCACUCAUACCUUCUUCUCAUUCUACACCACUAUUGAUGGUUGAUUCAUUUGAAGAGUGUACAUGAUUUGAUGGCAAAUUUACCAACUUUGUGAGGAUUUGAGCCUAUGAGCAACCACUUUGCUCUAAUUAUUUUUAUUAUGUGAAUAUCAAUCUUAGUUUGUUUAUUCUAGAACUUGCUUUGUUAUGCAUGUUGAAGCCACAUUACGGGAUUUUUUGCAUUAAAAUGAUAAGGGCAAACCAUUUACCAUUUUUCUAUUCUCGCAUUUUCUUUUUUUUUUCUCUACCCGAAGACCUUGAUUUACUAUCUUUGUUUGAGCCUUAACCAUUACCCAUCUAAUUCUCUCCGUCUACUUAACCAUUUUUCUUCUUUUUUAGCCUCAAUUUAAGGAGAUUUUUGGACUCAUUGUGUGGAUAUAUUUUGUAUAUAUUUUGUUGCUUUUUCUACCUUGUAUUAAAGUUUCUCAAUUAGAUCAACAAGCAUUAUGCUUGAAUUAAAUUGUGCAAGGUUCAUUUCUUUUGUUUGAUUCAAAAAAAAAAAAGAAAGAAAAAGAAAAGGAAAAAGAAAAAAAAAGAAAAAAAAAGAAAAAUCGAAAAAAAAAGAAAAAGAAGAAAAAAAAAUGUUUACAUUCUUGGUGACUUGAGUAGAAAUAAGCGUUUCGAUAUCAUAAAGUUCGUUCAAUGAGUUCAUUCUUCUCAUUUUGAUCUCUUUUUCUUUCAUAAACCUUUCUUUUUCAUUUAACCCAUUUAACCCCGUUACAACCUUUUAAGACCCUUAGAUUUUUGUAUUUAAUUCAUGUUUUGUGGAUUGAAAUGUGAUAUAUAAGCAAGCUUAUGGUAAUAGCAUUCUUUGAUUUGAUUUGAGUGAAUAAAUGACACCCUAAACACUUUGAGUGCAUGGAGUGAAGUCAAUGAGAGGGCUAUUAAAUCUUGUUGCACUUGAAUUUUGAAUGGAUCUUCUUGGUGGUUGAAUGUUCUUAUUCUAUCUUAUGAGAUUCUAUGCUUUAAAAUCCUUGUCUCUCGAAUGUUGAUCGACUUAAUUUCUUGAGGUAUACUUGCUUAAAAUUGUUUUUGGAUGAGUUGAGAUGAGAAUUGAGUGGAGAUUUGGGAUUAGUCUUGAGUUAUAUGCUUGAGGACAAGCAUCAUCUUGGUGUGGGGGAAUUUGUUAGAGUGCAAUUUAAGCACUAGUUUUGCAUUGUUUACUUCCCUUAAUAUCGAUGUUUUGCACUUAAUAAUAGUGAUUUACUUGUGUUUUACUUUUGUAGGUGCAAUUCUAUUGAUUGGUGAUAAAUUAAGCUACAAGAUGAUAUUUAAUGAUGAUUGUUCUCUUGGAGAAAUUAUGAGCGUCAGAAGAACUUUGUUGAUAAGGUGUGGGCGCGUGCUGUCAACUACGGACCUGCAGUUUUUAGUUUAACGUGUUUUGUAUUUUUGGUUAUUUUUGUAAUUACGAAUUUAAUAUUUCAGAUAUUAGUAUUUUAUUUUAAAUAGAACUCUAAAAGAGAAGAGAGAGAGAGUAUUUAAGGGAGGAAUCUAUUGUGAAAAAGGGGGAUUUUAGAUUGGAGAAAAAGAAAGAAACCCUAGAUCUAAAUUUUUCUCUUCUCUCUAUGAAGAACUAAACCUAUUUUUCUGGUUGAAGGUUAAUGAAGCUUUGAUUCAUCACUACUGUGAGAUCUUUCUUGUGCUUUAAUUGUUUUAUUACUUUUUGGGUAUUUGUUUAUUCUCUGAAUUAUUUUCAUGAUUAUGUUUGUUAAUGAGGUAAUUGGCCACUAUUUAAUUAUCAACUUAAUCUAUUGUCAAUUAAGGGAUUCAUCGUAUGAAGAUUUUAAUGUUUGUGACAAAUAACAUAGCAGUGAGUUGUGUUAUGAGAAUAAAUAAUCUAAUUUAAAUGAAUCAUCAUAUGUGUUGAUUAGGAUUUGGGUCUCUCUGGUUUUUCAUGUAUAAGAUAUCUAGAAGAUGAUAAUUUCACUCAAAAGAGUUUUAUUUAUUUCAUUAUUGAAAUUGUUUACAGAGGAAGGUUACAGAGAAUACAGAGGUAAUUGAAGGUUAGACAUAUGAUAUCUUUCCUUUCUUACAUGCUUUCAUUUAUAUAUCUCUCUAGAGAUAAGAUUAUCUCUUUUACAUAACACAUGUUCGAUCCUUGUGGUGGAAUCUCGAUUUCCUUUUGAUAAGGUGACCCCUUCUUCAUCAUUGAAGCCAGUAGUUGUCUUCUUUUCAUGUUGCCAGACAACCUUUAUCUUGUUCUGGUGAGCUUUUUCUUUUUUGGAAUCUCUCUUUUUGAAUUAUUGAUACUUUUUGGAUAACACCUUUUAUCUUUUUCAGUAGUCCCCGUCACAUGCCAAUUAUCAUAUCUUCAUCUAUAGACAUGUCUUCCCCACUAGAAUCUCCUUUUUUUUUUAAUCCUUCGUAGUAGUAGCCACAUGAUGACUGAUGCUUUAGCACCUUAUAUAUCUCGUGGUGUGUCAGCAAGGUGGAUUCCACGAGAUUUUCGAAUAUGCCCUUUUUCUUUUUUAAUAUGGUAUGUCUGGCUAAAAUAUUUUCUUUUCUACUCAUAGAAAAGAUUAUAUGCUCUUUUGUGGCUUCAUGGAGCCAUAUUUUCUCCUUGUUUAUCCUCUCAAGAGAUUCAUAGAGGACUUUCAUUUCUAUGGCCCUUUUGUUGGUGAGAGCUUUUGGCUCGAAUAAUUCAGGAUCAUAAUCAUUGUAGACUUGAUGUAAAUCAAUGGUUGGACUAACUUUUCUACUGCUAAUUCCAACUUGAAUCAAGUGCUGUGCUGGAUACCACUUGUUACCAUAGUAUUCAGGGCAAGCAGUGAGGAUCUUGACAAAAAUCACUUCUUUUGUUUUAGACAUGAUUUUGAGAUCAUUAAUAGCCUCUGCAACUUUUGUGGGAAGCUCUUUUAUUUCUCUGCAAUCAUCACUUACAUAAACAAGGUUAAGAAAACCAUAUUCAAACAUGUCUUUUAUUAGUUUUAGAUUAGCUCCUGGCACAACGUUUAUCAUUGGAUAUAACCCUAAAUGAUCUAGUAUAAUAGUCUGGCUAGGACGAAUCCCAUAGGCUAUUUUACCAAUUCUUUUAUAAUCAUAAGCGUAGUCGCUUCCUAUUGGUAUUUUAACCAUAGGGACAGAUUGUCUGCUUUUAUCAUAUUGGGGUCUUAGGCUUACUGAAGAUCCCUGAGAUUCUUUUUUCUUUGUACAUUGAUCUUUAAGAUCAUUGAUUGUGAGAUAUCUCUCUGAAUGUGUGACCAUUGAUCUUUAAAAUACCAAUAGGAAGAGUAGUCGCUUCCUAUUGGUAUUUUAACCAUAGGGACAGACUGUCCGCUUUUAUCAUAUUGGGGUCUUAGGCUUACUGAAGAUCCCUGAGAUUCGUCUUUCUUUGUACAUUGAUCUUUAAGAUCAUUGAUUGUGAGAUAUCUCUCUGGAUGUGUGACCUUUAAGCUCUGCGAAGAACUCGAGGCAUUUUGACCCUCAAUUUGAUCUUUAAAAUGGACAUUUUUUUAGCAUAUUGCUAAUAUAUUGUUAUGAAGUUUGGAGUUCUGGAUGAUCUUGCAAACUUUUGUUUGGGCAAAGUUUGCUCAAUUCUUCAUGGGCAUCAUCUAUCAUGGCAAGCCCAUCAUAAAUCAUACUAUUGCCUUUGAGAAGUUAUUCUUGACCUUCAGAGCACAUUAUUAUGCCCUUAAUUAUUUUGGAAAUGCUCUGCUCCAUUGUAUUCUUGGCAAAGAUUAGAUCCUUUAAUAUAUUCAAUUUCAAAAUCAUAUUCAGCAAAAAACUGCUGCCAUCUAAUUAAUGUUUUCUAUUGAGGAAGAUUAGGCAAUUUAUUGAAUAUAAAUCCUUUGACUUGAGUGUUAUCGGAUCUUACCUUAAAUUUCUUUGGUAACAAAAAGAAAGUAAAUUUAGCUAUUCCUUUUUUAAUAGCUAAUAAUUCAUUUUCAUUACUAUGAUAAUUCUUUUCUAUGGGUUUGAAGGUCCCGCUAGAAUAUCUACAAAUUUUUUCUUGAUAUGUUUUUAAGACUGCUCGCCAGUGAUUAUCUGAAGCAGUAGUUUCAAGAAUUAAAUUAUCACUAGAGGUAGGGAAUCCUAACCUUAAGUAAAAAGCCAAAAAAAUUGACUUAUUUUAUUAAGUCAAUUUUUGAAAAUAUAAAUAAUGCAAAAUAUAAGAAUAUCAUCUACAUGAUCUAUCUUAUUAUUUGAAAAUAUAAGAAUAUCAUCUACAUAAAUAAUGCAAAAUUCAUGAAAUUUUUUUAAGAUGCUAAAUAUCUUUUUAUUUAUUAUAGAAGUAAUUAAUGUAUCUUUAUGAGGUAAAAAGUAUCCAUCGAAUUUGGUAUAUUUAUUUAAUUCUUUGUAGUUAAUGACCAUAUGAGCUUUUCCUCGUUUAAUUUCAGCAUGAUUUCUAACUGAUUAGUAUUAAAAAUUGUUUAAUUAUCAAGCGAUAAUAUGUUAUUUUAUGCUUAUGUUAUAAUUUAUAUUUGUGUUUAUGUAAUAUAUUAUGAAUUAUGAAUUAUGUUUUAAAUAUAUUUAAUUUUGUGUAUUUUUAUGUGUUUAUUAGGAAAAUUAUUAAUUUCACGUACUUUGAGGCUCCAAACAGAUAAACGGAGGUCAAAUUUGGAUUCCGGAGGUCCGAAAACCUUAAGAUCAGUCAAGAUCGGCUUAAAAUUGGGCUUGUGUAAAAAAAGUUGACUUUUCCUGUUGACCGAGCACUGAUUGGAUGAUGAAAUGAGCUUACAAUAGAUAUGAGUGCAUGGGAUAACUGGCAAUCUUGACUAAAUCUCAACCGUUCAUGAUUCAAUGGCCAUGAUUGUGCCACGUGGCAAUGGUUGGUGAAGCAAGUUGGAGGAUCCGAAUCUUUGUAUUCGGGUCGACCCGAUCCACCCAUUAACCCGCCAAAUCUCAACCGUUCUUUGGGCAAAUCGGACGAGUCAAAUGAUGCCAUGUGUGAUGUUGACUUUUGAAGUUUGACCAGCCAUUGGAUCUUGAUCUAAGGGUUGUGAGGAGCACAUGCAUGAAGCCUAUGAUGGACCGCAAAGCACUGGAUUAUGAAUUUAUUUUUCUAUAAAUAGGGCCUCAUUUUUAUGUUUUAAUCAUCUCUCUACAACUCUCUUCUUCUCAAAUUCUCUCCAUCUCCUUGUAAUCUUGAUUUCCAUAUGUGUUUUUAAUAUUUUGUAUAAUUAUUUUCAUUAAUAAAAUUAGUUUUAUUUCCAAUUUUAGUUGUUUUUAUUUCUUUUAAUUAUAAGUAAUUCAAUUUUACUACUUCUUUUUAUUUUAAUUAUGCUUAACUAAAUAAUAUUAGUUAGGGGAAGGUGAAACUCUUAAGAAAUAAAUAUGAUUUAAUCAAAUUCUAUGUUUAAUUUUAUAAAUUAAAUUAUUUUCUAUUUAAUUUUAUACAUGUUUUAUAUUUUGAAAAUUUAAUUUAUUGUAGACAAACAAAUGAAUUUGGCACAAUAAAUUCUUAAGAUCUUAAUAUAAGGCAUGGUGAAAUGGUAUUUUGACUUAUUGUAGACAAAUUAAAUUUUGGCACAAUAAAUACUUAAUCCAUCAUAAAAUUAAAGGGAAAAUAAUAAUAAUUUGUAUAAUUAAUCUUUUGAGUAAUAAAUCUAAAACAAAUUGGCAAAAAGAAUUUAUUAAGUUUUAUUUAUUUCUAAGAGUGGAUCCAUAACCCUAACUAGUUCAAUUCCAUAGUUUCAUUUAAAUUAAGUUGUUUAUAUUCAAGUUUUAAUUUCAAUUUUUAGAUAAAAUAAAAUAAACUAAUUAAAUCUUUUCUCUGUGGAUCGACCUCGGACUCACCGAGUUAUAAUACAACAAGACACUCUUAUACUUGGGAGUUAAAAUUUACUUUUAAGUUGUGUCAAGUUUUUGGCGCCGUUGCCGGGGAAAAGUUUUUUAUUUGGUUUGUUUUUCCGUUUUUUAUUUUUCUCUUAUAUGUAAAACUUCGUUUGCCCCCUUUUCCUUUUCUUAAAUUCUCCUUAGUCCCCAUGUCUUUCAUAUUUCUCGUUUCACCCCAACAAUUUCCUUUUCUAGCCCAAUCUUCUGGUAAUUACGUUCGGACCCCAACAUCUUUCAACUGUUUCACUUUCAUCCCAAAUUACUAAUUCUAAACUUCUAAAAAUUACAUUUUGACCAUAAAAUUAAAAAUAAUUUGCAAUAGAAUCCCUAGACGAAAUUCCUCAACAUAAUCAAGACUUGGACAUAUUUGGACAUACUUUGGACAUAUUUGGACAUAUUUGGACUUAUUUUGGACCAAACUAACUUUAACUACUAACUCUAAUUACUAACUCUUAACUUACUAACUGCUAACUGCUAACUGCUAACUUUUAUUUAAUUUCAGUUAUUUAAUUUUCUGCAUUUAUUUUAUUUCGUAUUUAUUUAUUUGUUUUUGCUUUAUUGGUGGGUUUAACCACCAAACUAACUACUAACUCUUAACUUUUAUUUUCAGUUAUUUAAUUUUCAGUAUUUAUUUAAUUUUGUAUUUUUUAUUUUUUUUAAUUGGUGGGUUCAACCACCAUUUUUUUUUAUUUUGCAUUUAUUUAUUUAUUUAUUUUUUACUUUGUUGGUGGGUUCAACCAUCAAAAUUGUUAUUUAAUUUUCUUUUGUAUACUUAUAUUAUUUAUUUAUUUAUUUUUUUAUUUUAUUUUGUUAUCAAUUUGUGUAAAUAUUAUCUUUAUAACAUAACCAUUGCAUGAGACGUUGGUCUCGAUCUUCAAGUGGCAGGUUAAUUCGUAGAUCUCAAUCUCCACCACCAAUCAUGGAUGAGAAUGAAGGCGAAAACGUUUUGGGCGAACUUAAUCCUCAAAUUGAUCAGGGAGACAACCAAUCUCAACAUGGGCAUGAUCAGAAUCAACCAAGGACUCUGAGAGACUACAUGAAUCCAACCAGAACCGGAGCACCGUCGUGUAUAGUAUUUCCUCCAGAAGCAUCUCGAUUCAACUUUAAACCAGGUAUUAUCCAACUUUUACCAACAUUUCAUGGUUUAGAAUCUGAGAAUCCGUACUUGCAUCUAAGAGAUUUUGAGGAAGUUUGUAAUACAUACACGGACCAAAAUUGUAGCAUGAACAUAAUUAGAUUAAAGCUUUUUCCUUUUUCAUUAAAAGAUAAAGCUAAAACUUGGCUACAAAACCUUAGAUCUGGAUCAGUAAGAACUUGGAAUAACAUGCAAGAACAGUUUUUUGAAAAAAUUCUUUCCACCUCAUAGAACAAAUUCUUUUAAAAGGCAAAUCACUUCUUUCACUCAAAAAAAUGGAGAAACAUUAUACCAAUGUUGGGAUAGGUUUACAGAGUUGCUUAACAUAUGCCCACAUCAUGGUUUUGAAACUUGGCGAUUGGUCACUUAUUUCUACGAGGGCUUAAUACCCCAAAGUAGACAGGUUGUUGAAAUGAUGUGUAAUGGUGAAUUUAGGGAUAAAAAUCCUGAAGAUGCACUAGAUUACCUUGACCAAUUAGCUGAAAAUGCACAACAUUGGGAUACUGUUGGAACUUUUGAAUUGACAAAUAAGCAACAAUCAUCUCCAUCUAGUGGAGGAAUCCAUAACCUUAGGGAAGAUCAUGAUUUACAAGCAAAAUUUGCAUCCCUAGUUAGGAAAGUUGAAGCUUUGGAGCAUAAAAAGAGUGAUCAAGUAAAAUCUGUUCAAGAAAUUGCAUGUAACAUAUGUAAUUCGAAUGAUCAUUUCACUCAAGAGUGUCCCACUUUGCCUGCACUUAAAGAAUGUCUAAAUGAUCAAGCUAAUGUCAUUAACACUUUCAAUAAACCAAACCCAUAUUCACAGACUUAUAAUCCUGGUUGGAGAAAUCAUCCGAAUUUCAGUUGGAGGAAUAAUAAUAAUGCACAAUCUUCACAAGCACCACCUCCACAAAAUUUUCAAAAUCCUCAGCCUUAUGCACCAUAUGUUCCACCACCCUGGAAAAAUCUGGAAGACACAAUGCAUUCAUUCAUCAGAAAGCAAGAUGUUAUUAACAAUCAAAAUGCACAAAAUUUUUCUGAUUUGAAAGAUACUCUUGCUAAAAUUGCUUCUGCACUCACCAUUCAAGAAAAAGGAAAAUUUCCAGCCCAACCACAACCAAAUCCUAAAAUUCAACAAAAUCCACCCACAGACCAAGUCAAGUCAGUUAUAACUCUUCGUAGUGGUAAGGUUGUUGAUAGACCUAUGCCUGAACCUUAUGAAAAUGAUGAAAAUUCAAAGGGUAAGGAAGGACUAAAUGAACUUACACCUAGUGAAGAAAUAACUAGUGUUCCACCUGAACCACCAUUUCCGCAUGCAUUGAAUAAACCAAAGAAAUCAAACCACUCUUCUGAAAUUUAUGAAAUCUUUAAGCAAGUGAAAGUUAACAUUCCUCUAUUAGAUGCAAUCAAGCAGGUUCCUUUAUAUGCCAAAUUUUUAAAGGACUUGUGCACUGUUAAGAGGAAAUUGAAGGUAAGAAAGAGUGCUUUCAUGGCCGAACAGGUAAGUACAAUUCUGUCUACUAAUAAUAAGUUGAAAUAUAAAGAUCCUGGUUGUCCUACCAUUUCUUGUAUUAUUGGUAACCACAGAAUUGAGCAUGCUUUACUAGAUCUUGGUGCUAGUGUUAAUUUGCUUCCAUAUUCAGUUUAUCUUCAACUUAAUCUUGGUGAGUUAAAAUCAACUUCAACUACACUUUUGCUUGUCGAUAGAUCAGUUAAAGUACCAAAAGGAAUAGUGGAAGAUGUUUUAGUACAAGUUGAUAAAUUUAUUUAUCCUGUGGAUUUUAUUGUCUUGGAAACUGAACCUGUUGUGAAUAAUUACAAACCAAUUCCUGUAAUUUUAGGUCGACCAUUUUUAGCAACUGCUAAUGCUUUGAUUAAUUGUAGGAAUGGUUUAAUGAAUUUAUCCUUUGGGAAUAUGACUUUGGAAUUGAAUGUUUUCAACAUGUGCAGGCAACCUAAUGAAGAAAAUGAGAAUGAAGAUGAUACUGAUGAACAAAAGGAAUUGUUUGAAUCUUGUAUCGAGGAAAAUAUUCAAAAAGGGGAUUUUUCUGAACUUUCAAAUGUUUGUUUAGUUAAUUCAAUUGAGUCAAAUAAGCAACUUGAACUUGAUAUUUCUAAUAUAAAUUCGUUGCUUGAUUCUGUGCAGACUUCACAAAAUUAUGAUGACGAGCCAAAAUUUGAGGAGCUUGGAAGUAUUGAAAAGACAGAACAACAAGAAGCACCUAAAAUGGAAUUGAAACCUUUGCCUGAAGGAUUGAAAUAUGCUUUUCUUGGAGAAGAACAAACUUAUCCUGUUGUGAUUUCUUCUACUUUAACAAGCGACCAAGAAGGUAAGUUACUUACUGUUCUUAAAAAGCAUAAAAAUGCAAUAGGAUGGACUUUAAAUGACAUUAAAGGCAUUAAUCCCUUAAUCUGCACACAUAGAAUUAAUUUGGAAGAAAAUGCUAAAAUAUGUCAACAACCUCAAAGAAGAUUAAACCCACACAUGAAAGAGGUAGUCAAAACAGAAGUCCUUAAAUUACUUGAUGUGGGAAUUAUCUACCCUGUUUCUGAUAGUAAGUGGGUAAGUCCUACACAAGUAGUGCCUAAAAAAUCUGAAAUCACUGUUGUUAAAAAUGAAAAAGGUGAAUUAAUUCCAACACGAAUUACAUCUAGUUGACGCAUGUGCAUUGAUUAUAGAAAAUUAAAUGAAGCCACUAGAAAAGAUCAUUUUCCAUUACCAUUCCUUGACCAAAUCUUAGAAAGAGUAGCAGGACAUCCCUACUACUGUUUUUUAGAUGGAUAUUCAGGUUAUUAUCAAAUUCCUAUAGCACUUGAGGACCAAGAAAAGACCACAUUCACAUGUCCUUUUGGAACAUUUGCAUUUAAAAGAAUGCCAUUCGGGCUUUGUAAUGCUCCUGCAACAUUUCAAAGAUGUAUGUUAAGCAUUUUUUGUGAUAUGGUUGAACAUUGUUUAGAGGUCUUUAUGGAUGAUUUGACUGUGUUUGGGAAUUCUUUUGAUGAUUGCCUUGAUAAUUUGGAGAAAGUUUUAAAAAGAUGUGUUGAAAAAGAACUCGUGUUGAAUUGGGAAAAAUGUCACUACAUGGUUACUUCUGGAAUUGUUUUGGGUCAUGUUGUUUCUAUUAAAGGAAUUGAAGUUGACAAAGCAAAAAUCGAAGUCAUAUCUAAAUUGCCACAACCAAAAACAGUUAGAGAUGUGCGAUCCUUUUUAGGACAUGCAGGAUUUUAUAGGAGGUUUAUAAAAAACUUUAGUGCCAUAUCUAAACCACUUUGUAACCUCUUAUUAAAAGAUGCACCGUUUGAAUGGAAUGAUGAUUGCCAAAAAUCUUUUGAAAAAAUAAUUUGUCUUUUAACAUCUGCACCUAUUAUGCAAUCUCCUGAUUGGUCUUUGCCAUUUGAAUUAAUGUGUGAUGCAAGUGAUUUUGCUGUUGGUGCUGUUUUAGGACAAAGAAGGGAUGGUAAGCCUUUUGUGAUUUAUUAUGCGAGUAAGACUUUAGAUAGUGCUCAAAUGAAUUAUUCUACAACUGAAAAAGAAUUACUUGCUGUGGUAUUUGCAUUAAACAAAUUCCGUUCAUAUUUGCUUGGCUCCAAAUCUGUUGUGUUUACUGACCACGCUGCUGUGAGAUAUUUGAUGAGUAAACAGGAUGCCAAACCGAGGAUAAUUCGUUGGAUUUUGUUACUACAAGAAUUUGACCUUACCAUCAAAGAUAAAAAGGGUGCUGAAAAUGUUGUUGCGGAUCAUCUAUCAAGACUCACAUCCGAAUUCUGCAAUGAUAUAACACCCAUAAAUGAUUCUUUCCCUGAUGAAUUUUUAUUUUCUGUUACUUCAAUGCCAUGGUAUGCUAACAUUGUUAAUUUCCUUGUUACAGGUAAAAUGCCUUUGCAAUGGAAUGCUCAAGAGAAGAAGAAAUUUUUUGUUGAAGUAAAGAAAUUUUAUUGGGAUGACCCUUAUUUGUUCAAAUAUUGCCCAGAUCAAAUUUUUCGGCGAUGUAUUCCUCAUAAUGAGGUAAGUAGUGUCAUUAAUUUUUGUCAUUCUGAAGCAUGUGGUGGUCAUUUUUCUUCAAGAAAAACUAUUGCUAAAAUUUUACAGUGUGGAUUUUAUUGGCCUACCAUGUUUAAAGACACAUAUGAAUUCUGCAAAAGUUGUGAAAAAUGUCAAAAAUUGGGAUCAAUUACAAAAAGAAACAUGAUGCCCUUAAAUCCCAUACUUGAAAUUGAAAUAUUUGACUGUUGGGGAAUUGAUUUCAUGGGUCCAUUUCCAUCAUCUUUUGGAUUUGUGUAUAUAUUAGUUGCAGUUGAUUAUGUCUCAAAAUGGAUUGAAGCAAUUUCUUGUCGAAAUAAUGACAGUAAAACUGUGAUUAAAUUUUUAAGAGAAAACAUUUUAAGUCGAUUUGGAAUCCCUCGAGCCAUUAUCAGUGAUGGAGGUAAGCAUUUUUGUAAUAAGUCAUUUGAGUCUUUAAUGAAGAAAUAUGGAAUUACACAUAAAAUUGCUACCCCUUAUCAUCCUCAAACAAAUGGUCAAGUUGAAUUAGCAAAUAGGGAGAUAAAACAAAUUUUGGAAAAAACGGUUAACCCAAACCGAAAAGAUUGGUCUCUUAGACUUAAUGAUGCACUUUGGGCUUACCGCACUGCAUUUAAAACAUCAUUAGGAAUGUCACCCUAUCGGUUAAUUUAUGGUAAACCUUGUCAUUUACCUGUUGAACUUGAACAUAAAUCACUUUGGGCUAUUAAAGCUUUUAAUUCAAAUUUGGAUGAUGCUGGUAAUGUGCGAAAAUUGCAAUUGAAUGAACUUGAGGAAUUAAGGAAUGAUGCAUAUGAAAAUUCAAGAAUUAUUAAGGCAAGAACAAAAGAAGAUUAAACCCACACAUGAAAGAGGUAGUCAAAACAGAAGUCCUUAAAUUACUUGAUGUGGGAAUUAUCUACCCUAUUUCUGAUAGUAAGUGGGUAAGUCCUACACAAGUAGUGCCUAAAAAAUCUGAAAUCACUGUUGUUAAAAAUGAAAAAGGUGAAUUAAUUCCAACACGAAUUACAUCUAGUUGACGCAUGUGCAUUGAUUAUAGAAAAUUAAAUGAAGCCACUAGAAAAGAUCAUUUUCCAUUACCAUUCCUUGACCAAAUCUUAGAAAGAGUAGCAGGACAUCCCUACUACUGUUUUUUAGAUGGAUAUUCAGGUUAUUAUCAAAUUCCUAUAGCACUUGAGGACCAAGAAAAGACCACAUUCACAUGUCCUUUUGGAACAUUUGCAUUUAAAAGAAUGCCAUUCGGGCUUUGUAAUGCUCCUGCAACAUUUCAAAGAUGUAUGUUAAGCAUUUUUUGUGAUAUGGUUGAACAUUGUUUAGAGGUCUUUAUGGAUGAUUUGACUGUGUUUGGGAAUUCUUUUGAUGAUUGCCUUGAUAAUUUGGAGAAAGUUUUAAAAAGAUGUGUUGAAAAAGAACUCGUGUUGAAUUGGGAAAAAUGUCACUACAUGGUUACUUCUGGAAUUGUUUUGGGUCAUGUUGUUUCUAUUAAAGGAAUUGAAGUUGACAAAGCAAAAAUCGAAGUCAUAUCUAAAUUGCCACAACCAAAAACGGUUAGAGAUGUGCGAUCCUUUUUAGGACAUGCAGGAUUUUAUAGGAGGUUUAUAAAAAACUUUAGUGCCAUAUCUAAACCACUUUGUAACCUCUUAUUAAAAGAUGCACCGUUUGAAUGGAAUGAUGAUUGCCAAAAAUCUUUUGAAAAAAUAAUUUGUCUUUUAACAUCUGCACCUAUUAUGCAAUCUCCUGAUUGGUCUUUGCCAUUUGAAUUAAUGUGUGAUGCAAGUGAUUUUGCUGUUGGUGCUGUUUUAGGACAAAGAAGGGAUGGUAAGCCUUUUGUGAUUUAUUAUGCGAGUAAGACUUUAGAUAGUGCUCAAAUGAAUUAUUCUACAACUGAAAAAGAAUUACUUGCUGUGGUAUUUGCAUUAAACAAAUUCCGUUCAUAUUUGCUUGGCUCCAAAUCUGUUGUGUUUACUGACCACGCUGCUGUGAGAUAUUUGAUGAGUAAACAGGAUGCCAAACCGAGGAUAAUUCGUUGGAUUUUGUUACUACAAGAAUUUGACCUUACCAUCAAAGAUAAAAAGGGUGCUGAAAAUGUUGUUGCGGAUCAUCUAUCAAGACUCACAUCCGAAUUCUGCAAUGAUAUAACACCCAUAAAUGAUUCUUUCCCUGAUGAAUUUUUAUUUUCUGUUACUUCAAUGCCAUGGUAUGCUAACAUUGUUAAUUUCCUUGUUACAGGUAAAAUGCCUUUGCAAUGGAAUGCUCAAGAGAAGAAGAAAUUUUUUGUUGAAGUAAAGAAAUUUUAUUGGGAUGACCCUUAUUUGUUCAAAUAUUGCCCAGAUCAAAUUUUUCGGCGAUGUAUUCCUCAUAAUGAGGUAAGUAGUGUCAUUAAUUUUUGUCAUUCUGAAGCAUGUGGUGGUCAUUUUUCUUCAAGAAAAACUAUUGCUAAAAUUUUACAGUGUGGAUUUUAUUGGCCUACCAUGUUUAAAGACACAUAUGAAUUCUGCAAAAGUUGUGAAAAAUGUCAAAAAUUGGGAUCAAUUACAAAAAGAAACAUGAUGCCCUUAAAUCCCAUACUUGAAAUUGAAAUAUUUGACUGUUGGGGAAUUGAUUUCAUGGGUCCAUUUCCAUCAUCUUUUGGAUUUGUGUAUAUAUUAGUUGCAGUUGAUUAUGUCUCAAAAUGGAUUGAAGCAAUUUCUUGUCGAAAUAAUGACAGUAAAACUGUGAUUAAAUUUUUAAGAGAAAACAUUUUAAGUCGAUUUGGAAUCCCUCGAGCCAUUAUCAGUGAUGGAGGUAAGCAUUUUUGUAAUAAGUCAUUUGAGUCUUUAAUGAAGAAAUAUGGAAUUACACAUAAAAUUGCUACCCCUUAUCAUCCUCAAACAAAUGGUCAAGUUGAAUUAGCAAAUAGGGAGAUAAAACAAAUUUUGGAAAAAACGGUUAACCCAAACCGAAAAGAUUGGUCUCUUAGACUUAAUGAUGCACUUUGGGCUUACCGCACUGCAUUUAAAACAUCAUUAGGAAUGUCACCCUAUCGGUUAAUUUAUGGUAAACCUUGUCAUUUACCUGUUGAACUUGAACAUAAAUCACUUUGGGCUAUUAAAGCUUUUAAUUCAAAUUUGGAUGAUGCUGGUAAUGUGCGAAAAUUGCAAUUGAAUGAACUUGAGGAAUUAAGGAAUGAUGCAUAUGAAAAUUCAAGAAUUAUUAAGGCAAGAACAAAAGCAUUUCAUGAUAAAAGAAUUUUUCGAAAAACAUUUGAGAUUGGUCAAAAAGUGUUGCUUUAUAAUUCUCGUCUUCAUUUAUUUCCAGGAAAGUUAAAGUCAAAAUAGAGUGGCCCAUUUGUUGUAAAAAAUGUAUAUUCAUAUGGGGCCAUAGAAAUUGAGAAUCCAAAUAACGGUGUCACAUUUAAAGUUAAUGGUCAAAGAUUAAAACCAUAUCUGGAACAUCACCCACGUGACGAGGACACCGAAAUUAAUUUGGAUGACCCACCAGUUCUUGAUUAAGUCUUUAAUGAUUUUUUUUUUUUUUACUAUUAUUUUACCGUUUCAUUGUUUGAUUUUUUUUCUUUAGAUUGAUGCACUGUACAUAGUUUUUUUUUAACAUUGUUUUUCUUGUGUAAGCGUGUUUGUUUGACAGUUGUACAUUCUCUCAUCAAUUUUCAUUUUACAUCAUGAGCACCUCAAUGAGAAAAUACCUAUUCGCACAUCUUAAAAGAUUUCGGCGUAUAAAAUUUCACUUAAGAGGCCUAAUACAAAGCUGUAAAUCACAUCCACUUUGGGAUCUGCAACCACCAGAAUUCGUGUCCUAUGUUGAGGAUCUAGAAGGACAACUCAGAACAGUAGAGAGUGGCAUAUAUGAAUUUCAAAUAGAGCUUGAGGUUAACUCAAUGAGAGGACGAAUGUAAGUUCAUUUUCCUUUUAUAUUGUGUGCUUUUUUUUUGCUCGCUUUCACGCUUGAUUUGAUUUUGCAGAUUUGAUUUUGGUGUGUUUUGAUUUAUUUUCCCGUAUAAAUGGCGGAUAACGGUACUCCGUGACUUCUUAAGUCGGUAUCUUCAGUUUCCCACAAUAACUGAAACCCCAAAAUCAAACAUGGAAGAAAUACAACAUAAACUCCAUAAGCAUUUUCCCUCUCUCCCUCAGAAUGCCCUCAGGAAAAUUUACAAAGCUCGUUGUGAACGACUGCGUUUGUUAAUGAUCAAUGGCAUUCUUUCUGACAUUCGUUGGUUAAUUGAAGCAAAGGUCUGAUUAGCAGGUGAGUUUUCUAGUCAAUUUGUUUCUUACAUGCCUGGUUUUGGUAAAAGUACGUUUGCUAAGAAAAGGAGAGCUAAACGACUUGGCUCAAAAUGUCAUAACUGUGUAAGACUUGGUUGCAAACGACCGGAUUGUAAAUCUUUAGGAAUGGUUUCUGAUACUCGUGAAGAUAAAAUUAAAUUCGUUAAAGAUGGCAUGAGUAAAGAAUCGUUGGAUGAUAUCUUACGAUCUCUUGAGACGCAUCGAAGCGGAAUUGUGCAAUGUGAGAUUUACAAUUUGUGGAUACUAUUCCAAAAACAAAGUGCACAGUUAAGUCUUGGGAAUCUGACUCAAAAAGACCCUGUUUGCCAGUUUAUAAGAAAACUGGAUGGGAAGCCGAUCCUCGACCCAUAGAGGGCGUUCAAGCCGUUACUGGACGUAAAACCAGAGGAAGAUGUGAGCCACAAUCACAACUACUAGUAAAUAUCCUUUCACUUCACUGUUAUUUUACUUUACUGUUAUUUUAUCAUUUGAAUUAUUGCAUUUAGCGAUGUGAUUUUGUAUUUAUUUGGUUUCUUUUACUGUUUGCUUUUUCUAAUCAUUACUUUUUUUUUUACUAUUUGUUUUUGAAUUAUUGAGCCACGAGCUUUCCUCGUCAUUUGACAAAUAUGCCAACCCAUUUACAGCUGUUUCUCUUUAUUUAUGUCACCAAGAUCUUUAAAUAUGAGCUCGUUUUUCAAACACUCACAACUUGUUUUUGAAAAAUUAGUCCAAUGGCAGCAUCUUCAAGUAAACAAUUCAAAAAUAUUUGUGUGCUUUCUGGGUUUCACUAUGGAAAGUACAAAGAGUUCGUUCAGGUAGCUGUAGAUCUUGGUCGUGUCAUAGCAGAGAGGAAACUGCAUCUUGUAUAUGGAGGAGGUGAACGAGGGUUAUCAAGACUUGUCUCAGAAGCUGUUUUUACCAGAGGAAGCCAAGUACUCGGCAUUAUCCCAAAACCCAUGAAACCGCUAGUGUGCAUGUCUGGCCCACCAAUUGGAGAAGAAUUAGUGGUAUCAAGUAUGCAAGAGAGAAUAUCUGAAAUGAUGAAUCAUGCUGAUGCUUUUAUUUUCUUGCCAGGAGAUCUUGCAACUUUUGAGGCACUAAUUACAUUUGCAUCUUGGGCCCACUUGAACAUUCAUCAAAAGCCCAUCGGUUUGUUAAAUGUUAAUAAUUUUUAUGACGGCUUGCUAACUUUUAUUAAUCAUGCAAUAAAGAAUCAUUUUGUUCCACAUUCUGUAAAAAAACUCUUUAUCUCUGCUUCUACUGCUAAUGAGUUACUUGAUCUUUUACAAGCUUAUACACCAGAGCCAGAUCCACAGACUGUUGCACUGAAUUGGUCGACUAAUGAUGGUAACGGUAACAGUAGCAGUAAUAAGAAGUGCGAUUUAGAUUUAACUCUCCGUUUGUAAAUAUUUGCUGUUGUAGUGUUCAUGUGAUGUCUUCUACACUCUUUCUAUUUCCUUUUAAAACAUUGAGGACAAUGUCUUUUUCAGGUUGGGGGGAGGGAAUAGUUGAUAAUUGUGGAAUGUCUUAGUCCUGGUUAUGUGUUUACAAAAAAAAAAAAAAAAAAAACAAUAACAAAAUUUUUUUUUUCUGUAAAGACUAACUUAGGACAAAUUUGAGUCGAAGAUGGCAGGAUAUAGAGAAUGUAGUCUCUCUAGAAACGCAUCUUCUUAAUCUUAAGGGUGUUGUUAAAAAAAAAAAAAAAUUGACUUUUUCUUCAUCUUUGUUAUCUACUUUUAAGCUUCUGCAUCAAGUUAAGGUGAGAUCUCCUAUUCUUCUUCUUUUAUUAUUCUCUUUUAUUUUUAUUUAUUAUUAUUAUUAUUUUUUUGCAUAUCUGUAAAAUUAUAAAAUGUUAGGAUAAUGUUUAGAUUAGGUUGUGGGGUGGGGAUAAUUGACGUAUGUUUUAAAUAUGUAUGUUGUUUUUUUCUCUUUUCUCUUUUCUUUUCUUUUCUUUGCCAAAAAAAAAAAAAAAUUGUUUUUUGUCUAGGAUGGCCGUGUAAAGAGUCACGACUUUUGAGACGCAUCCUAAUAGUCUUGUUGUAUUAUAUUUUGAUUUUGAGAUUCAUGGUAAGUUGUUUUUGUUCCCUUUUCUUUGAAUUACUCAAAUUUGUGAACUCUCCACUUGGUUAUUAAGUUAUUUAAUUGUUUACUCAUUUAACAGGUAUUAUUGAAUCAUUCUUCACACACACAUUAUGACACAUACUAGUGGGUUGUAAGUUAAAAUUUUACAGCAUUUAGUUCUUUUGAUUUAUUAGGAAAAGUAUCUAAGGUAGUAGAAAGUGUAUAGUUCCAAAAAAAAAAAAAAAAGUAGAAAAAAAAUUGUUUUUAAUUUUUCUAUAUCUAGAACCCGAGUAAUUAAGUCCGUAGGGGUGUUUCAACACCUAGUGCCCUAAGGUCAACUGGUCUGGGAGUCACUGGCCUAAAGCUCACUACAUGGGUAAUAGAUAUAUUGUUUGUUUAUUAGAAACCCGAGUAAUUAAGUCCGUAGGGGUGCUUUAACACCUAGUGCCCUAAGGGCAACUGGUCUGGGAGUCACUGACCCAAAGCUCGCUACACGGGUUAGAAAUGUAAUAUAUAAAAAAAAAAUGUGUGAAUAAUCUAUUGCCUAAAGAUAUAAUUUCUAAUGAAUUUUAGAACGAAAAUGUUGUUUUUCUUUUAAUGAAGCCCCAUAAGUAUUGUGUUAAUUACUUGAGCACAAAAGAAGGUUUGAUGAUAUUCUGGAUAAUGAGUGAACAUCAAUGUGGUAAAGGAAUUUGGGAGAGUUCAUUUAUUUGGUAAUUUAGAGGAUAGAUGAACAACUAUUAACUUGCAUGUGAAUUUUAUAAAUCUUAAUAUAACGCUUUAAUUGCUAGAGGGCUAGCAAUAAGCUGGUUGGGGGGUGUGAUUAGUAUUAAAAAUUGUUUAAUUAUCAAGCGAUAAUAUGUUAUUUUAUGCUUAUGUUAUAAUUUAUAUUUGUGUUUAUGUAAUAUAUUAUGAAUUAUUAAUUAUGUUUUAAAUAUAUUUAAUUUUGUGUAUUUUUAUGUGUUUAUUAGGAAAAUUAUUAAUUUCACGUACUUCGAGGCUCCAAACAGAUAAACGGAGGUCAAAUUUGGAUUCCGGAGGUCCGAAAACCUUAAGAUCAGUCAAGAUCGGCUUAAAAUUGGGCUUGUGUAAAAAAAGUUGACUUUUCCUGUUGACCGAGCACUGAUUGGAUGAUGAAAUGAGCUUACAAUAGAUAUGAGUGCAUGGGAUAACUGGCAAUCUUGACUAAAUCUCAACCGUUCAUGAUUCAAUGGCCAUGAUUGUGCCACGUGGCAAUGGUUGGUGAAGCAAGUUGGAGGAUCCGAAUCUUUGUAUUCGGGUCGACCCGAUCCACCCAUUAACCCGCCAAAUCUCAACCGUUCUUUGGGCAAAUCGGACGAGUCAAAUGAUGCCAUGUGUGAUGUUGACUUUUGAAGUUUGACCAGCCAUUGGAUCUUGAUCUAAGGGUUGUGAGGAGCACAUGCAUGAAGCCUAUGAUGGACCGCAAAGCACUGGAUUAUGAAUUUAUUUUUCUAUAAAUAGGGCCUCAUUUUUAUGUUUUAAUCAUCUCUCUACAACUCUCUUCUUCUCAAAUUCUCUCCAUCUCCUUGUAAUCUUGAUUUCCAGGUGUGUUUUUAAUAUUUUGUAUAAUUAUUUUCAUUAAUAAAAUUAGUUUUAUUUCCAAUUUUAGUUGUUUUUAUUUCUUUUAAUUAUAAGUAAUUCAAUUUUACUACUUCUUUUUAUUUUAAUUAUGCUUAACUAAAUAAUAUUAGUUAGGGGAAGGUGAAACUCUUAAGAAAUAAAUAUGAUUUAAUCAAAUUCUAUGUUUAAUUUUAUAAAUUAAUUUAUUUUCUAUUUAAUUUUAUACAUGUUUUAUAUUUUGAAAAUUUGAUUUAUUGUAGACAAACAAAUGAAUUUGGCACAAUAAAUUCUUAAGAUCUUAAUAUAAGGCAUGGUGAAAUGGUAUUUUGACUUAUUGUAGACAAAUUAAAUUUUGGCACAAUAAAUACUUAAUCCAUCAUAAAAUUAAAGGGAAAAUAAUAAUAAUUUGUAUAAUUAAUCUUUUGAGUAAUAAAUCUAAAACAAAUUGGCAAAAAGAAUUUAUUAAGUUUUAUUUAUUUCUAAGAGUGGAUCCAUAACCCUAACUAGUUCAAUUCCAUAGUUUCAUUUAAAUUAAGUUGUUUAUAUUCAAGUUUUAAUUUCAAUUUUUAGAUAAAAUAAAAUAAACUAAUUAAAUCUUUUCUCUGUGGAUCGACCUCGGACUCACCGAGUUAUAAUACAACAAGACACUCUUAUACUUGGGAGUUAAAAUUUACUUUUAAGUUGUGUCACUAACUAUAAAGGCUGGGUUACUUUGAGGACUUUUAGAUUCUCCAAAAUUUUUAUCAAGUUUUUCUAUUUUUUUUUUCAUAAUCUGAUAUAAUUUGAUUGAUUUUUAUAUUGUAUUCACCACGCUGGCUGCUUCGAAAAUGUAAUUUUCGAGUUGUUUACCUAAUAAGAUUAUAAAUUCUUGGUGUGGUGAUGGAAUGAUUACAUGGUGUUGUAAGAGUAAUUCUUUCGUUAGUCAUUAUAUAAAUGAACUGACAAAGGAAAUUGACUUCUAAAAGUAUAUAUGCUCCUAUAUGAUUAUAAGACCAUAAUAUAUGGAUACUUAAAAUGUAAUCUUCGAUUUGGAUUAAAGUUUUUAUCCUACAUGUUCCUAAAAUGAUUUGUUCACCAUUUAUUCCUUGUCCUGUUAAGGGUUUAUAAUCUUUCGAAUAUGAUUUUGGAUAAAUCCUUAAAUUAGGUAAGCUAACUCCUGAACCAGUGUCUAUUAAAGCAUGAAACCAUUCUGGCUUAUGCUUAUAAUAUGGUUUAAUCACUUUUAUAUAAACUAUAAAAAGAUUAGACAUAUCUUGAUAUGGUUUGCUUAAUUCCUUCAACUGUUAAGCUUAUUUUUCUAUCUCCUAUAGAAUAAGGAGUAAAAUUCUCAAGAAAGUUCAUCCCUAAUAAUAAAGGACUUAUUUAUGUUUCAUAAUCUGGUUCUAUGAAAAAAGAAAAGAUGAAUUCUAUCCCUUUUAUUCUUAAUAGUAUUUCACUAUAUUGACUUAAUGUCUUUCUUUCUCCAUUAAAUCCUACAUAAGUAUGAGGCUCAAUUAAAAUUUUUCUUUCUAAAUAUUUAAUAAUUUUAGAAUCUACAUAAGAUUUUGCAGCUCCUGUAUCAAGGAUAGCAAAAGUCUCGUGCCAUGAUUUUCCAUUAUUAUAUUCAAUCUUAAUUUUUAGAUUUUGAUUAUCCAGUAUUGCUAAAUUUACUGGACUAUUUGUCCUUUCUCGAAAAUGAGCUCUUAUCAUGACUUGAAUUCCUCCGAUAUGAACAUAUCCAAUUUUAAGUCUAUCACUAGAUUUUAUCUCAUUUAUCUUAUCUUUUAUAUCAGUUUUUAAUAAUAAUGGUAUAUUUGUAUUUCCUCUAGCAUACCUAAUUUCAAUAGGUUCUUCUCUUACAGUAGCACUAAGAUACAUUAUAUUUUUUCUUUUAAUCAUGUUAGCAAUGCCUUGUGCUAACUUAUUAACCGAAGUCAUAGAUGAUUCCAAUCCUUUUUUAUUAUUCUUGAGAUAUUGCUUUUUAUCAAAGAUUAAUUCUCUAUUAAAAGAACCUUGUUCUUCUAACUCUUCAUCUUGAUAUAAAUCUUUAUUUUCUAAUUCUUCUAUACUCAUUCUGAAUCAGAUUCUAAAUCAGAACUUCUCAAAGUUUCAUUAGAAAGAUAAUAUAUGCUAUCAUUUUCACUAAUAUCUUUGCUAUCGGUGAUUAAUUCUAAAUCAUUGAAAUCUUCAAAUAUUUUUAUAUUUGCUUUCUUCGUUUUAGGACAUUCAUUUGCAUAAUGUUCUUCUUCAUUACAUAACUAGCACUUGCAUUUUUUAGGUGCAUUGGUUUUGGAUCUUCUUUUAAAUUUAUUUUUCUUGUAGAAUUUCUUUUUAUAUUUAUUUUUCUUGUAAUAUUUCCUGUUGGCUUUAAAGAAUUUCUUCUUUUUGAAUUUUUUUUCUUGUGUUUAUAGAUUUUAUCUGAACAUCCAAAUCUUGGCGGAUCUUCUAAUUUAGAACAACAUAAUUCUCGAUUUUGCCUUUUCAUAAGUCUUCUAUCUCUUAUUUCAGAACACUAUUCAUUUAUUCUAUUUUGAGCAAAUCUAAUCCUAUUUCGUAAUGUAUAAGUUUCUGUAGUAUCUUUGUAUUCUUUGUUAUAUUCCAACAUAAUCCUUCUACCCCAUGGGUCUGGUAUCUUUACAAAAUAUAGAUCAUGGUAAUAGCAUAUGUUAUCCUCAUCUUUAUCAAAUUCACAUUUAUAAUAUAAUUCUUCGAAGCUACAUGUAUAUUCUUCUAAAUAACAUAUAUUACAUAUUUCAAGCCUUGUUAGCUUCAUUAAAUUUUCUAUCUGUUUUCUUUUUAUUUCUUGUUGAAAAUCAGUUUCCCAAUCUUCUCCCAAGAAUUUUUUUCUUAUUUCAUUUUCGAAUCUAUUUAAAACCUGAUCAACACUUUCGUUUCGAUUAUUAUUUUCUCCAUACAAUAUUCUAUUUUUAUGAUUAUCAUUUAAUCCCAUAAACCAAUGAGAAACAAUUCCUAUAAACGAAAUUUUAAGGAAUUCUAUACUAUUAUCCCUAUCAAUUUUGUGAAAUGCAAAAGCCAUUUUCAUAGAUUUAACCCAAGCGGUAAUCGUUUUAUCUCUAUCUUUGAUACAGUCUAAACCUAACCAUACACCAUCAUGGUUGAUUGGUCUUUCUCUAUAUUCUCCUGGAGUUUUAUGAUCUUUUUUAGGUUUGUUAAUCCUAAAAUAUUGACCUUGUGCUCUUUCCUGAGUUGGUAUUUCUUCCCUAACAUAGGAAGCUCUAUUACUAGUUUCUCCUUGUUAAAAACCGUUUAACUUUGGUUCAUUCAUUUUUAGAUGUUCUAUUCUAUUUUCAAUAUCCUGCAAAUUAAUGACUAUAUCAUCUUCUUCUUCGGAUUCAGAUUCUUUAUCAGAUAUCUCUUGAUUAGGUAAUUCUAUGUUUUCACUUAGCAUUCUUAGACUUAUUAAUUUUUUGUCUUUGUUUAUUUUGUUAAAUAUCGGUUUAGAUGUUGUUAUCAUUUCUUUAUCUUUAAGUUCAUUAUAGUAAAUUAUGGUAUCUUGUAAAAUUUUAUUUUGUUUAUUGAUCUUCUGUACUUCAAUCCUUUUGUAAUUUUCCAUUUAUGCUUAUAGCGAAUUUAUUACCAAUUUUUUCAUCGAUUUUUUCAAUUUUUUGUAGUUGAUUUCAAUCUUGUUGAAUUUAUUUUCAAUUGAACUUUUGUUCACAAUAUUAAAGAUUUCUUGUUUUAAUCUAUCUUGAUCUUCAAUAUUAAAGUCUUUUAUUAAUAGCUUAACAAAAUCAAAUUCUUCACUCAUUCGCUAUCCUAUCAUUUUGACUUGUCUUAUAUUUUCGGCAUCAAAGCUUUUAAUCUCAAGUAUCUUAUUUACACUUUCUAUAUCAUCUAUGGUUAAAUUAGGGUUUCCUAAUUUAUUUAAUAAAUAUAAUGAGAUCCAAUUUAAUUGAUUAUUUCCCCACAUAUCAGAAUCAUUUACUAAAUCAAAUGGUUGAAAUCUUCCAUAAGUAAAUCCUCUAUGCCUAUAGCUAGAAGGUGGUAAUAUGUUGGUUUCAAUAUUUCUAUAUACUUCUCUCCUGAUCCUAAAGAGAAGAAUAGGAUCAAUAUUUAAAUUUCUAAUUUUUAUUAUGAUGAGUUCUCCAAUUUUAAAUUCAUGAACUCUAACUAAAUAAAAUUGUAUUAAUUGUUUAUCAUCCAAUAUAUUAACUUCUGAAUAAUAAUAUUGUUUAUGUUUUGUUAUAUUAUCUUUAACUCCACACUUGUUUAAAAUUCAACACACAGAUGUGCCUCUUUCUUACUAUACUGGAAUCCUCGGUAAACUUUUUGUUUGCGCAAUUUAUGUGAGCAAAUUGUGUCUUCUUUUUCAUAUGUAAAUGUUUUUGAUAUCUUGAUGUGAAGGUAGAAAAUUGCAUGUUUUGAGUUUUUGCAUAUUUGAUGGAAACACAGAACUGUACCUGAAUCUUUCAGAACCCCCUUUUCUUUGAAGUUUGAACACUUUUCUUGAAUGUAUCAACUUUAUUUAUGGGAUAUGUUGCCAAAUUGGCAAAUCUAUUCGUUAUAAAACUUUCCUUUGACAGUUUAAUCUAAGCAGAUGUUAAUUAUGCAAAUAGAGUGUGCCUAAGAUUAGUUUCAUAGAUUUGUCUCCUUCUGUACAGUAAAAACUUUGAGCAUUUUCGCCAUAUUCUGAUCAAUACACUCCAACUAGUUAGUUCUUGAGGCGUUUUAUGGUUUCGUGGAGUGAGGCAAGAUGUAUACGUUUGCAAAUUGGCAAUGUCUUUUGCUUGAUGGGUUGAGAGUUGUGAGUGUCAACAGGAAACAAGACCUCUGUUUUAUGAACUCCAAAAAGUUAUUCUGUUAAAAAGAUCGAGACAGAGGCCAUACUAUAUUUAUUAUUGCUAUAAAAGUGUGAAAAAAUAUUCUUUGUUUAAUAUUCUAAACGAUUGAGCCAUUUAGUUAUGAUACUCUGCUGUAUUGGGGCUAAUAAUCUAAGUCGGUUCAAAGUGGUAAAUUUAUAAAUUGAUAGGUAUGCCUGGUAUGACCGCUUACGUUGGAUUUUAUGAGGUCUGCUCUCCUAAGCAAGGAGAGUGUGUCUUCAUAUCCGCAGCAUCUGGUGCAGUUGGACAGCUUGUGGGGCAGUUUGCAAAGUUAUUGGAUUGCUAUGUCGUCGGAAGUGCUGGAAGCAAAGACAAGGUAUGUAAUCUGUGUGAAGUACUUGAUUGUUUCCAUGUUACUUUCAAACAUUUAAAUUAAAAAGGAAAUUUUCAUAAUCUUGCCUUUUCUAUGAUUUUCAAAACCAAGGUUGAUCUACUGAAGAACAAGUUUGGGUUCGACGAGGCAUUUAACUAUAAAGAAGAAGCUGAUUUGAAUGCAGCAUUGAAAAGGUUAGCAUCAAUAAAUGCCUUAGCUUGAUGCAGCUUGAUGAAGUAUGAUACACAUUUCUGACCAAUAUACUGCGUUCCCUGAUCUCUUACUUGAAAUAUCUUGGUUUGAGAAUCUCAUGCCAAUGCCUUUAACAUUUUGGCAGGUACUUUCCUGAAGGAAUUGAUAUAUAUUUUGAAAACGUUGGUGGAAAAUUGCUUGACGCAGUGCUACCCAACAUGAAAAUCCGUGGUCGAAUUGAUGCAUGCGGUAUGAUCUCACAGUACAAUCUUGACAAGCCUGAAGGUGUGCACAACUUGAUGUAUCUUGUUUCGAAACGGCUUCGAAUGGAAGGAUUCAUUGUUCUCGAUCACUAUCACCUCUAUCCAAAGUUUCUGGAAAUGAUCAUUCCUCACAUCAAAGAAGGGAAGCUUGUAUACGUCGAAGACAUGGCUGAAGGUCUUGAGAGUGCUCCGGCAGCUCUCAUCGGUCUAUUCUCUGGCCAGAAUAUUGGGAAACAAGUGGUUGCUGUUGCUCCUUAAUGAAGAACAAGUUAGUGUUGUCUGUCCUUUUACCCUUUGACACAAAACUUCAAUGUUAAAGAGAGAAUGCUGUUCAUAUAUACUGCUUUAUAAAAUAAUCAAGUGAGUGCAAGUUUCAUGAUAUUUGCUGAAUAAAAUAUUGGAAAUUAAGCAGCUAGCCUAGCUCCUUCUUGUAGUUGCAGUUUGAAUGAUGCUGCUGCACAACUGCUGCCGAAAAAAUCCUUAAUAGAUGAUUAGCAAGGUUUCAAAAAUAAAAAUAAAUGUUUGUGCAAUGUGUCGAAUAUGACAGCCACAAAGAAAGAGCACACAAAUUGAUUGGUUUUAUGUCUUCUCUAGGAGAAAGCUACAAUACAAGAAAUUGUACUGAUGGAGCCAUGGACCAAAUUUCUUAUUUAAACUUUUAAUUUUUUUAUUAAAUUACUUAUGUUAUUAUGGUUUAUAAUUUUAGAAAUUCUUUAGAAAUUAAUACAGAACUAGUAGCAAGUUGAGAAAUCUAUUGAAUGGUCAAGAUAUGAUCAUGUUUAUUGAAUUAAAUUGACAAUCAUCAUUUUGAUAAAUUAUUGUCAGGAUGUUUGAUUCAUGACACGUGUAAGCAACUAAAUGUGCUAAAAAAAAGUUAAUGAGUUGGGCGUGUUUGAGUUAAUGAGUUGGGCUUGUUUGAUAUUCAUUUGUUGUAAUUCUUUUAAUAAUUAUUGGGGAAAAAAAGUUAUAAUAAAAAAAAUUAUAAUUAUAAAAUAAAAAUUAAUAAUAUAUAAUAAAUAAGAUUUUAAAUAAUAAUUUUAAUAAAAUAAUAAAUAUAUUAUAAAUUUUUUAUGAUUAAUUUUUAAAUUACAACAAUAAAUAUUUAACAAACACCUUAAUACCACAACUAACACCACAACUUUUGAAUUAUGAUAGUACAAUCUAAAUGCCACAGGCCUUAAAAAAUAAAAUUACAGUCAAGUUUUAAAACUGUUAAUGAUAUUCACAAAGACUCUGGAACAAUAUUACAGAAGGUGCUCGUCGUGUAAGCAACACAUGGGACCCAACCAAUAAAUGUUUCUGAUCCUCAACUUUCCUCAUCACUGUCCCUGGAAACAAUUCUGAUUUUCUUGUCUGAUUAAACAACUGAGAAACAAUGGCGGCCGACCAAGAAGCUGGGAGCAAUAAGCGGGUGAUUCUAAGCAACUAUGUGACAGGUUUUCCAAAAGAAUCAGACAUGAAGAUAACAAGUUGAUCAAUAAAGCUGAAGGUAGCAGAGGGUGUUUGGGAGAAAUACGUCGACGAGACCAGGCAUGGUGAGCAGAUAUCUGAUGGCAGAGUUCUGCGAACCGGUGUGUUCCGUAAAAGCCUGGUGCGCGGGGGAACAGGAGCAGAAGUAUCCUGCUCGUCCACGAGCACGUCAUCCGCGAGGCCAAUUUCCUGUAAGAGGCAUAAGGUCAUUCCGGCUAGAGGUCGAGAGGCGAGGAGACCCGGUCGACGGCAGUUGGCAAGACAUGCUCCCCAGCCCGAGAAUCUAGGCACGACAGCCACGCUUUCCCCAGAACCGUGGCGUAACACGCAAGAUCUCACAGAACCACGACAGCCACGCUUUCCCCAGAACCGUGGCGUAACACGCAAGAUCUCACAGAACCACGACAGCCACGCUUUCCCCAGAACCGUGGCGUAACACGCAAGAUCCCACGUUUGCCCAUAACGCAGCAGUCAGAGUCCCAUACCGUCUCGAAAAAAGCGGAAAACUGGGAUUCAGGGGAAGCCUAUAAAAAGGUAGCCAACGAAGGUAAAAGGGUUAGCAUUUUUGAGAUUAGAAAAGAAAUGAAAAAAGAAGAGAAAACCACGAAAAAGCCAUAAGAUAUGUGGCAAGCGUUCCCCGAACCUUCAUAUCUGACUUGAGCGUCGGAGGGUUUGCGCCGGGAAAACAACCGGCGUACUCUGACUUGUCUGUGUGCGCAGGAACCUCUGGAGAAGAAGCCUCACGUGGAGACCUCCUGGUCGUGAAGAAGUUGAUCGGGCAGAGAUCCUGGUCGUAGAACGAGGAGAACCGGAAUCCCGCAUCAACAUUUUGGCGCCGUCUGUGGGGACCGGAGCAAAAAGCUUCUGUUGAUAGCAAGAAGAGGGGUGAAGCAAGUGAAAAACAAUGGAGACAGGAGGAAGUAGUGCACAAGGGGGUGAUAGGAAGCUUAACGAUUCCGUGACGCUGAGGGAGAUAGUCAGUGAAGCACGGGAAAAAGUCAUGUUCGACCGGAUGGAACGGAUGGAAAAGCAGAUGGAGACCUUGACAACCAUCCUGCAUGAGCUGCGGAGCGAGCGAAGUAUAAUCCAAGAGGGAAGGGUGAGAGGCGGUGGAGUGGCACCAGGUCCCGAUAGUGCGGGGAGAAGUCAAACCACCGGGAGAUUUGGUGGUGAGAGAGGUAACGUACCUCUGCGGGGAGAAUUUCAUAGAGAAAGAGAGCAGUCCCCGGCAAGACAGACUGGCGACGAGGACGACGGGGUGGUGAAUGCAGAGGAAACAGAGUUGAGGCAACACUUGCAUGAUGUAGAGCAAGAGCGGGAUCAAGUUGCAGCACGUGACCCUGGUUGUGCAGUGCAGCUGGAGGAGGAAGUGCGCAGACUAGCACAGAUAAUCGACGACAUGCAAGGAAGGAACAGAGCCCCUGGUUGGAGGAUAAUGCUGGACGGAGAAUCACCGCUCGCAGCAGAGAUCAUGAGGGCAGUUAUUCCGAGAGAUUUCCGCCUCCCAGACCUCAGAUACUCGGGAAGAACUGAUCCGUUGGUGCACAUAGAGCGCUUCAACGACAUAACUGGGGUACAAGGAUUAUCUCAAUCCCAAAGGUGCAGAGUGUUCCCACUAUCCCUUGAGGGACGUGCACGAGAAUGGUACAGGAAACUUCCUCGGGGCAGCAUUAAAACCUUCGAGCAGAUGUGCCAGGAAUUCGCGGAGCAGUUUAGUGGGGCAAUGGCGCCGGAAGAUGACAUGAUGGAGCUGAAAAGCAUGAAACAGGGGGAGCAAGAAACCCUUCGGGAAUUCAUCAAGAGGUUUCAUCGGGCUGUCCUUGACUUGGGAGCCUUCAACCACCCUCAGGCGUUAAGGGGAUUGAAAGAAGGGGUGAAGAUAGGAAGGCUGUGGUACAAUUUGAGAAGCCCAGCUAUUCAAACGUAUGCAGCCGCAUACGAACAGGCUAAGAGAGACAUCGAGAUUGAAGAGGAGAAGGCUGCACGGAUUAAGACAGACCAGUUAGAAGGGUUGGGGAGGAAAGAGAAGAAAGCAUUACCGGGGAAUGGGCCGAUCAGGAGGAGGGACCACCAGGCCUCCGGUAGUGGAGCAGGAGGUCGGGUAGCCGCUUACCAGCCUCAUCAAAGGCCACCACAGUAUCAGCGCAGCAGGGCGCAACCUCCUCGUUCCCCAGCUAGGGAGCCUUGGAGAAGGCAUGAGUCGGCAUCUGGUGGUCUCCAACAACACCCCCACGGUAUCAGAGCGAGCAGACCAGAAGUACUUCCACCGCCCCCAACUCAGAGCGGGGCAAACAGAGAAAGAGCAGUGCACCUGAUCGACCAGAACCCGGACUAUGGGCGGUACACUUCCUUGAAGAUGUCCCUGGAUGAGGUGUACGAGGCCAUAAAGGAUCGAGGGCUGCUGCACCUCCCUACACCAAUAACAAAGCUACCCAACAGGAGGGAUAGAGGACGUUAUUGUAAGUUCCAUGGCACCCAUGGCCAUACCACAGCAGAGUGUAGAGAUCUCAAGACCCAAGUCGAAGAUUUGGUGAGAAAUCGGUACCUGGACGAGUUUAUGGAUGGGACUUUCCCGAUGGGGGCCACAACAGGUGAAGGGGAGCAGAGUGGCGGAAACGUUAGGCGCGAGCAGCCCGCAGUAAGGGUGAUAGCUGGGGGCCCGACAUUGGCCGGAGAUUCCAACAGAUCGAGAAAAAAUUAUGCUAGGUACGCCAUGACCAGUAAAGAGGUACUCCUCAACACCCCAGCAGCCAAACGAGCAAGGGUCAGGCAAGUGCCAAUCAUGUGGACGGAUGAGGAUGAGGAAGGGAUUCUAUACCCCCACGAGGAUGCUUUAGUCAUCAAGGCUACUGUCGCUAGCAAGAAGUUUGACCGGAUACUGAUUGAUACAGGGAGCUCAGUUGAUGUGUUAUUUAAGUCAACCCUGGAAGAGAUGGGAAUAGCCGACCGGAAGUUGGAAUACACCAAUACCUCCUUGAAGGGGUUCGGAGGAGGGAAGCUGGUCCCUCUGGGCGUGGUCGAGCUGCCUAUCACAAUUGGGAGCUCUCCGACAGAAAGAACAAUGAUACUGGACUUUGUCGUAGUGGAUGAGGAAGGUCCUUACCAGAUGAUCCUAGGUCGGCCAUUUUUAAGGAUGAGCAAAGCGGUGUUGUCCAACCAUUAUCUGGCUCUGAAGUACCGGGUGAACGGGGUAGUAGGAGUGGUACGAGGAGACCAGAGGAUCGCAAGAAGCUGCUACUCCUCGGCAGCAAGGGAAGCAAUGCAGAUAACAUCCCUCGAUACCCGAGUGGAAAACAAGAAGGGCAGACAAGAACCUGUAGAGGAUCUGGAAACAGUAAGCCUGGGACCAGAGAACCCGGGAAAGACGAUCAGAAUCGGGUCGAGACUUAAGGGAGAGCAAAAGCAGGAGUUGGUGAAAUGCUUACAGGCUCAUGCUGAUGUGUUUGCUUGGACACAUGAAGACAUGCCAGGAAUUGACCCUGAGGUAGCAUGUCAUAAGCUGGCAAUAAAGAAAAGUGCUCGGGCAGUAAGGCAGAAGAGGAGGUGCUUCAACCAGGAGAGGUAUGAGGCUAUAAAUGGCGAGGUGGAGAAGCUCUUGAGAGCAGGGUUCAUUCGGGAAGUCAGUUACCCUGAGUGGAUAUCGAAUGUGGUGUUGGUAAAGAAGGCAAACGGCAAGUGGAGGAUGUGUGUGGAUUUCACAGACCUCAAUAAGGCGUGCCCAAAAGACAGCUUCCCUUUACCAAAGAUCGAUCAGCUAGUAGAUUCAACGGCUGGACAUGGUCUGCUUAGCUUCAUGGACGCGUUCUCGGGAUACAACCAGAUCCCCAUGUACGAGCAGGAUGAGGAGAGCACGGCUUUCAUCACUAACCAAGGUUUGUUCUGUUACAGGGUAAUGCCAUUCGGUCUCAAAAAUGCCGGGGCCACCUAUCAAAGGCUGGUGAACAAAGUCUUUAAGCCGUUGAUUGGGAAAACCAUGGAGGUGUACGUGGAUGACAUGAUCACCAAGUCCAAAAUCCCGGAGGAACAUGUCAGACACCUCGAGGAGACAUUCGAGCUUUUGAGGAAGUAUAAGAUGAAGCUCAACCCGGAGAAGUGUGCUUUUGGGGUCGAGUCAGGGAAAUUCCUUGGAUUCAUGGUGAGCCAUAGGGGGAUUGAAGCACAUCCCGAGAAAAUCCAGGCGAUUGUGCAAAUGACGUCUCCCCAUAACCUGAAGGAGAUGCAAAGCCUCACGGGGAGGUUGGCGGCGUUGAGCAGAUUCAUAUCCAAGGCUACAGAUAAGUGUAAGCCAUUCUUUCAAGUGAUGAGGAGGGGAAAGAAAACAGAAUGGACCUCAGAAUGCGAGGAAGCCUUCCGGAACUUGAAGCAAUACUUGCAGCAAGCUCCGCUGCUGUCCACACCGAGGGAUGGGGACAAGUUAUAUCUGUAUUUGGCGGUAUCGGAUCGGGCCGUCAGUUCUGUUCUGGUGAGAGAGGAAGAAGGAGUUCAGUAUCCGAUAUAUUACACCAGCAAGGCCCUGCUCGACGCUGAGACCAGAUACCCACCGUUGGAGAAAUGGGCACUUGCCCUUGUGGUUGCUGCUCGGAAGUUGAGGCCAUAUUUUCAAGCAUUCCCGGUCUUGGUAAUAACAAACCAGCCAUUGCGUCAAACUCUGCACAAGCCAGAUGCCUCUGGUCGGCUCGUCAAGUGGGCUGUAGAGCUGAGCGAGUUCGACAUAGACUAUAAACCCCGCGCAGCGAUAAAAGCCCAGGCAAUGGCCGAUUUCGUAGCUGAAUUCACAGAGCCCGAAGUAUGCUUAGAUCAACAAGAUGCAGAUAUAGGCAAUGACGAAACUCAAGUAUGGCAGAUGUCUGUGGAUGGGUCAUCAGGGGAGCGGGGUUCAGGAGCAGGGAUUGUCUUGGAAGGCCCAGAGGGGGAGGAGAUCUCUUAUACUGUAAAAUUGGAAUUUGCAGCCACGAAUAACCAGGCAGAGUAUGAAGCCUUGAUAGCAGGUCUGGAAUUGGCUAAGGCCGUGAAAGCAGACAGAGUUAAGAUCAGAACUGAUUCCCAGCUGGUUGCGAAUCAUGUCAGUGAAAGAUUCCAACCAAGAGAGGAGAAGAUGGGGCAGUACCUGAAGAUAGUCAGGCAGAUGAUGGGGAAGUUCGAAGCAGUGGAGGUGAUACAAAUCCCCAGGGAGCAGAAUAGUCGAGCAGACAUUUUGGCUAGGAUGGCAGCAGUAGCCGACCCAAAAAUGCCAAAGUCGGUCCCUCUGGAGGUGAAGUCCAGCCCAAGUAUCGAUCAGAAUUUGGGGGUGUUGCAGAUAGAACAAAAAUGCUCGUGGAGGGACCCGAUAAUUUCAUACCUUAGAGACGGGGUAUUACCACCAGAUAAGAUGCGAGCUCGCAAGCUUAGAGCCCAGGCCUCGAGAUACACGAUGAUUGAUGGGGUACUGUAUCGGCGAGGAUAUACACUACCGUUCCUUCAGUGUUUGGAUGAGGACGACGCGGAUUACGUACUGAGAGAAGUACACGAAGGAAUUUGCGGAAAUCAUUCUGGCGGGAGGUCCCUGGCCCAUAAGGUUCUAAGGCAGGGAUAUUUCUGGCCGACAAUGCACCAGGAUGCGCAAGAGAAGACCAGGAGUUGUGUAAGCUGCCAGAGUUUUGUAAAUUUCUCUAACCAACCACCAGAGAAGCUCACCUCCAUGACCUCCCCCUGGCCAUUUGCUCAAUGGGGAAUUGAUCUGAUCGGCCCAUUGCCAAAGGCACGGGGAGCAGCAACAUAUGCAAUAGUUGCUAUAGAUUACUUCACGAAGUGGAUAGAGGUAAAAGCCCUUAGCAGGAUCACAGAGAAGAAAACAACAGACUUCGUAUGGAGAAACCUGGUCUGUCGAUACGGGAUCCCUUAUGCCUUGGUAACGGAUAAUGGCAGGCAGUUCGAUAAUCACAGCUUCAGGGAUUUCUGCCAGAACCUCGGGAUAGAGCUGAAGUAUUGCUCGCCUGCUCACCCUCAAUCGAAUGGACAAGUAGAAGCAGCCAACAAGACCAUCAAGAGGCUUUUGAAAACCAGGCUUGGAGCAAAAAAGGGUGCGUGGGUUGACGAGCUGGCAGGUGUGCUAUGGGCAUCCAGAACAACAAAACCGCAACUGGGGAGACACCGUUCGCUUUGGCUUUCGGACAUGAAGCGGUCGUGCCGGCUGAGAUAGGAACGACCACACACCGGACAAAUCAUUUCAAUGAGCAGGAGAACGACGAGCAGAUAUGUUUGAAUCUUGAUCUGCUAACGGAAAGGAGGGAGCAAGCAGCCGAGCGAUCAGUCAUUUACCAAUAGAGGGUUGCUCGGUAUUAUAACCAGAAGGUGAACAUACGGCAAUUCAGGGUCGGAGACUGGGUACUGAGAAGAGUGAAUCAGAGCACCAAAGAUUCGACUCAAGGAGUGCUGGGACCGAAUUGGGAAGGGCCAUAUAGAGUCAAGCAGAUAGCGGGACCCGGAGCUUACAGGCUGGUUCGCACGGACGGCCACGAGGUGAAACGCCCAUGGAACGCAGCACACCUCCGAAAAUACUUCCAGUAAGACUUGUUCACAUGUGAAAACUAUUUUUGCUCAUGUUCAUUACCGUUUAUCUUUCACGCUUAUUGUCCAAACAAUUUCAUGUAAGUCGAAUCCUGCCAUUAAUGGAACGUCGAGGAAUUUCUUUCACUUGAAACCGAGAAAAUUUCCCAAGGCAUGCAAAGGCUCACCAAGUCUCAAAGCCUGUCUUAUGGUGAGACAGAAGCCAAGCAUGCCAGGAUCUGCUCGGCCACGAGAAGGCAAGCAGAAUCCCAAUCCUCGAAGAAUCCAAGGCACGCAAAGGCUCACUAAGUCUCAAAGCCUGUCUUAUGGCGAGACAGAAGCCAAGCAUGCCAGGAUCUGCUCGGCCACGAGAAGGCAAGCAGAAUCCCAAUCCUCGAAGAAUCCAAGGCAUGCAAAGGCUCACCAAGUCUCAAAGCCUGUCUUAUGGCGAGACAGAAGCCAAGCAUGCCAGGAUCUGCUCGGCCACGAGAAGGCAAGCAGAAUCCCAAUCCUCGAAGAAUCCAAGGCACGCAAAGGCUCACCAAGUCUCAAAGCCUGUCUUAUGGCGAGACAGAAGCCAAGCAUGCCAGGAUCUGCUCGGCCACGAGAAGGCAAGCAGAAUCCCAAUCCUCGAAGAAUCCAAGGCAUGCAAAGGCUCACCAAGUCUCAAAGCCUGUCUUAUGGCGAGGCAGAAGCCAAGCAUGCCAGGAUCUGCUCGGCCACGAGAAGGCAAGCAGAAUCCCAAUCCUCGAAGAAUCCAAGGCAUGCAAAGGCUCGACAAAGUCUCAAAGCCUGUUUUAUGGCGAGACAGAAGCCAAGCAUGCCAGGAUCUGCUCGACCACUAGAAGGCGAGCAGACUCCAAAGCAUUCGAAGAAAUGCCCAAGGCAUGCAAAGGCUCGACAAAGUCUCAAAGCCUGUUUUAUGGCAAGGCAGAAGCCAAGCAUACCAGGAUCUGCUCGACCACGAGAAGGCGAGCAGACUCCAAAGCAUUCGAAGAAAUGCCCAAGGCAUGCAAAGGCUCGACAAAGUUUCAAAGCCUGUUUUAUGGCGAGACAGAAGCCAAGCAUGCCAGGAUCUGCUCGACCACGAGAAGGCGAGCAGACUCCAAAGCAUUCGAAGAAAUGCCCAAGGCAUGCAAAGGCUCGACAAAGUCUCAAAGCCUGUUUUAUGGCGAGACAGAAGCCAAGCAUGCCAGGAUCUGCUCGACCACUAGAAGGCGAGCAGACUCCAAAGCAUUCGAAGAAAUGCCCAAGGCAUGCAAAGGCUCGACAAAGUCUCAAAGCCUAUUUUAUGGCGAGGCAGAAGCCAAGCAUGCCAGGAUCUGCUCGACCACUAGAAGGCGAGCAGACUCCAAAGCAUUCGAAGAAAUGCCCAAGGCAUGCAAAGGCUCGACAAAGUCUCAAAGCCUGUUUUAUGGCGAGACAGAAGCCAAGCAUGCCAGGAUCUGCUCGACCACUAGAAGGCGAGCAGACUCCAAAGCAUUCGAAGAAAUGCCCAAGGCAUGCAAAGGCUCGACAAAGUCUCAAAGCCUGUUUUAUGGCGAGGCAGAAGCCAAGCAUGCCAGGAUCUGCUCGACCACUAGAAGGCGAGCAGACUCCAAAGCAUUCGAAGAAAUGCCUAAGGCAUGCAAAGACUCACCAAGUCUCAAAGCCUGUUUUAUGGCGAGACAGAAGCCAAGCGUGCUAGGAUCUGCUCGACCGCGCGAAGGUGAGUCGAAUCCCAGGCAUUGAAGAAUCUCCAAAGGCAUGUGGCAAAACCAUGAGCCAAGCCGGAACCUGCUCGUCUAGACAGAGACAAGCAGAUUCUCAACCGAAAAUUAAUUCAUAAUUACAACACAAGAAAGUAAUCAAAAACCAUUUUUAUUAAUUUGUUAAUAAUUAACAGAGGGGAUAAUCUUUAUGAACAUUGUUCAUUACAAUACAAGAAAUAUAUCAGGAAGAUGGUGGACCAGUAAGCCCGGCAGCAUCGGUUGGCUGGACCUCCUCAGGUGCAGGAGGGGUAUCACCAGUUGCGUCCGGGGGGGUGCUCGCCUCGCCAACAUCAGCAGGGACUGCAUGAGCAGGAGAGUCUUCCUCCUCAAUCACGAUCGGCUCUACCCCAUCGGCAUCUUCCUUGGCCGCCUCCUCGUCCAUAUGUUGAGCAACACCAGCUGCAAGGUCAUCCAUCUUCAGAUCAGGGUGUUGCUUCCCGAGGACGGCCAUGAUGCAACGAUAGGAAUGCCGAAGUCCCUGGUCGUACUGGUUGUCAGCCUCCCUCUCUAAGUUCUCGACCUGAGCUCGGUGGGAGUCGCGGAGAGAUUCGAGCUGAGCCUCAUACAUAGCCUUCUGCCUUUGCAGAUCCUCCUUGACCGUGGUAAGCUCCUCCUCGAGGGAAAUGGCUUUUGCUUGAGCAAGUGAUUCUUGCUCUAUUAGCUUCAGAUUCUCGAGAUUCAGGUCCUUCUUGCUCACGAGUUUAGUUAACUCAUUGAGGUAGGGGACCAGGUGUUCUGCUCGGCUGUCAGGUAAGCGAGAUCGAGGCCCGACAGGAGGAAAAGAGGAAGCAGGAUCUGUGGCUGCUCCACUAGCUUCCCCGACUUUUACAGGAGCAGGAGGUAAAAUCUUCAAGGGUGGGACCUGCUGCAUGAUGUUGGCCCGCUUUGCAGCAGGGGCAUCCUUACUCUGGUCCCUCUUCGUGGUUGGAGGUCGGGAACGUUUUCGGGUCAGAGCCCCAAUCACAGCGUCCUCCAUCCUAUGGCCAGGAAGUAUCAAGCGAGACUCGAGCAAGUUGUAUGUAGUUAGCAGUUCUCGGCUCGAGCAGGAAUUGGCUAGUACAGCCUCGACCCGUUUGAGCUGGUCAGGUUCAAGCGGGAAGUGGACACCCCAAGAAACUACAACACAAACAGACACUUGGUUAGAGACAAGCCAAUAAAGCAAGAACAAUUAUGGAUGCAAGACAUCUAGAGUGAGCAGGCAACCUGGGACCGUGAAACGGGGUGGGACGUGACAAUCCUUCCCGCCUAUUUGUGCAACUUGACCCCAAGGACCCCCAGCAAAAAAGAAUUUCCUCUUCCAAGCCCCACCACCACCGGUUGGAAGAUCGGUUAUGGGUUUCCGGCUCUUGGUGCUAGAUUGGAAGUAGUACCAGCCGGCAUCUUUGGGGCUGCUCUUUAGCUGGUACAAGUGCUUCACCUCAUCAACCGUGGGCUCGCUUUGGCAACAUUUGUCCCACAAUAUGAACAGACCAGAGAGCACUCUCCACCCAUUGGGAUUCAGCUGACCAGGAGCUAGAUUUAGCCCGUUAAGUAUCUGGGCAAAGUAGGGUUGCAAGGGACACCUCAGCCCGUACUUAAAGCUCUCUAGAAACAGGGUAACGUAUCCCCUAGGAGGCCGGCUGGGAGCAUCCUUCUUUCCUGGGACCUUGAGAGGUAUCUCACCAGGAAUGCUAUACCUAAGCCGGAGGUCAUUGAGCUCGUCAAACAAGGUCGUGCACGUCAUGUAAUCAAUGGCAUAAUCGCGCGACAAGGCUCUGCCUCCUACUGUACCCCGUUCCUCUGGUCGUGAUGUUCCAGAUGGAGACACCUCACCAGAGUCACCUUCCCCAUUCUCACUUAAGGUGUCCUCAGAGCCAGAAGGUCUCUCUUCACCAUUGCUUCCACUCGUGGAGGUUGUUUGGGGGGACAUCCUCCUAGCACUAGUCCCGACACUAAACCUAAUGGGUUCUAAGGGGAUCCCGGGGUCAAAAGCAGAAUCAGUGAGCAGACCAGGCAGGAAACUUAGUUCGUCGUCAUCAAUCUCAACGACUUUCUCCUUACCUUUCGACAUUCCCUAAGCCCUAACCACAACACCACCAACUACUACCCAAACAGAAGAGAAGAGAAAUUAUCUACAACUAUCCGAGACCAAGGAGAUAGAAGAAAUACCUGAAGUAAUGGUUCAGUCGGUGAAAGUCAGAGAUGGAGGCCUUUUAUGCCGGAACUUCUUUGCCGGAGAAACAGAGACGGAGACGGAGUGAAUGAUGAAUAUGCCGUUCGAGAGGAUUUGGUUUUCCUAAUGAGGACGGACUCUUGGGUUGCCAGCAUUUAACGGCGCCGAAUCCCGAGGGUCUCAUAACCGUCGGUUUGAAAUUCAAAUGGAGGGGGGGAUUUCUGCCACGUCACCUCGUCCGCAAUUAAAUGCGACAUGACUCUUGGCAGCCUUUUCCAAUCCCACGCGGGCGAGUACUAACGAGUUUCUACUGCUGGUCCACUACAUUACCCAACACCAGAAACUGGGGGACCGGUGUUUGGGAGAAAUACGUCGACGAGACCAGGCAUGGUGAGCAGAUAUCUGAUGGCAGAGUUCUGCGAACCGGUGUGUUCCGUAAAAGCCUGGUGCGCGGGGGAACAGGAGCAGAAGUAUCCUGCUCGUCCACGAGCACGUCAUCCGCGAGGCCAAUUUCCUGUAAGAGGCAUAAGGUCAUUCCGGCUAGAGGUCGAGAGGCGAGGAGACCCGGUCGACGGCAGUUGGCAAGACAUGCUCCCCAGCCCGAGAAUCUAGGCACGACAGCCACGCUUUCCCCAGAACCGUGGCGUAACACGCAAGAUCUCACAGAACCACGACAGCCACGCUUUCCCCAGAACCGUGGCGUAACACGCAAGAUCUCACAGAACCACGACAGCCACGCUUUCCCCAGAACCGUGGCGUAACACGCAAGAUUCCACAUUUGCCCAUAACGCAGCAGUCAGAGUCCCAUACCGUCUCGAAAAAAGUGGAAAACUGGGAUUCAGGGGAAGCCUAUAAAAAGGUAGCCAACGAAGGUAAAAGGGUUAGCAUUUUUGAGAUUAGAAAAGAAAUGAAAAAAGAAGAGAAAACCACGAAAAAGCCAUAAGAUCUGUGGCAAGCGUUCCCCGAACCUUCAUAUCUGACUUGAGCGUCGGAGGGUUUGCGCCGGGAAAACAACCGGCGUACUCUGACUUGUCUGUGUGCGCAGGAACCUCUGGAGAAGAAGCCUCACUUGGAGACCUCCUGGUCGUGAAGAAGUUGAUCGGGCAGAGAUCCUGGUCGUAGAACGAGGAGAACCGGAAUCCCGCAUCAACAGAGGGUUCAAAAGACACGGUGCUUUUGAAGAAUCUUUAUCUUUAUUGUGAUCCUUACAUGCGAGAGCGUAUGAGCAAGCUUGAUAGACCUUCUUUUGUUGAUUCAUUCCAUUCUGGUGAGGUUAGUUCAUCACGACCUCAACUUAGAUUUUGGGAUGGUUUACGAUUCACUCUCAGUUUAUGCAGAAAAACAAUCUAGUUUUAAUUUGGCAGGGUUUUUCCUUCUCUCUCCUUUUCUUCCUUUUCUUCAUUGGUUUCUUCCUCUUUUAUAGCCGCUAUCCCACGUUUUCGUUCAUCCUUCAUCCCCAUUUUUCGGGUAGUGGCAGCCCCUCAUGGGACUCCAACUGCUACAUUAUGGGUAAAUGUGGGACACCGUAUCUCCCUCAAUGGUUUUAGAAAAAGCGCAACUGUCGUGAUUUCGUGAGAUUGUGUUCCCGUUCUUUGGGGAAUGGAUAUCUGCUCGGUAUAUGUCUCUGGUCGGCCUAUAUUUAUAGAAGGCUCAUUAUCAGUAUUCUACUUAUACCAUUCAGCUGAGGUGAUCUACCUCGAAAUGAGAAUGAUAACAUGACUGACCUGAUGCUCUUAUUUACUUAACAGUAAAUUUUCUAUGACCCUACAGGUGACUAAUUAAUGAGAACUUGACAAUGACAAAAGAAAGUGUAUGAGCUUUGCAGGCUGGCAUGCCAAUAUUGACUGUGUGGCACCAUCCACCAUCUGCAAUUGAAUAUCAUUAUUGUUUAAUCAAUGUGGUGGAGUCCACUGGAACCACACCACAUGGUCAGUCUUAUCUCUAUUCCUCAAUUUUCAGUAUUCCAUACAUCAAACCAAUUUCAUGUUUGUUAGCAAUUAUAAUUUCAUUGUUGGUGACGAUUCUGAUUCCUUUUGUUGAGAAUCAAAUAAAACGGCAUUGAAUGAAGCUUUCAAAGACAGAAUCUGCACUUGUCAAAGGGGUAAUCUGCACUUGUCAAAGACAAGAUCCGCGCCGAACGGAUUGACACAUUUCCUUCCGUAUUCACAUAUGUAAUCUUUGAAAAAAUGUAGCCUCUGCAUCUAUAAAUAACUCUCAAUGUAUAAUGCUUUAUUUAAGAAAUGAAAACACGUUUCUUCAUGGUAUCAGAGCCAUGAAUACGCUCAAGUUUCUUCAAGUUCCGCUGCUCUGUUUGUAACAAAAAUAGAGGAAACCAAAUUCCUCCCACAACCAUUUUUCCCACCAUUUUCUUUCUUAAACCCAUUCCUACCAUUACAGAUAUCCAUGCCGAUCAAGAAACAAGCCACCCAUACGUAAAAAACUUGAGUUUACAAAUUUAUCAACAAUCCCAUCAAUUUUCUGAGAGUGUGUUCCUAAAAAACCAAGAACACCAUCAAAUUUCUCAGUUUUCAGUGAGGAAACUGUAAAAAUUUCGCAUUUAAACACAUUCCCACGCGCUCCCACGCGCCACCCGAAGCCACGGCCAGUCAACCACGCGCCUCUGUCAUCAUUCACGCGCUCUCACGCGCUCCAGAGGUUGAAGAAGACGCCAGCCGACAUGUCGUUCUUAUCUCAGAAGUUCAGCAGUCACAAAACGACGUGUCGUUUUUUGUUAUAUUAAAAUCGACAUGUCGUUUUGUAAAUUAGAGAUAAAACGACGUGAUGCUUAGUCUCCAGAAGUGCAGCAGGAUUAAAACGACAUGUCGUUUAUAUUCCACCAUAAUCGACAUGUCGGUUUGGCAAGCAGUGGCCAAACGACCUGGCGUUUUGUUACCUAAAAAGGUUAUUUUUUUUCUUCUUCCAAUCUAGAUGGAAAAAAAAAAAACAAACAAAAAAAAGAAAAAAAAGAAAAAAAAGAAAAAAAAGAGAAAAAAAAAAAAACAAAAAAAAAUGGAGAAAACUCCAACUGAAUCUAGUCCUGUUGUCAUUCAAUCUGUUCAAUCUGAUGGAGUAUUUAAUGCUGGAAUUAUCCUCACUGAGACAAACUACGAUGUUUGGUCUCAAAUAAUGGAGAUGCAUCUUGUAGAAAGAGAAAAACUCUCAUAUAUUCGUAGCAGCACAAAGCCAUUUGAGGAAUCUUCAAAGGAAUAUGAGAAAUGGUAUAGUGAGAACCAAAAAGUAAAAAGAUGGUUACUCAUAUCCAUGUCUCCGGAGAUCAUGAAGCGAUAUUUACGAAUUCCUACAGCCUACGAAAUCUGGGAUGCAUUAUCAAAAGCCUUCUAUGAUGGAAGCGAUGAAUUACAAGUUUUCACUCUAAACCAGAAGGCAUUCUCUACCAAGCAAAAUGGACAACCACUCUCUAAAUUCUAUGGAGAAUUGGUCGAAAUAUUUCGAGAACUUGAUCACCGAGAUAAAGUGGUCAUGAAGGAUCCAGAAGAUAUUGUAAUAUACAGAAGGUCUGUUGAAAGAUUGAGAGUGCACAUUUUUCUUGCUGGGCUAGAUGAAGAAUUUGACCAAGUUCGUGGAGAAAUUCUACGAAAAGACAUUAUCCCAGACUUAGAAGAAUGUUAUUCUUUGAUCCGAAGAGAAGAUAUACGGCAAAGCAAACUAAACAAGAAGGUCGACUCAGAAACGUUUGCAAUGAUAGCACGACAGCAGCCUCAAAGGAAGUUUGUUGACAAGUCAUCACUCCAUUGCACUCAUUGUAGAAAGAAGGGUCAUACGAAAGAACAAUGUUUUGAAAUCAUUGGAUAUCCUGACUGGUGGGAUACUCGAAAGAAGAACACCAAGCAUGGAUCAAAAACUGCAGUAGCUGAAUCCACAUCCACUACAGAUCUUAGAAAAGAAUCUUCAGUGCAAAUCGCAACCUCUGUCAGUCCAGGUAAGGCCCUUAAAACUCUUACACCUGUUAUUAAUAGUACAUGGAUAAUUGAUUCUGGGGCAACUGAUCAUAUGACUUUUGAUUCUCGACAAGUUUCUCAAUUGAAACCAUCUUCACAAAAAUAUAUUUCCACUGCAAAUGGAACCACAACCUCAGUUAUUGGGGAAUGAUCUUUACGACUCACAAAUGAAUUAAAUUUAGACGCUGUGUUAAUUGUUCCAUCUUUAGAUUAUAAUCUUUUAUCUGUGUCUCAAUUAACCACUUACUUAUCAUGUGUUGUAAUUUUUUGGCCUGAUCAUUGUGUGUUUAAGGACAUCCAAACGAAGCAAACGAUUGGUUAUGGUAUUAGACGAGGCAGCUUGUACUACUUGGAGAUGUCAUCAACAAACACUGGAAAGCUAAGCCCCGCACUAGUUGCAGAUAGUUCCAUAAAAAAAGGGAAAUCAGAAAUUUGGUUAUGGCAUAGACGUUUAGGGCAUGUGUCAUUUAGUUACUUAAAAAAAUUAUUUCCUAGUUUGUUUCUGAAAUUUGAUGUUUGUAACUUUAAAUGUGAUGUUUGUGAACUUUCAAAAAGCCAUCGAACUACUUUUCCAUUGUCCUUAAAUAAAAAUCCAGUUCCUUUUAUGGUAGUACAUUCUGAUGUAUGGGGGCCAUCUAAAGUUUCUACAAUUGGAGGUGCUCGUUGGUUUGUUACAUUUAUUGAUGAUUGUAGCAGAAUGACAUGGAUUUUUCUGAUGAAAUCGAAAGACGAAGUAAACUCUUUAUUUCAAAGAUUUCAUAAGAUGGUGACAACUCAAUUUCAGACACAAAUUCGAGUUCUACAUACUGAUAAUGGAGGUGAGUAUAUGAGCACAGCAAUUCAACAGUUUCUGAAAUCACAAGGAUCUGUCCAUCAAACCACUUGUGUGGGGACACCCCAACAAAAUGGCGUUGCUGAACGAAAGAACAGACAUUUACUAGAAGUUGUUCGAGCAUCACUAAUCCAAGCCCACAUGCCAUUAUCUUAUUGGGGAGAAGCAUUGACAUCCGCAGCAUACUUGAUCAAUCGAACACCUUCAAGCUCCCUUGGAUUCCAGACUCCUUUCCAAGUUCUGAAUGAUGCAAUUAUGUCACCAAAUGUGCCGAAUCUGCCCCCACAUGUGUUUGGCUGUGUUGCCUUCGUUCAUUUGCCGCAACAAGACAAAUUAUCUCCUCGAGCACUACGUUGUGUGUUUGUAGGGUAUGCCUUACAUCAAAAGGGAUACCGAUGCUAUCAUCCACCAUCAAGAAAAAUAUACAUCACCAUGGAUGUCGUUUUUCAUGAAGAUAUCAUGUACUACUUGUCAGAGUCUGAAUUUCAGGGGGAGUAUAAUGAAGAGGAAAUUCAUACUCUUACAUAUCUUCCACCUGAAGAAAGUCAAUCUUCCAUUGAGAUAGUAAACCUUCAAGAUACUGGAAAAGCAAAUGGUGAUGAUUCGCAAGCUGAGAUAUGUGAAAACACAUUUGGGGAGCACAAUACUCAGACACAACUGCAAUCGAGAAUGAGUCACAUGAAGAAAUACCUAACCAAUCGUCUGCAGAGGAUGUUCCUACCACAAGUCCAAUCAGAAGAAUUCUUCCCCAGCGUCAAAAUAGAGGUAUCCCUAAACCCACAUAUGAGCCUGACUUCUCUAGUAGAGUCAAAUACCCUAUGAGUCAUUUUGUGUCUAACCAUCGCUUGUCAGAAUCAAAUCAGUCAUUUGUGAAUCAAUUAUCUGCUGUAUCUAUUCCUAACAGUGUGCAGGAAGCUUUAAAAGAUCCAAAGUGGAAAGCGGCUAUGAAUGAUGAAAUGAGAUCUCUUCAGAAAAAUCAAACAUGGGAACUAGUUGAUCUUCCACCAGGAAAGAAACCAAUGGGUUGUCGAUGGAUCUACACUAUAAAAUACAAAGCAGAUGGCUCUAUUGAACGAUACAAAGCAAGACUCGUAGCUAAGGGUUACACCCAAACCUACGGGAUUGAUUAUACUGAUACGUUUGCACCGGUAGCAAAAAUUAAUACUAUUCGUAUCUUAUUAUCAUUAGCAGUCAACUUGGAUUGGCCAGUGCAACAGUUCGAUGUAAAGAAUGCUUUCCUCCAUGGAGACCUGUCUGAAGAAAUUUAUAUGGAUCUGCCACCAGGAUGCAGUGGACCAGAACGACUCAAUCAGAAAGUAUGCAAAUUGAAGAAAUCAUUGUAUGGGUUGAAGCAAUCCCCAAGAGCAUGGUUCGGGAAAUUCACGAAGGCUAUGGUUCGUUUUGGGUAUAACCAAAGCAAUUCAGAUCAUACCUUAUUCAUUAAAAAACGACAAGGUAAAAUCACUGCCCUUAUUGUCUAUGUGGAUGAUAUGGUAGUUACAGGCAACGACGAGGAAGAAACAAAGGCUCUUCAGAAGUACUUGUCAAGAGAGUUUGAGAUGAAGGAUUUAGGUGCCUUAAAAUACUUUCUUGGAAUUGAGGUUUCUCGAUCUAAGGGAGGAAUCUUUCUGUCUCAAAGGAAAUAUGCCUUAGAUCUAUUGCACGAAACGGGAAUGACAGCUUGUCAGCCUAUUGACACCCCAAUAGAAGAAGGACUGAAGUUUUGUAUUACUUCAGACCAAGUUCCAGUAGACAAAGGAAGAUAUCAAAGGCUGAUUGGAAGAUUGAUGUACUUGUCCCACACAAGGCCAGAUCUUGCUUAUGCAUUGAGUGUUGUAAGCCAGUUUAUGCAUAAUCUCGGAGAACAACACAUGAAAGCAGUAAUGCGGAUCCUGAGGUACCUGAAGACAAAUCUAGGAAAAGGAAUCUUAUUUUCCAAAAAUGAAGAUUACAGCAACAUAGAAGUUUAUACUGAUGCAGAUUGGGCCGGGUCAGUUAGUGAUAGACGCUCUACUUCAGGAUACUUUACCUUUGUGGGAGGAAACCUUGUCACAUGGAGAAGCAAGAAACAACAUGUCGUUGCCCGUUCGAGCGCUGAAGCAGAAUAUCGAGGCAUGGCCCUUGGGAUAUGUGAAGGGCUAUGGAUAAGUUUUAUCUUAAACGAUUUGGGCUAUCCAUCACAACAACCAAUACAACUAUACUGUGACAACAAAGCUGCACGAGAUAUUGCUCAUAACCCAGUUCAACACGAUCGAACAAAACAUGUGGAGGUAGAUAGAUUUUUCAUCAAGGAGAAAUUAGAUGAAAAAAUCUUAGAAUUGCCGAAAAUUCGAUCAGAAGAUCAACUUGCAGAUAUUUUAACGAAGGCCAUUUCAAGCAGGGCAUUUACAAAAUUCCUAGACAAGUUGGGUAUGCAAGACAUCUAUGCACCAGCUUGAGGGGGAGUGUUGAGAAUCAAAUAAAACGGCAUUGAAUGAAGCUUUCAAAGACAGAAUCUGCACUUGUCAAAGGGGUAAUCUGCACUUGUCAAAGACAAGAUCCGCGCCGAACGGAUUGACACAUUUCCUUCCGUAUUCACAUAUGUAAUCUUUGAAAAAAUGUAGCUUCUGCAUCUAUAAAUAACUCUCAAUGUAUAAUGCUUUAUUUAAGAAAUGAAAACACGUUUCUUCACCUUUCUUUCUCACAAAACGGAACCAUGGUUGCUAUUGGAGAGAUCUUACUCAACGCCUUCUUUCAGGUGUUGUUUGAUAGGUUGGCUUCUUGUAAUUUUCUCAGCUUUGUGCGUCAACUCCAAGGCGGGGUUGAUUUGGAACUCAAAAAGUGGGAGAAAAAGCUGAAGAUGAUUCAGGCUGUGCUCUACGAUGCAGAGGAGAAGCAACUGAUCGACGAGGCUGUGAAGACGUGGCUGGACGAACUCCAAGACUUGGCUUAUGACGCUGAGGACAUUCUUGAUGAGUUUGCUACUCAAGCUUUGGAAAGCGAGUUGAUGGAGCAAAAUCAGGAUAGCUCUGGCCAGCUUCUUAGUUUCAUCCCAGCUAGUUUGAGUCCGAAUGCUAUUAUGUUCAAUUAUAGCAUGGGGUCCAAGAUUAAAGAUAUUACUAGCCGGUUGGAGCACCUCGGCCAAGAAAGAAUUGAACUUGGUCUGCAACGGAUUACUGGAGGGGCAUCAUCAUCUACUGCUGCCGCACACCAGAGGCCACCCAGUUCGAGUGUCCCAACAGAACGUGAAGUAUUUGGAAGAGAAGAAGAUAAGGCCAAAAUUCUUGAUAUGGUUUUGGCCGAUACCCCAAGUGAUCAUGCCAAAUUUGUUGUAAUACCCAUUGUUGGCAUGGGCGGAAUAGGAAAAACAACUCUUGCUCGGGAGGUCUACAAUGACAAGGCGUUGAAGAUUCCAAGUUUGAUGUAAAAGCAUGGGUUUGUGUCUCUGAUGUCUUUGAUGUUUUGGUCAUCUCAAAGGCACUUCUGGAGUCAAUCACCCGCAGGCCUUGUGUUCUAAGCAAUUUAAAUGAAGUGCAGGUUGAGCUGAAAAUAGUUGUGGAUAAAAAAAGAUUUCUACUGGUCUUAGAUGAUGUUUGGAACGAGGACUACAGCUUGUGGGUAGACUUAAAAGCUCCUUUCAUGGCUGCUGCACCAAACGGUAAAAUGAUCAUCACCACACGCAAUUCAAAUGUUGCAUCAAUAAUGGGACCAAUUGAACAUUACAAUCUCAAGAGUCUGUUAGAUGAUGAUUGCUGGUCCAUUUUCAUACAACAUGCACUUGAAUCUAGAGAUCUUAACGCAAAUCAAAUUUCAGAAUCAUUCCGCAAGAAAGUUGUUGGCAAGUGUGGGGGCUUGCCCCUGGCAGCAAAAACACUAGGGGGCCUUCUGCGUACUACGAGGCAUGAUGCAUGGGACGAUAUAUUAGAUAGCAAAAUAUGGGAUUUACCUCAACAAAGUGGCGUUCUCCCUGUGUUAAGAUUGAGUUACCACCAUCUUCCGUCUCAUUUGAAAAGAUGUUUCGCUUAUUGUGCAAUCUUUCCAAAAGAUUAUGAAUUCAAUGAGAAGGAGCUGACUUUCUUAUGGAUGGCUGGAGGAAUUAUUCGACAGUCAAGAAAGAAUGAGCAGCUGGAAGAUUUGGGCGGCAAGUGCUUUCAUGAUCUAGUGUCAAGGUCAAUUUUUCCACAAACCAGCUCGGGUAGUUCUAAAUUUGUAAUGCAUGACCUUAUCCAUGAUCUUGCUGAACUGGUUUCUAGAGAAACCAUUUUCAGAUUAGAGGAGGCCAACUUGUCAUCAAGAAGAUUUGAAAGGAUCCGCCAUGCUUCCUAUACCCGUGGUUGGUAUGAUGGUAAAAAUAAGUUCAAGGUUUUCAAUGAAAUUGAACAUCUACGAACAUUCCUACCAUUACACGAAAGACGAGGAUAUUACAUACCUCGAACGGUUCUAUCUGAUUUGCUGCCAAAGUUCAGAAGGUUGAGAACGCUAUCUUUACAAGGAUACUGUAUUGGUGAGUUACCAAUGUCAUUUGAAGAUCUGAGACUUUUAAGGCUCCUCAACCUUGCUGACACUGACAUAAGAAGUUUACCUGAGUCAACAUGCACAUUGUUGAACUUGGAAAUUUUGAUAUUAAGAAAUUGUUCCCGUUUGAUAAAGCUUCCGCCCAAAAUGAGGAAUUUGAUCAAUUUACGCCAUCUCGAUAUAAGAGGUGCGAAGUUGCUGAAGGAGAUGCCGUUCGGAAUGAAGGAGUUGAAGAAUCUUUUACAAGUUUGGAAGAUUUAAAAUGUUUAAACUUUCUUUGUGAUGAACUCUGCAUGAGUGGAUUAGAGAAUGUGAAUAAUCCACAGAAUGCAAGAGAAGCCACAGUAUGCGAGAAGCACAAUCUUGAAGCAUUGACUCUAGAUUGGGGGUCUCAAUUUGACAAUUCUCGAGAUGGAGUAGUAGAAGAGCAUGUACUGGAAAUUCUACAGCCCCAUAAAUGUAUAAAAAAGGUGGCAAUCAGGAACUAUGGUGGUGCAAGAUUUCCGCAUUGGAUCGGAGAUCCUUCGUUCUCCAAGAUGAAGGUCCUUAAAUUGGAGAACUGUCACAAUUGUGUAUCGUUGCCGUCGCUUGGCCUGUUGAGUUCACUUAAGCACCUUGCUGUUAAAGGGCUGAAGAAACUAAAAAGCAUAGAGUCUGAGGUUUAUGGGGAGGGUUUCUCAAUGCCUUUUCCAUCACUGGAGAUUCUAAGUUGCGAGAAUUUGCCAGAAUGGGAGCAUUGGGAUACCGAGAUCAAAGGAAAUGUGCCUGUUGAUAUAUUUCCUCGUCUCCAAGAACUUUCCAUUGCAGAAUGUCCCAAACUCUCUGGACAACUGCCUGAGCUCCUGCCUUCCUUGGAGACACUUGUUGUUAGUAAAUGUAAAAAGUUGGUAGUUCCAUUGUCUUGCUAUCCGAUGCUCUGCAGAUUAGAAGUUGAUGAGUGCAAAGAACUAGUCUGCCGGACUCCGAUUGAUGUUAAGUUGAUAAAGUCCAUGACUAUUUCAAAUAGUUCAUUAGACCUGAAUGGAUGUAAGGGGAUGCUAUACGAUGGUCCAGCUGGCUCUUCACUGCCAAAGCCCAUGACUACUACAAAUGUUUUGGAGUUUGGAAAAUUAUUGAAGCCUGGAUUUCAGAUAUUCGAAACUUUGGUAAUUGGCAAUUCUGAACAGCUCAAGUCAUGGAGGCAGCAUGGGGAUUUUCCUAAAAAAUACAUGGUCACUGACCAUAGGUUUAAGAAACCAGUACCAGGGCUGAAUAUGCUCGCUUCCCCUGAAGAGGUAAAAAUUGAAGAAAGCUGCGUAAGUCUUGUUUUGUUUCCAGAGAUCAAUUUUUUUCCCAGAAAUCUACGCUCUCUUCUAAUUAAAAACAGCACAACUUUAAAAUCCUUACCCGAGGAAAUGAUGGCAACAAUUCACAACUCGAAAGGUUGUAUAUCAGAGAUCGCGACUGUCUAACAUUCAUCGCAAGACGGAGGCUACCGGCAUCUCUUAAAAGGCUUGAGAUAGAAAAUUGUGAGAAAUUGCAACGUCUGUUCGAUGAUGAAGAGGAUGCUUCUUCUUCUUCUCCUGCAUCCUCGUCGUCCCCAGUGAUGCUGCAACACCUGAGUAUAGAGAACUGCCCAGAGCUCACCAGUUUAUCAUCGGGUGUCCAAUUCCUUGAGGCGCUUGAAUUCCUCGAGAUACGGGAUUGCCCAAAGCUGGAGUCAAUACCGGAUGGCCUGCCCAAUCUUAAAUGUUUACAGAGCAUUUAUAUAUGGAAAUGUCCAAGUCUUGUUCCUUCCCAGAAAGAGGGCUUCCCAACACGAUUUCAAGGGUUGGCAUUGGCGAAUGUGACAAGCUCGAAGCCUUGCCCAAUGAUUUGCACAAAAUCAACUCUCUUCGAUAUUUAAGCAUACAGCUGUGUCGAAAUCUUGUAUCGUUUCCAGAAGAAGGUUUUCCUACCAGUCUAACAUCACUUAGAAUUGGAGAUUUCAAAAUGUAUAAGACCCUCGUCCAGUGGGGGUUGCACAGGCUUACCUCUCUUAGACGCCUCUAUAUCGUUGAUUGUGAUGACGAAGCAGAGUGUUUUCCAGACGAGGAGAUAGGAAUGACGCUGCCCACCUCUCUCACUGAUCUGUACUUAUCGGGAUUCCAAAAAUUGAUAUCCCUGUCUUCGACGGGUUUUCAGAGCCUCAACUCUCUUCAAUAUUUGUUGAUCGCGGGUUGCCCAAAUCUCACAUCAUUUCCAGAGGUGGGCCUUCCAUCCUCACUUUUGGGAUUAUUCAUUUUCAAAUGUCCAAAGCUUAAAAGAGCGUGCAAAAGAGAUCAAGGAAAAGAGUGGCCCAAAAUUGCUCACAUCCCUUGCGUUGAGAUAGACGAAAAAUUCAUAUACGAUCCCGAAUCAGAGGAGUAGAUUUCUGUUAUCCAUUAAAAACGAUCUCCUAUUAGUUUUAUUUUUUAAAUAAUAAUUUUGCAGUUCUGUUUUCUGUAUAAUUAUAAAUCCUCUGCCGUUAAUUAUUGACAAUGUCACUCACGUGAUUCCGUCUUCACUAAUCAGACUGUAUGUUGAGGCUAUUUGCUUUUUAAUCAAAGAUUAAAUUAUAACAUUUAUCUUAAAAUUGAAUAUCAUAGACAGAUAGACGAUUUUUAAAUCCAAAGUUUUUUGAUCCACUUCAAUUAGCAUUUAUUUUUUCCCCCAAAACAGGCAAGCCGAGAGUUUCAAUCAAGAAUUGGAGGAUGUGAAUGGGAUUUUUGUGAAAACAUAAUGGAUGAACGAACAUUUCAUCUGUGAUCUCAAAGUCAACAGAAUUUUAUUUACUCAUUGACUUUUCAACUCCUGUGGUUAUUUAUGGGUGAAAGAUAAGGGCAAUUACAAGAAAUUUGCAAACUUUGUCAACUUCUUUUAAUUGUACCAAUUUGUCGUUUAUGUUUUAGUUUUAUUUUUUCAGUUUUGUUUAUUGCUUAGAUGGUAGAUAUAUCGACAUUUUAGAUUUCAGAUAUUUGUCACCAGUUUCAUUCCCUUUUUUUUCGUUUUUUUAAGCUAGUUUGACUAAUUUUAACCAGAAUUAGAGCAGAAUAUUUUGGAGCGAGCAUACUUGAAAUGAUGCUUUUUAAUUUUGAUCUAGUAAAAAUACAUAGCCCUCACCGGCAGAAUUCUAGUCCCUACCGGGAUUCAAGAAAUUGAAAUUUCUGUCUUCAACGGGUUUUCGAAGCCUGACCUCUCUUCGAUUUUUGUGGAUCGGGAAUUAUAAAUUUACAGUUGUCAGAAGCUUGAAAAAGUGCGCAAAAGAGAUCGAGGAAAAGAAUAUUUCUCUGUUUAGUGAAGGAUGAAUGCUUGGAGUGGAGUAUUUGGUAACAUUUCUGUUUAGUUAAGGAUUUUGAAAUUAAUGAUGGUAAGAUGUGUACUUAUUCUUUCUUCCAGACAACCUUGCCUUCUUUCUUCGGUAGCAUAUCUAAUGAAUAUUUCUCUGUUUAGUUAAGGAUGAAUGCUUGCAGUGGAGUAUUUGGUAACAUUUCUGCCGUAGAUGAAUCCUUGAAGAAAUGCCUGCACUUCCUGAGACCAAAUACAGGUCUGAUUCAAAACAACACCUGUCCCAGAAAAUAUGAUACAAGGCAAAGCCAUGUUCUGAUAAUGUUUCCUUAAGUACAAAGUUGCAAGGAAACUUGAUUCAUUAACUACAAAUUUUUAUUUUUAGGACCUUGCAUCUGAAAGGUUCAGUGUAAUUUUUUUUUUUCAAUUUAUUGCUCAGAUCUCAGACGAGUAUAUGGUUUAGAUUACAAAACACUUACGAUUAAUUUCAUUUUUUUUUAUUUCAGGGAGAAGAAGUGGUCAGUUUCAAUCCAGAAUUGGAAUAUGGCAAUUUGGUGCAAGCACAAAUACCUGGUCACUUCGUCAGUGAACCUGAACUUUACUGAACUUUACACAGUUUUUUCAACUCAGUGAUUUUUGGAACGCAUAUUGGUGUAAGGAAAUCAAACGAAAUUUAUGCAUAGUCAAAUUCUGAUAUUUGCUAUAUUUUAUACAUUCUAAAGUUUCUCCAGUUUGUUCUCAGAUUACCAUCACUUUUUGCCUUCACCAAAAAAAAAUAUAUAUAUAUUUGAGUGGCUUUCCGGUGGAUAUUUAAUCGGAGGCAUGACUGGAUUUUUUUUCACUUCUGUAGAUCUUGCAUUUUAAACUGGCAAAUUUAACUUUAAUUUCAAUACGACUUUGUUGGUGCCUUCUGUUCCAGGAGCUAGAAAGAUGUGUAGUUUUCAGAUAAAGGGGCUUGUGAAUUCUCUAGUAAGAAUCCAAUAAUUUGCUUUUGCACGUUCAUUUUAUUUGUAGAUCCUUGCAUCUGAAUUUGAUCAAUCCAAAAGGAACUGCUUUUAGAGGGAAGAAGAAUAGCAGUACCUAUUCGAUGACAUAGUGUAUGGACCCUCACAUGUUAACUUUCAUGAAAAACACAUUUAAGAAAUUUGCAACUUUUUGGUUAGUUAUGUAUCCAAUGUUGUUUUCUGUUUUAGCAUUUGUAGAAUCUACUGUAUUAUAUUUUGGCAGCUACAGUAUCUGAGGUAUCUUUUGCAUUUAACUUGCUUUAUAUGUUUUGUCUGUGACUUAAGAACACCAAUAUUUGCCAGAGAUUUAGAGAAGCAUAUCAAGAUGCUUGGCUAACUUGACAAACUUCAAGAUCCUUCAUUCUUCACAAUGCAAAACUUGUGAGUACACUUAUGCCCGCAAUUAUUGUGAAAUGCUUGCAAUUUUGAUGCAGCGAAAUGGUUUGUUGAUGCAAAGGUUUGAACUUUUAAGGUUUACCCUGCAGGGUAGUUGGAUGCUGUAUACUCGAAAAGCCACCAACAUCAAGAACUAUACCUCCAAGACUGGGUUUGCAUUAAUUCAAUCAGCUGAAAUAAUGAUGCAAAGGACACUAUCAGCUGGACUUAGAGACCAGUCAGAUCAAUUAUCCAUUUUAUCAACAGUUAAUGUCAUCAUGGUGGCUAUUAGAGGAAACAGAGGAUGUGUCGGAAUCAAUAUGAACAGUGAGAAGAAUGAGAGGAGCUUUGAUUAUAAAUUGGCUCAAUGAACUCAUGCUGGUAAGUGGUAAUUAAAGAAAUUUGUGCGCUUAGCAGAGUUUCAAUAUUUUCUGUUUGGGAUAUAGUUGAUAAGUUGAUACUCUGAUUAAUAAGCCUGAUUAUAGUAGCUGACUGUAUUAACCAGGUUCUUUUCUUUCUUUUUUUUUUGGUGGUUUGCUGUUGUUUUGAUUAUGCUGUAACUACAAGGAAGAGCCGGACUUGGAUGCAGGCGUUCAGCUUUUAAUGGUUAAGAACAAAUGUAUGCUUUAACCAUGUUUCUCACUUAUUACAAUGUACGCAUUGAAGGCAUCUGAGCUGAUCCUGAAAAUGUCAUGGAAAUACUUCUCUGUUUACAUAAAACAGGACAAAUAGAGAUCUCUGAUCAUGCCUGAGAAUUCGUUGCAUUGAAAUUUCUACCAUUGCCAAAAAUAGAAUAAACUAGGGAUACAUUAGCGUAAGACUCAAUUUUGAGAAGGAAGUUUGUACUUGCAGCCUAAAAAAUCAUGUCUUUGUUGUAUACUUGUAUGUUUCUUUGGGAAAUGAAAGAUUCUGUGUUCUUUUAUUUCAAGUUUGCUGAAAUCACAUUUGUUUUCUUAGAUGCUUUCCAGAAGGUAACAGCAUCAAUUUCAAAAAUGCUGGGGUAAUAUGCAUCACGCAGUGCUACUCAACAUGAGAAAUCCUGGCUGCAUUAACUGUAUGUUGAGUGAUCGCACAGUACAACCUUGAGAAGCUUGUAAGGAGUAGACAACUAGAUGCGAGUAGUUUCAAUAUGGAUUCGCAUCAAAUGAUUUCUUGCCACUGAUUACCAUAACUUCUAUCCCAAAAUUCUGGGAACUGGUCAUACCAGCUAUGAAGUAUUGUAUACGUUGAAGAGCUCAAGGCCUUGCAAAAGCUCCGUCAGCCUUUGUAUUGGCAAACAGAUGGUUGUAGUUGCUUCUGAAUGAUAUGAUUAAUAGAUUCUGUAAAAAUGAAUUGUGCUAUACGCUUUCAGAGUUCUGUUAAGAUGUCUUGGUAGUUUUUGAUGCUUGUUUGAUUUAUAUUGCAUUCAGCUAUAAAUCAAAGGUUCAGAACACGAGUAUGUUGCUGAUUUCCAAAUAGAAAAAUUGCCUUGUGAUGUUAGUGUCCAUUGUUUUCACAGGAGAUCAGGUUCCUUGUUAUUGAAUCAAGAAGGCAAACGCAUCCAUGUCUGAGUUCAAUUGUGUCCCUUCUAUUUUCUAUUACUGACUCAUUUAUUUUGAUUUCUUCAUUGUGAUUGAAUUGGUUUUUUAUUCCAAAUUAGUCAAAACCUCAUAGAGUUAUUAAGUUCCGUUAGCAUUCAGAACUACGUACCAAAUGAUUAACAGGAUUAAAUUACAAUAAAGAAUUAAGUUCUUUAUUGUAAUUGAAUUUGCUUUCUCAUGUUUAGAGAUAUUAUGUUCUGGUUAGGGGUGAUUUCUUGAAGAGUCAAUCCAUUUGUGUUUAUACAUUUUUCUAUUGCCUUGAUUUCUGUUUUCUGGGGAGUUUAUACAGAUUCUUAUUUUAUGCUUCACAUGCCACAUGAAAGAUCAAAGCCUUCUGUCUGAACAUAAUAUACGUAGAAAGUUAAAUUUAUUUAUUUAUAAGCAUGUCCCAGUGCCCAGUGGCAUCCUCUUAACUUGUGAUAGUCAAAUGUAUUAUACGAUACAAUAUCAGCUUGACUUUAGCAUAGAGGAGAAUAGGGUUGGUGUUGGACUGAAUUCUGAUCCUUGAAUAAAUAUAACAGCUGCCUGAACCAGCUUAUUUGACUCCACAACUUUAUACUUGUUUUAUAGUCUAUGCCUACCUCCAUCGUCGGCAGCUUACAGUCUCUUUUAGCAUUUUAAAAAGUUUCAUGAUAUUCCAUAGUUCGCAUGGACUGCUACAAUUUAGAGAAACAUAAUUACGGCAUAUUUAAUUACCACGCGAGGAGUCUUCUUUUUUGCGCACCAAUAAUUCUUUGUACUUAAUUAGAAGAUGAGAAAUCCUUUAGCCGAACCACGAACUCACCUAUUAGUGGGGUUUUUUCCGCUUGCAUUCAGUCGCUCAAGUGAAAAUUGCGUGCAAUUUUUUCCUCAACUAAAAUUGGAAUAGAUAUUUUGUUAUUGCUGGCACAAAUUUUCCUUUAAGUCAAAUUGGAAUAGAUGUUUGUGAGAUGCCUAGACCUGAGAUUUUGUUAUGAUUAUAUGCAUUAAAGCUUUCGGUAGACCCUUGAAAUCUUAUGAUCAAUGUAUUAGAAAUUUAGAAUUGGGGUUUAUAAGAGCUAGUUUGACCAUGUUAUAACUUUUAAAAUUAUUGUUGCUAAUUGUGUUAUAGAAAUAAUUAAUCAGUUGUAAAAAUAAUUAGUUAAACAUUUGGUAAAUUUUAUUUUUAAAAGUGUUAGGAGUUUUAAAAGCAGACGUACGUACUUAGUAAAUCUCACUUUUAAAAUAUUAUAAGAAUGCAAAAGGUUUAAAUAUAUAUAAAUCUAUACAAUUUAUUUACACAUGCAUUUAUAGAUACAUGUAUAUAUAAUAAUUGAUAACUAAAAUAAAGAUUUUUAUUUUAUUAAUUUUUUUUGUUAUCUAAAAAAAGGUAAUAAUAAUAUCUUUAAUGACGUAUUUAUUAAUCAGUAAUCGGAAUGGACUGGAAUCAAAAUGGAGGAAUGGAAAUCGGAAUAAAUUGUUUACUUUAACUAUCAAUAUUGGAAUCGCAAUGAACUGUAUUAUCACUUAUAUAUUUAUUUUAUCUGAGAAUCAGAAUGGAUUGAUUUAAAUUACUAGACAGACCUUAUUAUUAUUAUUAUUAUUAUUAUUAUUAUUAUCAUCAUUAUUAAAUAAGGUAAAAAGGAAUUUUCAAUUUUUACUGAAGUAAAAAUAUCAAUUCACUUCUCAUUUUCAGCCCUAGGGAAUGAGACUCCCAUUCCACAUUCUAGAAUUUAUAGAGUCCACUCAAAUUUUCAUUCCCAUUCCCCCUCCUUGUUUUGCAAGUAAACAAGUUAAUAAUCCUAUUCUCUCAUUUCUACUCCCAUUCUCAUUCUCAAGUACUAACACAUCAAGGUAUUCGGUUCGGUUUUUGCCCAAUAGAACUGAAAUUAUUCGGUUUGGUUUGAUUUGGUUUAAUAUAAAAAGCCAAAGGGUUUAUAUUUUUAUGAACCAAAUGGUUUGUAUUUGAUUCAAUUCUAAAACUGAACCGAAAGCACAAACCAAUCGGUUCACGUAAUUUUAAUUAUUUUUAGAAAAAGAAAAACCAAAACUAAAUCGUAGAAUGUGAAUCCCUAAAAUCUAAAUCCCUAAUUCUCCUAACUAACUAAAACUAAUCACAGAACAACACAACCACAACAACCUAGCAAGCGCAGCGGUAGCCCCUCGAACCACGCUCACUCUCAAGUAUAGCAUGACAAUAGGGCUCUCUCAUGCAAUGAUAGGUAAUUUCUUAGUUUAGAAGGGAAAGUAAGAGAAACAGAGGAAGAAUAUAAGUUGAUUAAAAGGGAAAAGUCAAUUCUUAUUCCAAAAACUUGCUUAGUGCAAGUUCAAUAGGGUCUCUUAAAUAGACCUAUACAUAUAAUAAAAACUAGAAAAGACGAAAAUCACUUGAAAAUAAAAAGCAUGAUCACUUAAAUGGUAAACAUACAUAACCGCCAUGAGCUACAUGCAACCUAAGUCAAAUAAUCAACUGAAGAAACUUGAUCCCCAUGCAUAUUGAGCACAUACCAUUCCCCACCCUUUAGAAACACCUUGUUGGUGCGGUUAAAGUGAGGGUGAGCCUUUGAGAAUCACCAACAGUUCCAACGAGUGUCCUCAAUUGCUGCUCCUAUCCCUAUAACCAGUAUUGAGUUGUACGAAUGGCACAUGAUCUUCAAUCAUGAAUAGUUGCAGCUUUUAACAACAGUGUGAUACAAACUAAUAAAAAUAAUAAAAAUUAUUUAUUUUAUUUUAUUGUAUUAGUUAAUUUUGAACUAGUCAAAACUAGUUGCCCUUAUUUUGUGGAACUACAUGUAAUUAGUGGAGCAUUAUGUGAGAACAUGCUUAGUGUUACUAAUUUUUAGGUUGUAAUCCUAAAUAAACUUUUAUUAUAUAAAGCUUAAUGUUACUCAAUAAAAAGGAUCAUGAGUUUAUUAUUUUGGCAACAUAAAAGUUGUAAUUGGGAGUUUAUUGGUUUCUCGAAUAACCAAUACUUAUUUGGAGGUUUGGAUUUCCUUGAAUUAACUCCAUUUGUCAUCUAAUUUUUCUAUUUCAUUUGAUUUCUCCUUAUAAACUUUAGUGUUCGUAUCACAGUGGCCAAGAAUAAGUUUCUCGUCACAAUAAUAACACAACCCUUUUCCACGAUGAGCAUGUGCUUCUUAGUUAGAUAGUUGCUGGAUAUGAGGGGAAGCGAUGUCAUCGGCUAUUUAAUCAACCUUAGGAGGUGGACCUAAGACUCUAACAAAGCUAUUUGGGGUUGGUUGCUAUAUCACCAAAAUAGAGGGUGGUAGAGAAAAGUGACUAGUGCAUUGAGAAAGUGAAUUUCGCUCCUCAAUCAGUCUUGUCACACCAAUGGUGUUAGCCAAGGUAAAGGGCUAUUUAAUCUUGACAUCUAGUUGUAUCUCAUCCUGAAGACCUACAAUAAAACAACCAAUUAAAAAACAUUCGAGUAAGCCAUCAACCUAAUAUAAAAGCUUUUCAAAAGUUUAUUGAUAUUAAGCUAAUAAUGGAAGUCUAUUUCAGGUGCAUCAAAGCCUUAGAUGGGUCCUCAUAAUCCAUUAGUUCGAAUCGUAGAAGGACUGUUGUUGAUGCUGAAAUCUGCUCGCCCUCUACCCAACCAAAUCAUUCCACCAACAUUUGUGUAUGCAAUGGAGAGAAUACUGCCCUUUUGCCUCCUUCAGCAACUGCGGAUGCUCCAGGGGUUGGAAUCACCUUUUUCCCUUCUUUCUAAUCCUGCACUCACAGAGAUAGAUCAGAGACGCCGGUGGUUUUACCAGCAUAAACCCUCCAAUACUUAAGUUAGCACAAGGUGUUUUACGGGAAAACUAUGUAACUUGGAUUGUUUGGUUUCUCGUAAUGCUUUCUAAAACUUGUAAAGAAUAUAAUCUGGUUUCAAUUUGGCAGAGUUUUCCUUUUUCUCUCAAUUUUUCCAUCCCUUUUUUCAUUGGUUUCCCGGCUUCUUGUAACCGUUGUCCCACGUUCCUAUCUACUCCUCAUGCCCCCCCUUUUAUCGGGUGAUGGCAGGCCUUCAUGGCCUCCAACCACUGGAUUGUGGGUAAACAUGGGAUGACAUGUCCCUCUUGACGGUUUGGGGCAUAGCGAAACUACCGCAUUUUCGUGAGAUCGUGUGCCCCUUGUUUGGGUGAUGGGUAUCUGGUUGGUAUAUGUCUCUAGUCGGUACAUUCCUCUGGUCGGUGCUCGUCUCUAGUAGGCCCACUUUUGUAUGAGGCGUUUUACCAGGGCUCUUUUUGUGCCGCUCAGUUGAGGUGAUUCACCUCGGGGUGGGAAAUGAGGGCAUGGCUGAGCUGGUGCUCUUUAUUACUUAAUACCAGUCCCCUAGUUUCUGGUCUUGCGAGUGAAAUGAGUUGAGAUUAGAAACUAAGAAUCGGAUUUUAUCGACCCCGGGAAAUUCCUAUCUGGUCUUCGUGUUAUUGUGAUGGACCUGAGGUUCUGCCUUUUGUUUAGGGAGAUUUUUUAUCUAAGUAUGGGCCUUUGUGAGCAUGUCCAAUAUAUAGCUGGGCUAACAUCUCGUCAGGCCUUUUAUAACGGUCAGUGACGUGUCGUUUCUCGUCCUUUCAUAUUUGAAAUUUGAAACGACGGCUUAUCUGCCCUCGAUAUACGGCGAGUGAGCUAGCACCCGUAUAACUUAAACGCUUCCAUUUCCCUAUUUCAUUUCAAAUCCCUAAAUUGAAGCUGUCAUUGCGUUUCACUAUCCGCCAUUUCACUGUAAACUAAGUCCCUCUUUGGACUUCAAUCACACUUUUUGCGUCCGAAACCUCUAUUUGCUGGGUCCUCUCUCCGUCACAGCAGCACUACCAGUGCCAGUUUAUUCUAGGUAUCACUUUUAACUUCUUCGCUGGUUGUUGUUGAUUGGGUUCUGUGUUGCCCCUUUUUGUACCCAUACACUCGGAUUUACUGUGUUUUCCUUUUUGAGUUUUUGAUAUGUCAAACCGAAAGGGGAAACUAAUUGUAGAUGAGAGUGAUGAAGAGGUGGGGGACUCAUACCCCAACCUGUUUGGGCCUAAUGACCCCUUAUCAUCUUCUCGUAGUAUAAGUCUUUCCCAUCAUAGGGAUACCCUAGAGUAUCCUCAUCGCGUGACCACUUUGCCUUCCCCUGAAUUAGAACCCGUGGGAAACCGUGGUGGUUCAGCUUCUUGCUCUGGUGAAAAUCACAGUUCUGAGGGCUGGGGGGGUCCCUGGAAAGUGGGUGAAGGUAAGGAGAGUAGCUCCGAGCCGAGCAGACCCUCUAAGAAGAGAAACUUUGGUCAUAUGAUGGCGGGAGAUGCUUAUCCCAUUGACUAUAUCACCUGUGUUACCACCCACACUGACCUACUCAAGUUUAGAAACCUCUACCAUAUCCCUGAGGUGGUUCUUCUUUUAAUCCCUGGGAAAGGUGACUUCCCCAGUCGGCCUCCAAGGGGAUAUGUCACGAUGGGCACGAUUACCCCUUCAACCUUACUUUGCUUGGAUACUGGGUGGUAUGCAUCUGGCUCCAGGUCAGCUUCACCCGAAUGGGUGGAGGGUUCUCUCAGCCAUGUAUGUGCUAUGGAAAAAGUGUGGACUUGAGGAGCCUUCUCUUGAGGAAGUGAAGCAUUUAUACCAGCUGAUGAGCUUUCCAAGGGAAGCAGGUUGGUACUACUUCAUGUCAAGCUCUGCAAAGAGGAAGCCUGUCACCGACUUUCCUUCUUCCUGUAAAAAUUAGAAGAACAAAUUCUUCUUUGCUGGAGGAAAUUGGUGUCCAACAAUUCAUUCGCUUAGUGGUGAUAUUCACCUCCCAACACAUUUUGUCACCCCAGGUCGUUAAUUUUUCUGCAUACUUCACUUCUCUAAUCGUUACUUAUCGAGUUCCUUAACCUUGUUUGUUCUUUCAGAAUUGUGGGGUUUGAUCAAGAAACUUGACGAUAGACCACUGCUCCAGGUGGAAAUGGCUCUGGUGAACGCGUCUACCUGUCACGAUCUCAUAUCGUUAAUAAAUCUUGUCGGGUUGCACUUAGUGGACGUAGCUAUUGGGAUGGACAACAAGAUCCUCAGCGCUAUGUCUAAGAAACACACUUUGGGUUCAGGUAGCUCCAGCAACCUCCCUCCUCCUUUGAAGAAAGUCAAUGUUGGUUCCUCCAAGGCUUCUGCUCCUGCUCUGCCCCCUCCUUCACCUCGGAAGAAUGGUAGGGAGAAAGUUAGUGACAAGAGCCCCGAGGUCAGCAUUCAAUUUGGAGACCGAUCCUCUCCUCUACCGCCUCGGGACCAGGGUGACUAUCUGACCCUGUACCAGAGAGAUUACAACAAGUCGAUGGGACCAAAAAUGGUCAAGGACAUUGAAAGCAUGAACCUCAGCGAGCUAGGUGGUUCAGUUCAAAUGGUCUCCUUUAAGCUGGCUACUCUGGUUUCUUGCUACAAGAAUAGGUCUACGCGCCAAGAGAGGAGGCUUCAAGCUGAUAACGAGGACUUGAAGAAAAAGGCUAAUUCUGUUGAUCGCUCGAAGGAGAAGCAGAUUGAGCUACACAAGCAGAUCAUGGACCUGGAGGAGAAAGUGGCUAUUGCUGAGUCUAACUCCUCCAAGCUUGAGGGUGAGUUGGGUGAUCUAAAGUCCGAUCUCCAGGUUGCUCACAGUGAACGAGAUACUUUGAGGACGACCCUUGAGGAACAUAUUAGGUCCUUAGAUGAGCAGGUAGCCGAGCUGAAAGGCAAAUCUGUUGAGGUGGACAAUUGACUGGAUGCAGAAUAUAACUCUGGGCUCGCCUUUUGCUACAAGUGCAUCAUGUUUGUGCUUAAGGGAGAAUAUCCUGAGCUUGACAUGAGCAAGCUGGAGGCUGGAGUGCAGAAAUACAUGGCCGAGCCCGAUCAAGGGGAUAAGGAGCAGGGAGAGCAGGAUCAGGUGGAGGCUCCUUCAGAUGGGGUGCAGGAGAGGGAAACAGAGGAUUAUGCUCUUGAAACAGGUCAGGGGUCACUGCCUGCUCCCCCAGAAGUUGCUGGUCCACCUUUUAUCGAGGCUGCUGAACCUCAUAAUCCUUAGGCUUAUAUAUAUAUAUAUAUAUAUAAAUAUUAUUUUGUAUAAAUUCUAAACUCCCAUCUGUCUACAAAUGUUUGGAUGUUUAUAAACUUUGGAUGCUUUUUGUUUGCUUUCUUGCCAUGGUUUUGGUUGUGAAUCGUUUCUACAAGUUACCUUAACAAUUUUGAGUGACUUUGGCUGCUGGUCCUUUUGUCGUCCGAGCAGGAACUGACACUUGUUUGCCUUAGCGAAAUUUGUAAAACUUACAUUUCAGUUUUUCAAACGACUGAGCAGGAACUGGCGUUGGUUUGCCUUAACGAAAUUUUGUAAAAUUGCCUGCUGGUGCUUUAGGCGACCAAGCAGGAAUAGGCACUUGCUUGCCUUCAUAAAAUUUAUAGAUUUGCCUGCUGGUCCUUUAGGCGAUCGAGCAGGAAUAGACACUUGCUUGCCUUAAUAAAAUUUGUAGAUUUGCCUGCUGGUCCUUUAGGCGUCCGAGUAGGAAUAAACACUCGCUUGCCUUAAUAAAAUUUGUAGAUUUGCCUGCUGGUCCUUUAGGCAACCGAGCAGGAAUAUGCACUUGCUUGCCUAAAUAAAAUUUGUAGAUUUGCCUGCUGGUCCUUUAGGCGAUCGAGCAGGAAUAGGCACUUGCUUGCCUUACUAAAAUUUUUAGAACGAGGGAAUUUAUGCUGAAUUCAUCUUUAUUGAACUUUGCAUGGAUUACAAGAGGCGAGAUAUAGUCACGUGUAACAAUUCAUCAUGCUUUUAACAUAAAUAACUUAUUGAAAUAAAACUUGGUAAGGCAGUUUGCUUACUGGAAGUAUUUCUUCAAGUGCUUAGCGUUCCAUGAUCUUUUCACGUCUCGUCUAUCUGGGUAAAUCAGCUUGUACGCUCUUGGGCCAGUUAUUCAUACCACUCUGUAUGGGCCCUCCCAUUUCGGGCUAAGAACACCAUGAAUAGGAUCUCUUGUGCAUUGGUUCACUUUUCUAAAUACCCAAUCUCCUGCUCGGAACUGUCUCAUGCGAACAUUUUUGUUGUAGUAACGCAUGAUCCUUUGCUGGCAUUUGGCUGUUCUCUGCGAUGCCCCUUCUCUUUUUUCCUCCAGCAGGUUCAGGCUCAAGCAGAUCUGCUCGUCAUUUUGUUCUUUGUUGAAAUACUCUGUCCGAUAUGCCCCCACCCCAAUUUUUGCUGGGAUUACUGCCUCAUGACCGAAAGCUAAAGCAAACGGGGUUUCUCCCGUGGCCAUUUUGUGGGUUAUCCGGUAGGCCCAUAACACUCCUAGUAACUCGUCGACCUAAGCUCCUUUUUUUUCUCAUAGCCUGGUUUUCAAGAGUUUCUUUAUUACUUUGUUGGCUGCUUCCACCUGCCCAUUUGCCUUGGGGUGUGCUAGGGUACAAAACUUCAGGUCCACCCCUAAAUUUUGGCUAAAUUCUCUGAAGUUGUGAUUGUCAAACUGUCUCCUAUUGUCUGUAAUGACAGCAAUGAGGAUCUCCUAUCUGCAGAUGAUAUUCUUCCAAACAAAAUCCGUUAUCUUUCUCUCUGUGAUUUGACUGAGGACCCUUACUUCUACUCAUUUGGUGAAGUAGUCUAUAGCCACAAUUGCAUGUAUUACUUCUCCUCGGCCCUUGGGUAAUGGGCCAAUCAGGUCAAUUCCCCACUGAGCAAAAGGCCAUGGGGAUGACAUAGUGGUUAACCUUUCUGGGGGCUGAGCAGGGACUUCCGAGAAGCUCUGGCUGACUUUAUAGUUUUUUGCCAUCCCCGUCGCAUCCUGAUGCAUGGUCGGCCAGAAGUACCCUUGCCGAAGCACCUUGAAAGUCAAAGUUCUCGCCCCCGAGUGGUUGCUGCAUAUUCCUUCAUGAAUUUCCCUCAACACAUAAUUUGCUUCCUCGUCAUCCAAGCAUCUCAAAAGGGGCAAGGUGAAUCAUCGGCGGUAGAGUACCCCAUCGAGUAGCGUAUACCUUGCUGCCUGACAUUUCAACUUUCUUGCUUGCUUCCUGUCCUCUGGUAAGAUGCCCUCACGAAUGUAUAAUAGAAUGGGGUCCAUCCAGGAUUUUUCGAUGCUCACCUGCAUUACUUCUGCUUCCUCCCCUAUGCUUGACGAGGUUCUCACUUUUAGUGGAAUUGACUUGGGUAAUUUUGGAUCUGCAAUUGCGGCCAUUCUGACCAAUAUAUCUGCUCGGUAAUUCUCAUUCAGAUAUAUCUGCUUUAUUUCUAUCUCUUGGAAGAGCUCAACCAUCUGUUUUGCCUUCUUCAAAUAAAGCCCCAUCUUCUCUUCCCUCGCUUGGAAUUGAUCACUGAGCUGAUUACAGACUAAUUGGGAAUUUGCUCAGAUUUCUAUCCUUUUUGUUCGUAGUGCGUGUGCAAACCCCAGCCCAGUGAUGAAAGCUUCAUAUUCAGCUCGGUUAUUCGUAAGCUGAAAUUUAAAUUUCACUGCAUAAGAUACAUCGGCCCCUUCUAGGCUUCGUAUUACAAUUCCUGCUCCAGAUCCCUGUUUACUACGUGACCCAUCAAUUAUUACUAGCCACACCCCCUUUGAUUUCUCCUGCUUCACUGGUUGCUCCUCCCAAAUUUCCUCCCCUAAUUUAACACGGUCAACCAUAAAAUCGGUCAAGGCUUGGGCUUUGAUUGCUUCUCGGGGUUUGUAGGAUAGGUCGAAUUCGCUCAACUCCACGGACCAUUUACUAACCGACCAGAUGCAUCUAGUUUUAGAGCAUUUACCGAAGAGGCUGGUCAGUCAUCACAACUAUCGGGUGGGCCUGAAAGUAAGGUCUGAACUUGCGUGCUACUGUUAUUAAAGCUAGUGCCCAUUUCUCCAUUAGUGGAUAUCUGGUUUCUGCAUCUACCAGGGCCUUGCUAGUGUAGUACACAGGGUGCUGCUUUCCUUCCUCUUCUCUGACUAAUACCGAGCUGGUAGCCCAUUUAAAGACUGCCAAGUACAAAUACAGCUGGUCACCUUCUCCAGGAGUUGAUAGUACAAGGCGCGGGCUAAAUAUUCCUUCAGCUGCCCGAAUGCCUCCUCACAUUCUAACGUCCACUCCAUUUUCCUUCAAUUCUUUAUGAUUUGGAAGAAAUGGUGACAUUUAUCUGUGGCUCGCGAGAUGAAACGGUUCAAUGCUGCUAACUUCCCUGUAAGACUCCGUACCUCUUUAACUGUCCGGGGGGACUUCAUUUUUGUUACUGCCCGUACUUUUUCCGGGUUGGCCUCAAUCCCUCGAUGGCUCACCAUGAACCCCAAAAAUUUACCCGCGCUAACUCCAAAUGCACACUUUUCCGGAUUCAGCUUCAUCUGAUACUUCCUUAGCAGUUCAAAAGUCUCUUCCAAAUGCUUCACAUGAUCCUUCGGUUCCUUGGACUUUGUGAUCAUAUCAUCCACGUAUACCUCCAUAGUGUGACCGAUCAGUGGCUUGAAAAUCUUAUUCACCAACCUUUGAUACGUAGCCCCUGUGUUUUUCAGGCCAAAAGGCAUCACCUUGUAGCAAAAUAAACCCAUGUUAGUUAUAAAGGUGGUACUCUCCUCAUCUUGCUUGUUCAUGGGUAUCUGGUUGUAUCCCGAAAAGGCAUCCAUGAAGCUAAGCAGACUAUGACCUGCCGUUGAGUCCACCAACUGAUCUAUUUUAGGUACGGGAAAGCUGUCAUUUGGGCAUGCCAUAUUAAGGUCUGUGAAAUCCACAUACAUUAUCUAUUUCCCAUUGGCCUUCUUUACCAGCACUACAUUAGAAAUCCACUCCGCAUAUUUAGCCUCCCUUAUAAAUCCUGCUUUCAACAGCUUCUCCACCUCGGCAUUUAUGGCCUCGUACCUUUCCUAGUUAAAGCACCUCCUUUUCUGCAUCACCGGCCUUGCCCCUUUCUUGAUUGCCAACUUGUGGCAAGCUACCCCGCGAUCAAUUCCUGGCAUGUCCUCAUGAGACCAGGCAAAUAUAUCUGCGUGGGACUAUAGGCACUUCACCAGCUCAUCUUUUAUUGCUUCACCUAAUCCUGACCCGAUCUUAAUCACUCUGCUCGGGUUAUUCUUGCUCACAAAAAUCUCCUCCAGUUUCUCGACAGGCUCUUGACGACCCUUCUUAGAAUCUCUUCGGUUAUCCAGAGAGGUAACAUGUAGCGUCUCCUUGGCCGCUGUUGCGUAACAGCUCCUUGCUAUUCUCUGGUCACCUUUUACUACGCCCACAACUCCGUUUACUCUGUAUUUCAAUGCUAGAUAAUGCAUGGAUAUAAUGUAUUAGCUUGCUCUCAUAAAAGGUCGCCCUAGUAUCAUCUGGUAGGGGUUUUUCUCUUCCACCACUACGAAGUCCAGCAUAAUUUUCUUUUUAGAUGACUUCGCUCCUACGGUAAUCGGCAGCUCUAUGAUCCCCAUAGAGGUCAACUGUCUUCCUCCAAAUCCCUUUAAGGAUGUGUUCGUUCGCUCCAAUUUCAAAUCUGCAAUCCCCAUAUCAUCUAGGGCCGACUUAAAUAAUAUGUCGACCGAGCUGCCUAUAUCCACCAAUAUUUGUCGGAAUUCCUUACCCGCCACUAUUACUUUAACUACCAGUGCAUCCUCAUGAGGGUAUAAAAUGCCCUCUUCAUUAUCAUCUGUCCACAUAAUGGGAACUUGUCUUACUUUCACCCUCUUGGUCGUUGGUAAGUUGAAAAGUACCUCUUUGCUGGUCAAAGCGUAUCUCUCAUAAUUCUUUCGUGCUCUGUUUGAGUCUCCAGCCAAUGUUGGCCCUCCUGUUAUCACCUGAAUAUUUAGCUGUUCCCGCUCUAGGCUCCUUUCAACUCCAUCACCCAGCGUAUAUUGUGAUUCAAUGACGGGGGAUACUCCAUCUACAUACUCAUCCAAAUACUGGUUCCUCACCAAAUCUUCCACUUGAGUCUUCAAGUCAUGAUAUUGGCUGAUAGUGUGACUAUGAGUGUCGUGAAAUUUGCAGAAUCUGUUCUUAUCAUGUCUAUGAGCGGGUUUUGUUAUAGGGGCAGGAGGGUACAGCAGGCAUCGUCCCUCGAUUCUCUCAUACAACUCCUCCAUAGAGACUUUCAGUGGGGGUGUACUGUUUGUACGCCAAGCUUUGGUCAAUCAGUUGGACCGUUCAGCUAUCGUGGGUAUCGUUCCGAGCUGGUAUUGUAGGUAGCUGGUUUGGUUGACCAGCCCUGGAGUUAACUAUAUGCAGUACCCUGGGAGCGCUGUGAUAAGGGUGGGCGACUAACUGCCUGAAUUCUCGUUGCCACUCGGGGAAUGAGGGGCGCGGAGGCUGAGCUCAGUUGUGUUGGAGCUGUUGCGGUCUCUGAGCCAUGGGAUAAGGGCGAGACCAAGCUGAUAUUCCACACAUCACUAGCGAUUCUCCAGCUCGCCUUCCUGAUCCGCUCCCGCUCAGGGUUCUUCAAUCUCCAUGUCUCUCUUUGCCUGCUCAUACCCCGUUGAAUAAUUCUGAACGAUGGGACUUCACAAGUUGUACCAUAAUCGGCCUAUUCUUACACCCUCUUUUAAUCCCCUUAACGCCUGCAGGUGAUUGAAAGCUCCCAGAUCAAGCACGGCCCAAUGGUAUCUUUUCACAAAAUCCUGAAGGGAUUCGUGUUCCUCCUGCUUCAUCCCCAUCAAAUCCAUCAUAUCGUCAUCUGGGCCUACUGAUUAUCGGAACAGUGUUGUGCAAAUUUUAAUGAACUCGCAAGCACACGAAUCUAUUGUAGUAUAGAUCAUUGGUAACGAGUGUCGAUCUCAUGAGGAGGUGGAUUUUAAUUGUGUAUAGAAUUGAUUUUGUAAAUGGGUGGUUGGAUUUGUGGUGGAAGUGAUUCAGAUUAUCCUAAAAUUGGAAUUAAAAUGGUGAAAAUAAUUUGAAGAGAAUUCUAUUGAAAUGACGUACUUGGGUAUCUGGAUCCGUAUCAACAUGCAUCAUGGGCUAAAUAUUCCUUAUUAAUACCAAUUAAAUCAUGAGGGGGGAAUCCACACCUCAUGAACCACGCUCUAAUCAAUAUGGUGUUAAGGGCUUAUCGUGCCAAAUAAUAAUAACCUGUACUAGAGAGCCGGUGUAACCAAGGCGGUAUCUAGACAAUACUAGUAUUAUUUGUCAACGAGAAGUCAAAACAUCCAAAAAAACUAGAGGGGAAGAGAAAAUAAAUUUACCAAAUAAAGCCCAUGACACAUGUUGAGACUUCACCUUCAACCCAAGCUUGAAAGAAAAUUAGCUACUCAUAAUUGAACUAGGGGCAAAAUGGGAAUUUAUUAAAAUACGUAGAAAAUACAAGAUGGAGAGAGAAUUACAGAAAAUGGAGUCCAAAAAUGGAUUUAGGGAUAUCAAAUUAGGGGGAGAGGCCCCCUUUUUAUAGAUACAUUGAGUAAAUCGUGGUCAUCGGAUAAAAAAUAGUUUGGACGCUCAGGAUUGCGCCACGUCAUCAGUCAACAGUCCGCGUGAACAGUACACGAUUUGACCACGCGGAUGAACAGUAACACAGUUUGACCCGGGUGAACAGUGACGCAGUUUGGUUGAAAAUGAUCCUGUGUGUUGCAUGUACCGUACAUGAGAUUUUUGAUCCACUGAUAUGCUGCCACGUCAUCGAUCAACAGUGCAUAAGAAUUUUAGUCCAACAGGAUCGUGACACCUCAUCAGUCAAUGCCACAUCAUCGGUCAAUGCCACGUCAUCGAUCCGUCUAUGUGAACAGUGCCGUGAACAGUAACGUAGACAGUACCCGUACAUGUGAAUAGUACCGUAUAUGUGAAUAGUAUUAUUUUUCUUUUUAUGCUCCUCCUAAGAUUUUUGACCGUCCUAAGUUCAAAAAUGAUGUCCGUUUUGCCAUCUGAUCUCUCGUUUAUUGUGAAAUGACUGUGAUACCCCUAAAAUACAUAAAAUACUUGAUUAAAAUAAAACACACGUAAUUAAAUUACAAGUAAGGGUUGUUAGUAAGACAUUUUCUAACACUCAACAAACAGCUCGGCCAACUCUUGGUAUAUCUGCUCGUAUCCCCUUAUACUUCCUCGUGGUAGCUUACGAUACCAUUCUCUGGCUCGUCCUUCUAGUGUCAAUGGGAACACCCUGCACCUCUGAGCUGCUGUUAGCCCCUGUAUGCCCGUCAUGUCAUUGAAGCACUCAAUGUGCACUAGCGGGUCGCUUCUCCCGGAGUACUUGAGGUUGGGAAAGCAGAAAUCUCUUGGGAUAAUAGUGCUUAUGAUCUCGGCUGAUAGCGGAGAUUCUUCAUCCAGCAUUAUCCUCCAGCUUGGAGGCUUUCUCUUGCCCUAUAUCUCAUCCAUCACCUGCGCUAGCCUGCGCACCUCACCUUCCAAUUCCAAAGCACGGUCAAGGUCGCGCGCAGCUACUUGAUCUCGCUCCUGCUCGGCAUUAUGCAGUCGCUGUCUGAGCUCGCCUUCGUCAACAUUUACUCCUCGGUCAUUGAUUUCUAGAACUCGCCCAAGGCGAGAUUGAUCUCUCCUUUCAUCCACACGCUCCCCGGGGAUCCGACCAGCACUUCUAUGGGGAUGUAUCCCAUAGGGUUGUUCUACUAGCGGAGGGAUCUCCUCGAUUCUACGCCUUCGUAGGUUGGGUUCCGCCAUAGUUUCAUCCCUUACCACAGUGGUCUCGCCUUCCCUUCUCCGCUCAUCCCUAAAGUCAUAUAAUAUAGCUGUGAGCGUCUCCAUUUGGUUUGCCAUCUGUUCCAUUCGGUCUUGCAUCAUCCUCUCUCUAGCUUCAUUCGCGAUCUCUCGGAGAGUGAUCGAUUCACCAGUUUCAUUGUCGCCCCCUAAGGCGUCCUUCCUUGUCAUAUCCAUAACUAAUCGUUCACUGCGUCUCUGGUGAUUACUAACUUGAUGGUAGCUUUUUAUCCAGCUCCCUACAGACGGCACCAAAAUGUUGAUGCUGAAACAUGCUUGCCCUCUGCCCGGCCAGAUCGUUCCACUAACGUUUGUGUAUUCAAUGGAGAGGAUACUGCCCUUUUGCCUCCUUCAGCAACUACGGAUGCUCCAGGGGUUGGAAUUACCUUUUUCCCUUCUUUCUAAUCCUGCACUCACAGAGAUAGAUAAGAGACGCCGGUGGUUUUAUCGGCGUAAACCCUCCGAUGCUUAAGUUAGCACAAGAUGUUUUACGAGAAAAUUAUGUAACUUGGAUUGUUUGGUUUCUUGUAAUGCUUUCUAAAACUUGUAAAGAAUAUAAUCUGGUUUUAAUUUGGCAGAGUUUUCCUUUUUCUCUCAAUUUUCCAUCCCCUUUUUCAUCGGUUUUCCAGCUUCUUAUAGCUGUUGUCCCACGUUCCUGUCUACUCCUCAUGCCCCCCCUUUUAUUGGGUGAUGGCAGGCCUUCAUGGGCCUCCAACCACUGAAUUGUGGGUAAACGUGGGAUGACAUGUCCCUCUCGAUGGUUUAGGGCAUAGCGAAACUGCCGCAUUUUCGUGAGAUCGUGUCCUCCUUCUUUGGGUGAUGGGUAUCUGGUCGGUAUAUGUCUCUAGUUGAUACAUUCCUCUGGUCAAUGCUCGUCUCUAGUAGGCCCACGUUUGUAUGAGGCAUUUUACCAGGGCUCUUCUCGUGCCGCUGAGGUGAUUCGCCUCGGGGUGGGAAAUAGGGGCAUGGCCGAGCUGGUGCUCUUUAUUACUUAACAACUGUCUUUGAAAAUUUUGGCUAAGUUAGUAGGCCACAAAAUUUUAUUAACCAUCUAUGCAAUUAUAGAGCAAUCCCCUCCAAAUAGAAUGAUGCCAAUUGUAUUUAUUGUUCUAGGACUACAUUCUCAAAUCCGAAGAAUUAUUCCACCUUAUGAAUCCAACCAGUCGGAUCAUCUCCGUUGAAAUUUGGAAAGUUUAGUUUGAGAUAGUGGUGAUGGUUGGGAAAGUUUGAGGAGAAAGGUUUUAUGGCUUGGUUAGAGGAUGUUGUAGCCUGUAGGUGCAAAGGGGUUAAUUUCAGAGGCAAUUAUGUGUGAGGUUUGUGAUGCACGAAGAGAUUGAAGAUUUCUUGAACCUCAUUACGAAACUCAGCAUUUGAUUGACUUCGGGUAGCCGUAUUUCGAGCAACCUUUGUUUGAUACCAGAUGAUAGGUAAUUUCUUAGUUUAGAAAGGAAAGUAUGAAAAGUAGAGGAAGAAUAUAAGUUGUUUAGAAGGAAAAAGAUAAUUUUUAUUCCAAAAGCAUGCCCACUAUAAAUCCAAUAAUUUCUCUUAAAUAAACCUAUACAUAUACCAAAAACUAAAAAACUAGAAAAGAGGAAAAUCACUUGAAAAUAAGAACAUGAUCAAUUAAAACGGUAACAUGCACAACCGCCACGAAUCAAAACCAAUCGAUUUUAAAUAGUAUGAAUUGAAAUCAAAUUAAACCAAACCAAACUAAAUCGGACCGAACCGAAAUAUUAGGUUCGGUUCUAAAUUUUGGUUUGAUUUUGGUUCAGUUCUAAAUUUUCGGUUCGAUUCUAACUUGUUGUUUUAACACCACGAUUUAUGUUCGUUGGAAGUAUCUUCCUCGUCGUCCAAAAUUCAUCCCACUUGCAGCUCAUUCUCUCAUGCAAUCCCUCAUCUUCUGUAGUGAUUUGAUUGCUCUGAUAACUAUAAGCAAUAAACCACUGCCCAAGAAAUUUUGCCAAGAACAAUUCAAGAUGAAAAUAAGCCAAUGAUUGAUUUAAAGUUCUAAUGAUGAAACGAAACCUUAGCUCUAGGUUAAUGGAGAUUUAACAAAAGAUUGAAACAAAUCAAGAAGCAAACACACUCAAUGCAAAGACAGGAUUUUAAUGUGGUUCAAUUAUGCACAAAGUUCAUAAUCUACAUCCGCGGGAGAAGCCACAAAAAUCUCUUUAUUGAUGAUUCAAGAUGAAUUUUAUUGAGAAAAUACAGAGAUCGUUACAAGGAACAAGAUUACUCUUUCUCACUUUCUAGAAACUCUCUGAAAAGCUCAAUCACACACACGUAAUCUGCUUCAACAACCAGCCUCUUUAUACUCUCUUAUGAAAACCCAGAUUGCACAGCCCUUUGACACGUGUGUAACAGCUUCUAACGACUUGAUUCCUCCCUCACAUGCUAGCUCACGUGUUUUACUUAAGUUUCCUAAAAACGACACAAAGCAAUGUCGUUCUGCCUUAUGCUGAAGAGCCCGUGACUGCACGUGAGUUGUAAGUAAUUCCAACUGAUCAAAACGCAAUCGUUUUGGGACUCUGAGUUUUGAAUUCAUAACACUCCGGUCCACAUCUUCCUCACCCACUAAUAUAAACAAAGCACAAAACAAUUCCAAUCUCAGAAUUAAGAUCAUGCUCAGACAAAUCCUUAAGCCCAUCAGCGAUCUAUCGUCUACUGCGAGCUAAUCGAGAGUGCCAUCUAAUACGAGGUGGCUGAGAGACCGUGAGAGUGAGAUGUUGACCAGAGAUAGACAUAGUGAGAGUGAGCGUGGUUGCGUGAGUGUGGAAGAAAGGGGAUGCUGCUAUGCUGCGUGUUGUGCUUGAGAGUGAGCAUAGUUGCAUGAGAGAGAGAGGGGCUACUGCUAUGCUGUACUUGAGAGUGAGGGUGGUUGCAUGAUAUCUGCUCAAUAUGUAUGGGAUGAAGUUUCUGAUGGGUAAAAAUCAUGUUUUUAAAUUUUUAUAAAACCUUUUUAAGAUCGCUUUCAUAUAAUAUAUAAGAAUUUGUAAUCUAGAAAUCAUACCUUGAAAAUCCGAUUUAGCUUUUUCCGCUGGAAUGAUUUAGGCUCCCAGAUCACGAUCCAUCACCACCACUCCUGUUAGAUUACGAUCCGUCACCACCACGCUUGUUAGAACACGAACUGGCACCAAUGAUCUUCCAGGUUAUGACUCAAGUUUGAUCUGCACUUGACGUGUGGGCGCCUUUAUCACUACCAAAGCAACUAGCACAAGAAAACUUUUCUCUCAACAAUAGAGAGAAAAAUCUUUUUCUCUGAUCUGUAUAAAGUGCCUGCUCCCUUUUUCUUUAGAGAAAAUAAGCAUUUUAUAUCUCCCUUUAGUGAAAACCCUAAGCUCCAAAAAAUCAAAAAACAAAACUCACGUUACUUGCUUUUUCUAUAGGGGACACACCUUGUAAAAUAACAUAAUAGCCCUUACACACAAGCGAAUUAAAUGGAGCCUCCCACUAAAAGAUAUAUUUAGGCUUUUGACCCAAAUAGCUUAUCUUACUUAUUAGUCCAGUAGUGGUGCAUUCAAUUAAAUGAGCUAACCCGGGGAUCAUUUGGGAACAUACAAUAGUGGCUAUAACAAUUAGACCUGUAAUUAAACUAGCCUAAUUAUUUAAUUCCAAAUCUACUCCACUAAAAGAUUGGAAUUGACCUCCAUAAUUGUAUGCUCGAAUAAUAAUUUGUCCCAAGUCUAAUUGAUUUCUUUACUGCACAAUCCUUUGUAUCACAUCGUUAAUUCAAUUGAUAUCUCAACUGUCCAAUCAAUUUAAUAACAUCUUGUUCCUUGAUACUUAUUGGUUUUCUCUAAUGAUCAUUUUCAACAUACUAAAUAUGUUGACACACUCUGGCCAAAGAAUUCUAUGAUCAAGUGCCGAAAACCCAUCAAGAGAUGUAUUGUACAAAUUCUAUAUUGUUAAUCCAUAACUCCAAUACUCAUAAUUGCUCCCACCAAGAUACCGGGUAAUCUUGACCACAAGAAUGUGUCGUGCCCAUUGGUAACUCAAAUGGAAUAACAAUUACAAUCAUGAAAUCAUAAUUAACUCAAGAUUAAGAUUACAGUAAAAUCAAUAGAUUUAAUAAGUCUGACAGUCAUUUCAAUGUUAAUUAAAUCUCAUAUGUGAUCCUGUUCAAUGUAGUCGUACUACAUUAAUAAAUUCAUACAUGAUUAAGACAAAUCAUUCAAUGAAUUCAUUACAGUCUAUACUUAAAUAAAGUGCCCAACUUUAUUUAUCAACUGCGAACUAAAUUUAUUUAAUCAUAAGAUAACUUAUAUUUAUGUCUUCUGUGAAUCCACAUGGUGAUCACAUAAAUACAUAUAAUAUGAUUAAAUGGACUUUGAUCAAAAUAUUAAUGCAAUUAAGAUAUUUGAAUAAAAUACCUCAUUAAUUUUAUUAGUCAGAAAAAAUGUUUAUUAUAAUUAAAUAAACACAUAUACUUUUAAAGAGUAUAUUUUCCCAACAGUUUCUUCAGUUGGUUAUUUCACUUAGUCAAAAUAAAUUAUAGUAGUGGUUGCAUACCUGACUUUGGAGGUAAGGCUGGAGGCAAACUUCUACAUUAAUUUAUAACUUGUUUCACAACAUAUUACGGUUAUAAAUGAGACUUAAUCCAAAGACGGAAAGAGAGAAAUUUGCUACACUCUUUAGUAUCCAUUAUUGAGAAAAACACCAAAAUUAACUUUUACUUCUUUAAAAUCAUUUUUGAAACCUCCCAAAAGAUAUCUCAAAUGGGUUCUCAAUUUUUUAAAACAUUACUUUUGGCUAAACACCCCAUCCUCCAGUAGAUUUUGAAAAUGUCAAAAUGUAUAAGACACUCAUCCAGUGGGGGUUUCACAGGCUUACCUCUCUUAGAAGUCUUUGCAUUCUUGGAUGUCAUGAAGCAGAGUGUUUUCCAGACGAGAAGAUAGGAAUGACGCUGCCCAAUUCUUUAACUUGUCUGUCCUUUCGAGGAUUCAAAAACACAUUUAAGAAAUUGGCAAUUUGUUGUUAGUCACAGUAUCUGAUGUUCUUUUCUUUUAUAGUUUGCAGAAUCAACUGUAUUAUAUGUUGUCAUUUGCAGUAUCUGAGGUGCCUUUUGCAUUUUACUUGACCUUUAUUUGUUUUGCUAGUGACUGAAGAAUACCAACAUUGGUUAGAGAUUUGGAGAAGCAUCUGAAGAGGCUUGACAAAGUUGGAGAUGCACUUGCUCCCAAGCCUUCAAUCAUCACAAUGCAAAUCCGAUGAGUACUUAUGCCGGCAAUUAUGUAAAAUAUUUGAAAUUUUGAUUCAGGGAAAUGGUUUGUUGAUGCAAAGCUUUAAACUGUUAAGACUUACCUAGCAGGCCUGUUGGAUGUUGUAUCAACUCCAAAAUCCAACAAGAACUACGGCACCAAGACCCAUUUUUUACUGAUUCAAUCAGCUGAAAUGAUGAGGCAAAUCCCACGUGUUCGAAUCAGUCAUCCAUUUCAUGAACUGUUAUUUUCAUGAUGCUGGCUAUUGGAGUUGAAGAGGAAACAAGGAUGUGUUGGAAUCAAUGAGAACAGUGGGAAGCAUGACUCGAGCUCUGAUUAUAAAUAGACAUUUUAAAAACAUGUGCUGGUAAGUGGUGAUUAAAGAAAUUUGUGAGCUUAUUCAAGUUUCAGUAUUUGCUGUUUGGAUAAAGCUGAUACCAAGUUUGGCAAAAUCUGUGCUUUCUUUGUUCAAUCUGUGUUAUGGUUAAAGUAGAUGCUCUGAUUAAUAAGCCAGCCUACGAUAGCUGGCUCUAAUAAUCGGCUUCCUUUUUCUUGUUUGCUGUUGUAUAUUCUUUCAAUUUUUUUUCCGCAUUAGGACGAUCAGUUGAAGAACAAGUUUAUGUUUGACGAUGCAUUUAAGGAAGAGCCAGACUUGGAUGCAGAUCUGAAAAGGUUAGCAUGAACGAAAACCUUCAGAACUGACUGAAGGUUUCUGAGUUGAUCCUAAAAAUGUAGCAGUUGUCUGUUUCAUAAAGCAGAACAAAAACAGAAUAAGAGAUCACUAAUCAUGCUUGAGAAUUCAUUUAAAUAAAAUUUCAAAAAUUGCCAAACACAGCAUAAACUAGGAUGCACUUGCUUAAGAUUCAUUUUCAGAAGGAAGUUUGUACUUGCAGCUCAUAAAAUCAUGUUUAUGUUGUAUGUUUAUUCAGCAAAUGAAAGAUUCCAAGUUUGCUGAAACCAUAUUAUUUUUUUACCAGGCGCCUUCCUGAAGGUAUCGACGUCAAUUUCAAAAAUGUUGGGGAUAAGUUGCUUGAUGCAGUGCUACACAAAUAUGAAGGAUUUCUUGUCGGUGAUUACUACCACCUCGAUAAAAAAAUUCAUGGAACUGGUCAUGCCGGCAAUAAAAGAAGGAAAGGUGGUAUACGUCGAAGACAUAGAUGAAGGCCUCGAGUCCAUCAGCCCUCGUUGGGCUAUUCACUUGUCGGAAUGUCAGGAAACAACUUGUUGAAGUUGCGUGGGAAUUUUAAAACUACCAUAUGUUGUAGAAAUGCACUGAGCCAUGUGCUUUCAGAGCUUUGUGAAGAUGUCUUGGCCAUGUGUUUGAUACAGGUUAUGCUUGUUCCAUUAAAUUGUAUGCACUUAUAAAUCAAAGAUUCAGAACAUGUGUAUGUUACUGGUUUCCAGAAUCCAGAUCAAUAAAUGCCUCCAUGUAGAAGUUCAAAUUUUAAAUUUUUUGAAGUAGAGGUGUAGAGUUUCUUUUUUCAAAAAAGAAAAAGUAAAUUCUGAAGACUUUCUUUAUUUAAUUUUACAAUCUUAUUUUAUUUCUUUUACGAUAUAUUUUUAAAAUACUUAUUUAGUAAAUUAUUAACAUCUAUACCACUAAAAGAUUUUUUUUGUUAAACGCUCUACUUACAAAGUUAUAUUAAUUAUAGAUUUACUCAAAGAAGCCCUAUUUAAAAAGUUACAGCAAAAAAAGUCAUAGUUACCUUUAGUAAAUAAUAAUCUUCUAAUCUGUCUUACAACGGACUUUUGACAAAAGUGUGCUACUCCCACCUCCUCAAAGUCCACCCGACACCCCGUCUUCUCUAUUUAAAAUUUUAUAUAGUUGAAAAUUAUAUUUUCUUUUACUUGACGCCCCUCCAAAUUCUAAAACUUAGCUUCGAUGAACCUUCUUCGUUAAAUCUCGUUGCUUUCCUUUUUUCUUGUUACUUGAGAAGAAGAACCAGAGUCUAGAAGAAUGAAAGAAAAUUCAGCGUGAUAGAAAUUUAGAAAUUUCAUCCGAUCUUUUUUUCUUAAAUUUUUUGGUAUUUUGAUUCGUUCAAUGGAUUCUUGAUCAUUCUUCAUUCUUUCUAGUUUCUACCAUGAUUCGGAAAUUUUUCUUAAAAAAACUACUACUCUUGUGUAUUUAAAAAAAAAGGAAAGAAAGAAAAAAGGCAUUAAUAAAGAAUUGCGCACGUAACAUUAUUAGUACCCUGUUGAUUGGUCGUUUGGUCUUCAAGAAAUGCUAGUUAAUAUGUGCUUGAAAUUAUAUUCUGCUUUUUUUUUCCCUAUGUAUUGUUUCCCGUUUGAUUACAUUUCAAACAUUUUUAACACGAAUGAAUGUUUUAACCAUUUUUGUCACUUCAUUAUUACAAUAAGCUGAUUGAAGUUAUCUGCGUUGGCCCUGAAAAUGUAAUGGACACUACUCCGUUUACAUAAAACAGGACAAAACAUCGAUAUUUCUACCAUUGCCAUACAUAGUAUAGCCUAGGAAUACAUUUCCAUAAUUAAUAUUUAUUUCAGAAGGAACUUUUCACUUGCAGCUAACAGAAUCAUGUUAAAUUUAUGAUGUAUGUUUAUUUGGGAGAUGAAAGAUUCGCUGCAUUAUUUUAUUCCAAGUUUGCUGAAAUCAUAUUUGUUUUCCCGGCUGCUUUCCUGAAUGUAUCGACAUCUAUUUCGAAAAUGUCGGGGGUAAGAUGCUUGGUGCAGUGCUACUCAACAUGAGAAUUCAUCUUCUAACUCGUUACCUGAUAUUAUUGUCUUCUUGAAAAUUUAAUUAAGCUUAGAAGUCCCUUAACCACAAAAUCAAUGGAGUUUAACUCUAUCGAUAGACAACUUUUAAGUAAUAAACCAACACAUGAGUUCAUCUCUAUUGAUACUCAAGUUCUAAGUCCCUUAUUCAAUACUAAAAUCCAUGAGAAUUAAACUAACCGUAGUUUAACAUGUGAUUAACAAAUGGUAAAAGGUUCAAAAAAUACAUCAAUUAUAAAAGAAAUAAAAUCAGCAAAGAGACCACAUCAGAAAUUUCUUAGAUGUCCGAAACUAUUAAAAGAAUUCACAUACCAAAUCAAAAAAAGUAGAAAAUGCUUAAGCUCCUUAAGGUAAUUUGAAGUAUGAAAGUGAAUGGCAUAUAAUCCAAUAUAAAAAAAAAAUGGUUUUAGUGCCGUAUAAAGAGAAGUUAAUGGUGGUUACAGAAGUGGGGAAAGUUGAGUACAAAUCAGAUAAUGGGAGGUUCCUAAACUUCCUUAAAUCAAUUUUAAUUUCAAAAAUAAAAUAAUAAAAAAUAAAAAAUAGCAUAAAAGAAAUAAGAUAAAAAUUACUUUUCUAAAAUUGCAUGCAAGUAUACAAAAAUAACAUAUGUUGAUAUUACAUCGAGAAAGGUCCAUCAGCCCUAGUUGGGCUAUUCACUGCAUAGAAUGUCGGAGAACAACUUGUUGUGGUAGCUGUUGGGAAAAUAUGCUCUUUAAAAGCAUGUGUGUUUAUUUAAAUGUAAUAAACAUUUUUUCUGAUUAAUAAAAAUAAUGAGGUAUUUUGUGCAAAUAUCUUAAUUGCAUUAAUAUUUUUAUUAAAGUCCAUUUAAUCAUAUUAUAUGUAUUUAUGUGAUCACCAUGUGGAUUCACAGAAGACAUAAAAUACAAGUUAUCUUAUGAUUAAAUAAAUUUAGUUCGCAGUUGAUAAAUAAAGUUGUGCACUUUAUUUAGGUAUAGAUUGUAAUAAAUUCAUUGAAUGAUUUGUCUUAAUCAUGUAUGAAUUUAUUGAUGUAGUACGACUACAUUGAACAGGAUCACAUAUGAGAUUUAAUUAACCUUGAAAUGACUGUCAGACUUAUUAAAUCUCAUUGGCAUUGAUUUUACUGUAAUCUUAAUCUUGAGUUAGUUAUGAUUUCAUGAUUGUAAUUGUUAUUCCAUUUGAGUUACCAAUGGGCAUGACACAUACAUGUAGUCUAGAUUACUCGGUAUCUUGGUGGGAGCAUUUAUGAGUAUUGGAGUUAUAGAUUAACAAUAUAGAAUUUGUACAACACAUCUCUUGAUGGGUUUUCGGCACUUGAUCAUAGAAUUCUCUAGCCAGAGUGUGUCAACAUAUUUAGUAUGUUGAAAAUGAUCAUUAGAGAAAACCAGUAAAGAUCAAGGAAUAAGAUGUUAUUAAAUUGAUUGGACAGUUGAGAUAUCAAUUUAAUUAACGAUGUGGUACAAAGGAUUGUGCAGUAAAGAAAUCAAUGUGGCUUGGGACGAAUUAUUAUUCGAGCAUACAAUUAUGGAAGUCAGUUCCAAUCUUUUAGUGGAGUAGAUUUGGAAUUAAAUAAUUGGGCUAGUUUAAUUAUAGGCCUAAUUAUUGUAGCCACUAUUGUAUGUUCCCAAAUGAUCCCCGGGUUAGCUCAUUUAAUUGACUGCACCACUACUGGACUAAUAAGCAAGAUAACUAGCUAUUUGGGUCAAAAGCCUAAAUAUAUCAUUUAGUGGGAGGCUCCAUUUAAUUAGUUUAUGUGUAAGGGGUCUUAUGUUAUUUUACAUGGUGGGUCCCCUAUAAAAUAAAAAGUAACGUGAGUUUUAUUUGUGAGCCUAGGGUUUUCACUAAAGGGAGAUAUAUAAGGCUUAUUUUCUCUAAAGAAAAAGGUGAAGCCACUUUAUACAGAUCAGAGAAUAAGAUUUUUCUCUCUAUUGUUGAGAGAAAAAUUUUCUCGUGCUAGUUGCUUUGGUAGUGAUAAAGGCGCCCACACGUCAAGUGCAGAUCGUACUUGAGUCAUAACCUGGAAGAUCAUUGGUGACAGUUCGUGAUCUAACAAGCGUGGUGGUGACGGAUCGUGAUCUAACAGGAGUGGUGGUGGCGGAUCAUGAUCUAGGAGCUUAAAUCACUUCAGCGGAAAAAGCUAACUCGGAUUUUCAAGGUACGAUUUCUAGAAUACAAAUUCUUAUAUAUUAUAUGAGAGCGAUCUUCAAAAGGUUUUAUAAAAAAUUUAAAAACCUAAUUUUUCCCCAACAAUUGGUAUCAGAGCCAUCUCAUAUUAAUAUAUAAGAAUUUCGUAUGAAAUUAAUCUUGAUAUUUAUGUAUUAGAGUGGCACAAUUUAUUCAGAUAUAUAUUAUUUGUUUAAUAUAUGAAUAAAGCAUGUUUAUGGUUUGUCUUAAUUCAUGGUUAGAUUUUCUGUUGUAUUUUUCGUUUGGAUCUUUAACAAGAGGGGUGGUUUUUAUCACAAUGUUUCCCUCUUGAUUUAUUUUACUGUUAUAGAAUUUUUGUAAGCCAAAAAUUGGCCUAGGAAAUUUGUAAAUAAAUCACGGAUGACAAAUCAAAGCGACGGAGGCCGGAAAUUUCGACAUCGACCGCUGACCAGCGCACUCGCUACAACCAACGAGCGGCACACGCUGCAAGCGCAUGCUGGCAGUGCGCGCAGCAAGCAGCGCGCGCGGCCAGCCUGGCCAGCGGCGCGCGUUCCAGCAAGCAGCGCGCGCAGGGAUGGUUUGUUUCCGGCAUAUCGGCAACGGCAAACUCGACGUUGAUAGCGGCUGUCCGAUGAGAUUGGCCUGAACAGUGGCCGUUUGUGGAGAUGGCGACUGGGGAAGAAGAAAGAAAGAAAAAUAUGGAUUUAGGGUUUCAUGGCUUUUAUCAUGGAGAUCCCUAUGGUUCCAUAAUUUUUCACUUGGGCAAUUAAGUUUUAAUUUUUUGCAUUUAAGUCUAAAAAUAGUUUUCGGCUUAAAGAAUCCUAGUUUUAGGUCCAAUUGAAAUUUGGGCUUAAUGGAUUAAAAAUGCAUAGAUAAAAUUAAAUACAUUAAAAUUUAUUUUUGGUCCAAAAGUUUUAUUUUAAUAAAAAAAAUUAUUUAUUUAUUUAUUUCCUUUAAAAAUUAAAAUUGGACCAAUUAGAAAUUAUUUAUUUAUCUCUCAUUUGUACUUGGGAGACAGUCUAUUGUAAGUAGUGUGUAUUUUUGCAUGUCUAGGAAAGUUCUGUCAACAAAGGCGAUAAGUGUAUAAGGAUUCUGGUUUUUAAUUGGGACCAAGUUCCCAUCUAGUUUCCUGGAAACUUUCUUGGUGCAUUUAUUCACGCGAAAUUAACAUCAUAGAGACUGUUUUUCAAGUGAAAAUAGUUCGUUGAGAAAAUGGUAGAAGGUGAAACUUUCAAAAUUGGGGAGAGAUCUACCGAGACUAUUUCAGGAGACACUUCAGGUGGGAGGCGAGAUUUGUCAAAUCGCUAUUCAGCACCUGUAUAGAAGGCCAGAAGAUCGAUGUUGAAAAGUUUGAUGGGAAAAUCAACUUCGGCAUGUGGAGGCGCGAAGUUAUGGAUGCCCUUAUUCAAAUCGAUCUCGAUGUUGUUCUGAAAAAUAAAAGACACUUGUAUGAUGAAGAAAUUUGGGAUCGUAUGAAUGAAAAAGCAUGUGGUCAGAUCAGAUCUUGUUUGACCAAGGAGGUGAAAUACUUGGUGAAAGAUGAGGAGUGUGCGGUGACUUUGUGGCGUACAUUGGAGGAGAAGUACCUGGUGAAAAGUCCUGAAAAUCGCCUUCAUGCAAUGAGCCAAGUAUAUGGCUUUCGAAUAAAGUCUGGGGUGUCAAUGCACGAUCAUGUUUUAAGAUUUGAAAAGUUACUUGCUGAUUUGAAGAAUCUUGAUGAAGAUAUUAAGGAUGAAGUCAAGGCUAUGAUUCUGUUACACUCACUACCAGAGGAAUAUAGCCAUUUUGUGACUACUUUAAUAUAUGGGAAGAGUGUGAUCAUCUUUAAAGAUGUUUGCACAACAUUGACUAGCUUAGAGAUUCGAAAUAAUGAUAAAAAUUCUAAACGAGCAUCGUCUGAAGCUUUGGUGAGUAGAGAUUGGGCGAUGGAGAAACAAAAGAAGCGUGGUGGAAAGAAUUCUCGAUCCAAAUUGAAAAGCAGAAAUAUAGCUCGAGAUGAGUGUGCCUUUUGUCAUGAAAAGGGCCAUUGGAGGAAAGAUUGUCCAAAGGCUCAAAAGAGAGAUGGGAAGAAACCAGCAGCAGCAAACAUGGCACGGAAAGAUGAGGGCUCUGAUUAUUCACUAAGUAUUACUCUUGCAGCAUACGUGGCUAGUUCGAGUGAGUGGAUACUUGAUACUGGAGUGGUUUACGGAUUUUUAUCAUUUGUGUCCUAUUAAGGAAUGAUUUACGGAUUUUCGUAAUCUGGAAUCCGGUGCAGUUGUGAUGGGGAAUGAUCAACCUUGUCGCACAAUGGGGAUAGGAACAAUUCGGCUCAAAAUGUUUGAUGAAAUGAUCAGAGAACUCAAAGAGGUUAGAUUUGUUCUAGCUUUAAAGAAAAAUCUAAUUUCUGUGGAUUUCUGUGGGUGCUUUGGAAGCUAAAGGCUACAAGGUUACCAUUGAAGAUGGUAUAAUGAAGUUUACACAUGGGGCUAUGGUGAUUCUGCAAGGGGUUCGGUGUCACAAUCUGUACUAUUUGAAGGGAGGUACAACUGAUGAAGCAAAUGUUGUUAAGGCGCACAGUGACACCACCAAGCUAUGGCAUGUACGAUUGGGACAUGCUGGAGAGAAGUCUUUGCAAACUCUGAUGAGGCAUGGACUCUUAAAAGGUACCAAAACCUGUAAAUUAAAUUUCUGUGAGCAUUGUGUAGUAGGCAAGAAAACAAGGGUCAAGUUUGGUAUAGUUAAUCACGAUACUCGUGAGAUUCUUGAAUAUGUUCAUAGUGAUGUAUGGGGACCAACCAAGACUGCAUCAAUUGGUGGAAGCCAUUACUUUGUUACAUCUAUUGAUGAUUUCUCUAGACGUGUGUGGGUGUACACCAUGCGAGCAAAGGAUGAGGUUCUAGAGAUUUUCGUGAAAUGGAAGAAAUUGGUGGAGACUCAAACUGGCAGAAAGAUCAAAGUAUUACGAUCUGAUAAUGGGGGUGAAUAUACUUCUGAUCCAUUCUUACAAGUAUGCCAGAACGAGGGUAUUAAAAGACAUUUCACGGUGAGACAUACUCCGCAACAGAACGGUGUGGUUGAGCGUAUGAAUCGUACUUUACUGGAGAAGAUACGGUGUAUGUUAUCUAAUGCUGGUUUAGAUAAAAAGUUUUGGGCUGAAGCUGUGAGCUACGCAAGUCACUUGGUAAACCGGUUGCCUUCUGCUGCAAUUGGAGGUAAAACUCCUAUGGAAAUGUGGUCUGGAAAGCAUGCACAAGACUAUGAUUCCCUUCGUGUAUUCGGGUGUUCAGCUAAUCAUCAUGUCAAAGAUGGUAAACUGGAUCCUCGUGCUAGAAAAGCUAUCUUUGUGGGAUUCAAAGGUGGAGUAAAGGGCUUUAAGCUUUGGGAUCUCGAAGACAAAAAGUUUGUGUGUAGCAGAGAUGUCACAUUUGAUGAAGCUUCAAUGAUGAAAGCGUCAAGUUCUCAGCAGGUGGAGAACAAGACCAAAAAGGUAUUGCAGCGGGUGGAGUUUGAUGCAACUCCAUAUGUACCAGUUAGUUCUACAUCAAAUAAGAGUUCAACUAUGGAGGUGACACCUAGAGUUGAAGAAGAGGUCAUUUUUUCUGAUGUCUCACAAAAUGAAGAAACAAUUGAUGAUGUAGAUAAUGAUGAUUUUAUAGCAACAAGGAGGCCAAGAAGAGAGAUAAAGAAACAGGGAUGGCUUACUAAAGAUAUGGUGGUAGCAUAUGCACUUCCAGUUAUUGAUGAUGACAUCCCCAACACUUUUUGUGAAGCAUUACGCAGCAGUGAAAGUGAUCAGUAGAAGUUAGCCAUGGAGGAAGAGAUGAAAUCUCUCCAUCAAAACCAGACUUGGGAACUUGUAAAGUUACUAAAUGGGAAAAGGGCUAUUGGUAAUAAAUGGGUCUACACCACAAAGCAAGGAUCUCCGAAUCAAACAACUCCUCGAUACAAGGCAAGGCUCGUGGCAAAAGGUUUUGCUCAAAAGGAAGGUAUUGACUACAAUGAAGUUUUCUCCCCAGUUGUAAAACAUACUUUCAUUCGUAUCCUACUUGCCGUCGUUGCAGAAUAUGAGUUAGAGUUGGCUCAAUUGGAUGUUACGACGGCGUUCUUACAUGGAGAUUUGGAAGAGGAAAUCUAUAUGAUUCAGCCUUGUGGUUUCAAAGUUGCUGCAAAGGAGAAUCAUGUGUGUAGGUUGAUUAAAUCUUUGUACGGACUGAAGCAAUUGCCAAGGCAGUGGUACAAAAGAUUUGAUCAAUUUAUACAAGGGCAGAAAUUCACCAGAAGUGAACACGAUCAUUGUGAUUACUUUAGAAGACUACCAGAUGGAGCUUUCAUCUAUUUGUUACUCUAUGUCGAUGAUAUGCUUAUAGCUUCGAAGAAUAGAGAUGAGAUCGAAAGAUUAAAGAAGCAGCUGGCUUCUGAGUUCGAGAUGAAAGACUUGGGUGAUGCACAGAGAAUACUUGGGAUGGAGAUUCGUAGAGACAAGAAGAAUGGGAGCGUAUGAUUGACUCAAAAGUCUUAUUUGAAGAAAGUGCUAGAAAGAUUCAGUAUGGAUGACAAAACUAAACCGGUAUGUACACCUCUAGCUCCUCAUUUCAAAUUAAGCUCUUCUUCAUGUCCUAGAUCUCAAGAAGAGCGCGAUUACAUGGCUCGUGUUCCAUAUGCUAGUGCUGUGGGUAGUCUUAUGUAUGCUAUUGUAUUCACAAGGCCCGAUAUAUCUCAAGCAGUGAGCAUGGUUAGUAGAUACAUGCACAAUCCGGGUAAAAAUCAAUGGCUUGCGGUAAAGUGGAUUCUCCGAUAUUUGUAUGGGACAGUUGAUGUUGGGUUAUUAUUCAAGAAAGAUUGUGGUCAACAAUGUGUUGGGUAUUGUGAUUCUGAUUUCGCUGGAGACCUUAACAAGAGAAGAUCAACAACGGGCUACGUAUUCACAUUGGGUGGAGGUCCGGUUAGCUGGAGAUCGAUUCUACAAUCGACAAUUGCUCUAUCCACUAUGGAAGCAGAGUAUAUGGCAGCAAUUGAAGCUGUAAAAGAAGCUAUCUGGUUGAAAGGCUUGUUAGGUGAUUUGGGAGUAAUCCAGGAGAACAUUACGAUCUUCUGUGAUAAUCAAAGUGCGAUAUUCCUUGCAAAGAAUCAAACAUAUCACGCUCAGAUGAAGCACAUAGAUGUGAAAUAUCAUUAUGUGAGGGAGAUUAUCGAGAGCGGUGUUGUGUUGUUGAGAAAGAUCGAUACCAAAGAUAAUCCAUCAUAUAUGUUAAUGAAGGUAGUUUCUGGAGUUAAGUUUCAACAUUGCUUGAAACUAAUUCAAAUCCUUCGAUUGUGUUAAGAUAUGUCCUUCGGAAAUUUUGAACUACGGUUGGCUUGAUCCCAAAUUUUGGGUACGUUUGGCAGUCACAGAGAUACAGCCACUUUGCGGAUGAUGAUUGGUUGGGAGUCGGCUCAGAUUUGAACAAACCUUCGCCGAGGUGGAGAAUUGUUGAAAAGUCAAAGAAUUGCUUGCCAAUUUCAAAAGCAAAGUUGGUGGGUUUGCCAAAUUCAAAAAAACAAAGUUGGCCGGCUUGCUAAUUUCAAAAGGCAAAGUUAGGUGUUGAAAAACUUGUACAUGCAAUAUAAGAUCCAGCUCAACGUUUUGACCAAAUGAACCCAACUUGGAGCAGAAUGCACUCUAUAAAUAGAGAAGCAUUUUGCAAUUGUCAAUCAUCCCAACAAUUUGUUAAGCUUAUAAAUUUCUAAGCUUUUGAGAGUUCUAAGAGUGUGAAUAAUUGGAGAGUGUGUGUGAGAGUACUUGGUAUAUUUGGGUUCUGGGAAAGUGAGAUUUCUUUACUCAAAUAAUUAUUAAUAAUAUAAUUAUUUUUCUCUUGCUUCCGUGGACAUAGGCAUAUUGUCGAACCACGUAAAUUUUGUGUCCUUUAUUUUUCAGUAAUUAUUUGGUGUGUUUGAUUCCGCAUUCCGCGCACAACACCUACAGGUGACUAAUUAAUGGGAAAUUGACAAUGACAAAAGCAAUUUAUGAGUUUUGUAGGCUGGCAUGCCUAUGUUAUAGCAUUGUUCGAUGAACUGCCACACCACAUGUUUUUGACGAGAAAUAAAAACAUCAAGAUAUUGCCCGCUUGCCGUAUUCCACAUCGUGAAUUGUAUCUCUGUUCCUCAAUUUUCAGUGUUCCAUACAUAAAACCAUUUUCAGUUUCUCUUGUUAUCAAUUCAAUUUUCUUGUUCGUGACGAUCUUGAUUCCUUUCUUUCUGGUAAAACGGAGCCAUGUUUGCUGUUGGAGAGGUCUUCCUCAACGCUUUCUUUCAGGUGUUGUUUGACAGGUUGGCUUCUCGUAAUUUGCUCAGCUUUGUGCGUCAACUCCAAGGCGGGGUUGAUUCGGAGCUCAAAAAGUGGGAGAAAAAGCUGAAGAUGAUUCAGGUUGUGCUUAGCGAUGCAGAGGAGAAGCAACUGACUGACGAGGCUGUGAAGAUGUGGCUGGACGAACUCCAAGACUUGGCUUAUGACGCUGAGGACAUUCUUGAUGAGUUUGGUACUCAAGCUUUGGAAAGGAAGUUGAUGGCGAAAAAUCAGGAUAGCACUGGCCAGAUUCUUAGUUUCAUACCGGCUAGUUUGAAUCCGAAUGCUAUUAUGUCCAAUUAUAGCAUGGGAUCCAAGAUUAAAGAUAUUACUAGCCGGUUGGAGCAACUCUGCCAAUAUAGAAUUGAACUUGGGCUGCAACGGAUUGCUGGAGGGGCAUCAUCACCUACUGCUGCUGCACACCAGAGGCCACCCAGUUCAAGUAUCACAACAGAGCGUGAAGUAUUCGGAAGAGAAGAAGAUAAGGCCAAAAUUCUUGAUAUGGUAUUGACCGAUAUUAGAAUUCGUAAUAAGAUGUUUGGAAACAAAGAAAAACAGAGAAAAUGAAAAAGGAAACUUCACGAUUUAUUAACCAGAAUAUUCAAUGCUUAUUAAGCUUACUUAGCUAAGCUUAUAUACAAUUAUUCUAACUAAUUAAACAACUGCAAAACAACUAAUAACAACUUCAGAUUUAGUUUAGCCAUUGAGCUCUUGCCACAUGUCAUUCAGUUACAUUCAAUCUUGUCCAGCUCAGCAGCUCUGUCCAGCUCAGCAGCAACUAUAUCUUCAACAUCCCCCCUCAAGCUCAACCGAGGAAGUAAGGUUGAGCUUGUCACGUAAGUAGAGAAAAGGGUGAUAAGAAAGAGCUUUGGUGAGAAUAUCAGCAGUUUGUUCUGAGCUAGAAAUAUAUUGAACCUUAAGACAUUGAGCAGCAACUUUCUCUCGAACAAAAUGAACAUCUAAUUCAAUGUGUUUUGUUCUGGAAUGAAACUUAGGAUUAGAGGCUAAAGCAGCUGCACUUUGAUUAUCACACCAUAUGAUUGGAAUGGAGGGAAGAGUAAGACCAAUCUCAGCAAGAAGAGAACGAAUCCACAAGACUUCAGCUGCUGCCAUUGCUAGUGCUCGAUAUUCAGACUCAGCACUAGAUCGAGAGACCACUGCCUGUUUCUUAGAGCACCAAGACACUAGAUUUGGACCCAUAUAGACACAAUAACCAGCCACUGACCUCCUAUCAUCUCUGUCUCCAGCCCAAUCAGCAUCACUGAAACAAUCAAUCUGUAUGCUGCCAUGAUUGUAGAACUGUAAACCAAGAUUAACAGUACCCUUCAGAUAUCGUAAAACCCUUUUACAAGCCUGCCAAUGAUUGACAGUUGGAGAAGAUAGAAACUGACUGAGCUUGUUGACAGAGAAAGCAAUCUCUGGUCUGGUCAAUGUUGCAUACUGAAGAGCACCUAUGGUGCUUCUGUAUAGAGUAACAUCAGAAAAGGGUUCACUAUCAGCUUUAGUAAAAGCCACUCCAGAAAGCAUAGGAGUAGAACAAGGAGUACUAUCCUGCAUGUGCACCUUGGCAAGCAAAUCAGUGAUAUACUUGGAUUGAGAAAGAUGAAUACCAGAUUUAUUGUAAAUGACCUGAACUCCCAGAAAAUAAUUCAAUGCACCAAGAUCUUUAAGUGCAAAAACAGACUGGAAGUUGGUGAUGGUCUGCUGAACAAGCUGAGGAUUGGAGCCUGUAAUAAUAAUAUCAUCUACAUACACCAAGACAAGUAGCAGAUGACCUUGUGUGCUCUUAAAGAAGAGUGAAGUGUCUGAAAUAGAAUUUGUAAAGCCCCACUGAGUUGUAAGAACUAGUUUGAGUCUGUCAAACCAUGCCCUUGGAGCCUGUUUAAGGCCAUAAAGAGCUUUGUGCAGCUUACAGACAUAAUCAGGCCUGGAACUAUCUAUAAACCCCUCAGGCUGUUGCAUAUAAACUUCUUCAGUGAGGUAGCCAUUAAGGAAGGCAUUAUUAAUGUCUAUUUGCCUCAGUACCCAAUGAUUCAUGACAGCCAUACUCAAGAUAAUUCUGAUGGUUGAAGACUUAAUGACAGGACUGAAUGUUUCAUGAAAAUCCAGCCCUUGAGUUUGGUGAAAUCCCUUAGCAACAAGUCUAGCUUUGUAUCUAGAGACACUGCCAUCAGGAUUAUAUUUAAUCCGAAAUACCCACUUAUUCCCAAUUACUUUAAUGGGAUGUGUAGGUUUGACAAGAGUCCAGGUAUGAUUAUUGACUAAGGCUUGAUAUUCAUCUGUCAUUGCUUUAUGCCAAGCUGAAUCUUGAAGGGCUUUUAAGGUAGUAGCAGGUUCUGUAGGUUUGGUAGGAUUGGCUGUAAUAUAGGCUUUAGGUUUGAAGAUACCAGCCUUUGAUCGAGUGAGCAUUGGAUGACCAGUAGAUGACUGCAAUGGUGGAGUUAAAUGAUGAACAGGUGAGGUAGAUGGUUCUGAGUGUGAUUGUAUAGAAGAUUGAGAAGGAGAGUCUGGAGAGGAUUGAGAGAACCUGAGAUCAGCUGCUGUAGAGGAUGAAGACUUGGUUAUAUCAAGUUGAAUCAAAGGACAAACAGAAGAUGAACAAUGUGAAGAAGACUGAGAUGAAUGAUCUGAAGAAGAGCAAGAGUGACUGACAGAGGAAAAAUCAACUCCUGACUGAAAAGGAAAACAUGACUCAUCAAAUGUAACAUGGUUACUGACAUAGAUUCUACCAGAGGAAUGAAGACACAAGUAGCCUUUGUGAAGGGAGCUGUAACCAAGAAAAAUACAUCUAGCAGUUCGAAACUCUAACUUAUGAUGAUUAUAAGGCCUCAGAUAUGGGAAACAAGCACAUCCAAAAACUCUCAUAACAGAAUAAUCUGGUCUUUUGUUGAAUAAUUUUUCAAAAGGUGAUUUGUUAUCCAGAAUGGGUGUAGGGAGCCUAUUUAUGAGAAAUGUGGCAGUAUGGAAAGCAUUCCACCAAAAUUUCAGUGGUAAAUGUGCUUGAGCAAGAAGGGUAAGGCCUGUUUCCACUAUAUGUCUAUGUUUGCGUUCAAUCUUUCCAUUUUGAUGGUGAAUAUAAGGACAAGGAUGUCUAAAUUGGAUUCCCUGCUCAGCAAGAUAAGGAAGAAAUGGCCUAAAUUCACCUCCCCAAUCUGUUUGAAGACACUUGAUUUUCCUAUUUAGGCAUUUUUCUAUCAUAUGCUGGAAUUCAAUAAAGGUUUGUAAGGCUUGAGAUUUGGUAACAAGAGGGAAUAUCCAGGUGAACCUAGUGAAAUCAUCUAAGAUGGAAAGAUAGUAGUGAUAGCCUUGAGAGGACAGCAAAGGAGCUGGACCCCAUAGAUCAGCAUGCAACAGCUCCAGUGGUUGAAUGGUAGUGGUGUCUAUAGAAGGAAAAUGCUGCAUGUGACACUUUCCAAAUUGGCAAGCAUUACAAAAAAUUGGUUUCAGGGCUCUAUUGAUAUCGAGAGAAGGAUGCAAAUGCUUCACAAUUUGUUUAAGAGCAUGCACAGUUGGAUGACCCAUUCUUUUAUGUAAAACAUUGUAAUCAACUGAUUUUGAAUGAGUAACAGACAAGGCCAUUGAGGCAUCAUUAUUGAAUUGAGAAAUAUUUACAUCUGUCAAAAUUUCUCCAGAAUGUAUAGAGUUUGAAACAUUGGAAUGACUAAUCAUUGACACUGGAGAGGAACAGACAUUUGACACAGAACUGGAAUUUGAGAUGACACAGAAAACAUUAGACGGAACUCUAUUUGAAACUGCAGCAUGAGACACUACAACAGGACCUUCAACUUGAUAUAAUCCUCCUCUAGCAAUCCCCUUGAGCAAGAUGAUCCCUGAUUUCUUGUCCUUGACAAAACAGGAGGUUUUAUGGAAUUCAACAACAACAUCAUUGUCAGCAAGUAAUUUAGAUACACUUAAAAGGUUUUUGGUUAUAGUUGGGACAUGCAAAAUAUUAUUAAGAUAGAUAGAUGUUGCAGCAAGUGUAUUCAAUCGUGUGCACCCAACAUGUUUAAUAUGUAAUCCCAUGCCAUUUCCUACAUGUAGCUUAUCAAAACCAUGAUAAACUGAGUAAGAAGAAAAGAUACCUGCUUCCUUAGUCACAUGAUUGGUUGCCCCGGAGUCAAUAUACCAAGCAGGAUCAGCUACAACUCCAUAAUCAGCAACUGGACCAGUGGGAGCAAAUUGUGCAGUGGGAAUAGCAGAAGGAGCAACUCCAUAGUUAGCAAAUGGAGUAGCAAUUGCACCAUUGUAUUGACCUUGUAAUCCUUGAAACACAAGAAACCCUUGAGGAUACAUAACAUUUGCAUUCUGAUAUGCAACAUUCCCUUGAAACAUGGGUGCAUUAUAUCUAGGAGCACCAGUUGCAGUUCCAUAAAAAUUUCCAUAACCUCUUCCAAACAUGUUCUGAGGCUGACCAGGAAAGCCUCUAAAAUUGAAUCCACCUCUAGGCCUAAAGCCACCUCUUCCUUGUCUAGGAAUAAAGUUCUGAUUAAAUCUGUUCCUGCAUUUGUAUGCUCCAUGACCAGGUAUGAAGCAUAUUUGACAAAUUACUUCCUUAUCAACAUUAUAUCCUCCUUUGCCAUUAUCAAAAUUUCCACCAUUAAAACCUCUCUGAUUAGCAUUAUUGAACUUAUUGUAAUUCUGUCCUUUCUGAGCAAAAUUAGCUGACAUAUCAUGCAACAAUUCAUUUUGCACCUUUCCCUUACUCAUCUCAACCCUAGUUUCAUGACUAAGCAUUAAGGAAUACACUUCUUCAAUAGUGAGAUUAUCUUUUUCCAGCCUAGCAAGUAUAGUUGUCACUAAUGACUCAUAGUUGUCAUCUAAACCAGUGAGCAAAUGCAUUAUAAAAUCUGUUGAAGCAAGAGGAUUACCACCAAUAGCUAAGCUAUCUGCAAUUUUUUUCAUCUUAUUGAAGUAAUCACUUACUGACAUAGCUCCUUUCUUUGUGGUUUGAAUCUGCAUUUUCAGAGGCAUGUAUCUAGCCUUUGACUGUGACAUGAACAUCUCGGCAAGUUUCUCCCAGAUCUCAAGUGAAGUAUCACAAUCCACAACCAUGAUAAGUACAUUGUCUACCAUAGAUGACAGCAUCCAGCUCUGUAGAAGCUUGUCAGCUUUCUUCCAGUCAAUAUAGUCAGAAUUUUCACGUCUGCUUGAGCUAGGAGCUUCUGAUCUACUGGCAGCAUUCUCAUAUGAGGAAAGAAAACGAUCUGGACAAGGAGAUUCUCCAUUGAUAAAACCUUCAAGUCCAUUGGCAAUAAUCGAAGCUUGAAUUUGAGCUCUCCACACCAGAUAAUUUGUUCGAUCAAGUUUUGUUGGUUGAAUAAAAGAAAAAGAAAGUGAAGACGAUCCUGAAUUGCUUUGAUUCGUCAUGUUUCGUGGCUCUGAUACCAUAUUAGAAUUCGUAAUAAGAUGUUUGGAAACAAAGAAAAACAGAGAAAAUGAAAAAGGAAACUUCACGAUUUAUUAACCAGAAUAUUCAAUGCUUAUUAAGCUUACUUAGCUAAGCUUAUAUACAAUUAUUCUAACUAAUUAAACAACUGCAAAACAACUAAUAACAACUUCAGAUUUAGUUUAGCCAUUGAGCUCUUGCCACAUGUCAUUCAGUUACAUUCAAUCUUGUCCAGCUCAGCAGCUCUGUCCAGCUCAGCAGCAACUAUAUCUUCAACAACCGAUACCCCCAGUGAUCAUGCCAACUUUGUUGUAAUACCCAUUGUUGGCAUGGGCGGGAUAGGAAAAACAACUCUUGCUCGGGAGGUCUACAAUGACAAGGCCGUUGAAGAUUCAAAGUUUGAUGUAAAAGCAUGGGUUUGUGUCUCUGAUGUCUUUGAUAUUUUGGGCAUCUCAAAGGCACUUCUCGAAUCAAUCACCCGCAGGCCUUGUCUUCUGAACAGUUUAAAUGAAGUGCAGGUUGAGUUGAAAGUAGCUGUGGAUAAAAAAAGAUUCUUGCUGGUCUUAGAUGAUGUUUGGAACGAGGACUACAGCUUGUGGGUAGACUUAAAAGCUCCAUUCUUGGCAGCUGCACCAAACAGUAAGAUGAUCGUCACCACAUGCAAUUCAAAUGUUGCAUCAAUAAUGGGACCAAUUGAACAUUAUAAUCUCAAGAGACUGUUAGAUGAUGAUUGCUGGUCCAUUUUCAUACAGCAUGCACUUGAAUCUAGAGAUCUUAACGCACAUCAAAUUUCAGAAUCGUUCCACAAGAAAGUUGUUGGCAAGUGUGGAGGCUUGCCCCUGGCAGCAAAAACAUUAGCGGGCCUUCUACGUACUACGAGGCAUGAUGCCUGGGACGAUAUCUUGGAUAGCAAACUAUGGGAUUUACCACGACAAAAUGACGUUCUCCCUGUGUUAAGAUUGAGUUACCAUCAUCUUCCGUCUCAUUUGAAAAGAUGUUUUGCUCAUUGUGCCAUCUUUCCGAAAGAUUAUGAAUUCAAUGAGAAGGAGCUGACUUUCUUAUGGAUGGCUGGAGGUAUUAUUCGACAGUCAAGAAAGAAUGAGCAGCUGGAAGAAUUGAGCAGCAAGUGCUUUCAAGAUCUAGUGUCGAGGUCUAUUUUUCAACAAACCAGCUCUGGUAGUGCUAAAUUUGUAAUGCACGACCUUAUCCAUGAUCUUGCUGAAUUGGUUUCUAGAGAAACCAUUUUCAGGUUAGAGGAGUCCACCAACUUGUCAUCAAGAAGAUUUGAAAGGGUUCGCCAUUCUUCGUAUGCCCGUGGUAGGCUUGAUGGUAAAUCUAAGUUCGAGGUUUUCAAUGAAAUUGAACAUCUACGAACAUUCUUGCCAUUAUGCAUAAGAGGUGGCGUUACUUCUGGUUAUAUAACUAGCAUGGUUCUCUAAGAUUUGUUGCCGAAGUUCAAAAGGUUGAGGAUGCUGUCUUUAGACGGAUACCGUAUUAGUGAGUUACCAAUUCCAUUUGAAGAUCUGAGACUUUUAAGGUUCCUAAACCUUGCUGAUACUGACUUAAGAAGUUUACUUGAGUCAACAUGCGCAUUGCUGAACUUGGAAAUUUUGACAUUAAGAAAUUGUUCCCGUUUGAUAAAGCUACCGCCCAAAAUGAUGAACUUGAUCAAUAUUCGUCAUCUCGAUAUAAGAGGUGCAAAUUUGUUGAAGGAGAUGCCAUUCGGAAUGAAAGAGUUGAAGAAUCUUCAAACAUUGUCCAACUUUAUUGUGGGCAAGGGUGAAACUGCAUCUGGUUUGGAAGAUUUAGGAAGUUUAAACUUUCUUUGUGAUGAACUUUGCAUUGCUGGAUUAGAGAAUGUGAAUAAUCCACAGAAUGCAAGAGAAGCCGCAUUAUGUGAGAAGCUCAAUCUUCAUGCAUUGACUCUAGAUUGGGGGUCUCAAUUUGACAAUUCUCGAGAUGUAGCAGUAGAAGAGCACGUGCUUGACAUUCUACAGCCUCAUAAAUGUAUAAAAAAGGUGGCAAUCAGGAACUAUGGUGGUGCAAGAUUUCCACUUUGGAUAGGAGAUCCGUGGUUCUCCAAGAUAUAAUUCCUUGAAUUGGAGAACUGUAACAAUUGUGUAUCUUUGCCAUCGCUUGGUCUAUUGAGUUCACUUAAGCACCUUGCUGUCAAAGGGCUGAAGAAGCUAAAAAGCAUAGAGUCUGAAGUUUAUGGGGAGGGUUUCUCAAUGCCUUUUCCAUCAUUGAAGAUUCUACGUUUUGAGAAUUUGCCAGAGUGGUGGCAUUGGGACACCGAUAUCAAAGGAAAUGUGCACGUUGAUAUAUUUCCUUGUCUCCAAGAACUUUCCGUUGUGAAAUGUCCCAAACUCUCUGAAAAACUGCCUGAGCUUCUGCCCUCCUUGGAGAUACUUGUUGUUAGUAAAUGUGAAAAGUUGGUAGUUUCAUUGUCAAGCUAUCCAAGGCUCUGCAGAUUAGAGGUUGAUGAGUGCAAAGAACUAGUGUGCAGGAUCCCAAUUGAUUCUAAGUUGAUAAAGUUCAUGACUAUUUCAAAUAGUUCAUUAGACAUGAUUGGAUGCAAGGGGAUGCUAUACGAUAGUCAAGCUGGCUCUUCACUGCCAAAACCCAUGACCACUACAAAUGUUUUGGAGUUUGGAAAAUUACUGGAGCCUGGAUUUCAGAUAUUAGAAACUUUGGUAAUUGGCAAUUCUGAACAGCUCAAGCCAUGGAGGCAGGGAAGGGGACUUUCAAGUUUUAAUAGACCAGAACACCGGCUAAAAAUACUUGCUCACCCUGAUGAGGUAACAAUUGAGGAAAGUUGCGUAAGUCUUGUUUUGUUUCCAGAGAUCAAUUUCUUUCCCAGAAAUCUGCACUGUCUUCGAAUUUACAACAGCACUGCUUUCAAAUCCUUACCGGAGGAAAUGAUGGACAACAGUUCACAACUCGAAAGCUUGUAUAUCAAAGAUUGCCAUUCUCUACCAUUCAUCACAAGACGCAAGCUACCUUCAUCUCUAAAAAGGAUAGAGAUUGAGAAUUGUGAGAAAUUGCAACGUUUGUUCGAUGAUAAAGACGAUGCUUCUUCUUCUUCUCCUUCAUCCUCGUCUUCCCAAGUGAUGCUUCAACAUCUAAGUAUAAAGAAUUGCCAAGCGCUCUCCAGUUUGUCAUCGGGAAUUCAAUUACUUGAGUCGCUCGAAGAACUUGUGAUAACAAAUUGUCGAAAGCUGGAGUCAAUACCCGAUGGCCUGCACAAUCUUAACUGUUUACAGAAGAUUACUCUAGUGAGUUGUCCAAGUCUUGUUUCCUUCCCAGAAAGAGGGCUUCCCAACGCCAUUUCAUGGGUUGACAUUAGUUAUUGUGACAAGCUUGAAGCCCUGCCCAAUGACAUGCACAAACUCAACUCUCUCCAAACUUUAAGCAUAAUUCAAUGUCCAAAGCUUGAGUCGUUUCCAGAAGAAGGCUUUCCCACCAAUCUUAGAACGCUUAAAAUUGGAAAUUUCAAAAUGUACAAGACCCUCGUCCAGUGGGGGUUGCACAGGCUUUCCUCUCUCAGAAGCCUCUACAUUUAUGGAUGUCAUGAAGCAGAGUGUUUUCCAGACGAGAAGGUAGGAAUGACGCUGCCCACAUCUCUAACUCAUCUGUCCUUAUUGGGAUUCCAGAAAAUGAUACUUCUGUCUUCAGUGGGUUUCCAAAGACUCACGUCUCUUCAAUGUUUGAAGAUAUGGAAUUGCCCAAAUCUCACGUCAUUUCCAGAGGUAGGCCUUCCAUCCUCACUUUUGGAUUUAUACAUUAACAAUUGUCCUAGGCUUAAAAAGGCGUGCAAAAGGGACCAAGGAAAAGAGUGGCCCAAAAUUGCUCACAUCCCUUGCGUUGUGAUAGAUGGAAAAUUCAUAUACGAUCCAGAAUUGGAGGUGUAGAUUCUAUUAUUAAAGUCGGUUUAUUUAUAUUAUCCACUAUAACAAUCUCCUAUUAGUUUUUUUUUUUUUUUUUUAAUGAAAAAAAUUGCAGUUCUGUAUAAUUUAAAAUAUAUAUAUUAAUCCUCUGCCCUUAAUUGAAAAUACCACUCACUUGUUUCUGUUUUCACAAGUCAGAUUGUACGUUGAGGCUAUUUGCUUUUUAUCGGUGUUUGUUAAGGUAAUUAGUGUCUCAUAGGCUGAUUAUAGGCAGAUGAAAUUAUAACUUUUAACUUAAAAUUUAAUACCAUAGACAGAUAGAUGAUUUUUAAUCCAAAGGUUUUUAGAUGUGAUCAAAUUGUCACAUGCAUAACAUAUUAGGCAUGCAUGAUGUAUCACAAGGUUGAUACAUCUUAUAUGCCACGUGAUGAAAUUAAGGAUGUUUCUCUUACAAGGGACACAUCCUUACAUGUUCAAAUUUGAACAUGUAACUUCCAAGUGGUUAAUGGAAGUUACUUGUUCAAAAUUCGAACAUAUAACUGUCAUAUUGUUGCCUAUAUAGAGGCAUGAACGCAUCACAAAUUCAUACAUUCCAAGACAUACUUAAAGUCUUAUCAUAUUAUGAUCUUGCAGUUUUGCAUGUAGCCACCAGCCUAAGGGCAGUGUAAAACGAUCCCAAAAACCAUCAAUAAUAACAAUGGAUAUAGUUCCUAAAUAAACUGAUGAAAUUUAAGGAUGAUUGGAUGAAACAGCUAUGAUAAAAUGAACUAUCUCGAACCGAGCGAAUGGCACUGACUCAUGAAUAAGUGUGGAUUCCAAAUAUCUUCAUAUCUUCAUAGAUAUUCAUUUCCGUGUUAAUUCGAGGACUUCUAGAAAUUUAGUUAGUUAUUCUAUGAAAUAGAUAUACUAAUAAUAAUAAAACAAAAACGACGGGUGUUACACAAAUUCACAAGUAAAACUGUACUACUUGGAAACUGUGAACAGUAUAGAUUGAAGAUCAUACGAUUGCUAUUUUCAUUGAGUUUCAUGCAUAAAACUUUAUCGAUUAUUAAAUUAGACAUCUUUAUCUUUCUAUCCAUAUGUUUAUUGUUCAAAAACUUAUUGUAUAUUAAUUGUUUUGAUUUUUAAAAAUUGAAACACUGGUGCUGGAAAAUUCUGAUUUUCAGUAGCGAUUCUCAAUUCUAUAAUUUAUUUCAUAACUCCAAAUACUUCUGAAAAUUCUGGGAAUUUUUAUUACUGUACACUUAUAUGUCUAGUUUCUGUCUUUUUAAUUUCGUAAUUUUUGGCUUUAUAUAAAAAUCAUAGAGUUAGACUGCGCAAUCCCAGAAACUGUUUUCCAGAAUUGCGAGGGCUGAUAUUUAGGGCAGUUUGGGAUAGUUUUUCAUCAGUAAAUGUCUUAUAAAUCUUUAAUUCUGACUCCUAUUGUUUCCUCUAAUUGUCAAAACUAGAAUCACUAUUUUUGGACAUGUGUAACUAAAGUUAUAAAUUUUUCAAGCAACAGUCCUCUGUUUAUAUCGUUAUUGGACAGUUUGGAUAAUUUUGUGGAAAAAUAAGUUUUCAGGGGAUGUUUUUAAACUCUAAUUGAUUAUGUAAAAAUUUAAAUUGAAUGCCAAUAUGUUGACAAUAGUGUUUUGUGAUAUUUGUGAUAUUUCCGACGUACUUAUAGCUUGUUAGAAAUCAGCUCCUAUAUAAUGGUCUAGUAUAGUUUAGUGAAUUGAUGUGCUUAAGUAAGAGUGCAUGGUUUAAGGAUUUUUGGAUUUUCCUAUCUAGGUCAGAAUUGAAUAAGAUAUUGAUAGUACUUUUUUCUUAACAAUCAUAGGCCAAAAGUGAGCUCGUUUGAUUUGGGUUAUUGUUGAUUGCUUUGUAUCAUGGUAAGUAAAUUCAUGCAUAAUAUUUAUUAAAGUAUACACGUAAAUAUUUAUUAAUAGAAUAAUGUUGUCCAAAUGGAUUGGCAAGUUAUGGUUUUGAAGUUAUUUUAAAAUGUUUUCUUAAAUUUGUUUUAAAAAUAACUUCAAAAUACCUGCUUCUCUAUAAAAUGUUUUCCUUAAAAAUAUUUGUAAAGCUUUGCCAAUUCAAUGUCUUGUAAGCGUUUUAUCGAAAUAUUAUGGAAUGAUUGAUAUUGGAAAUCUGAAAACUGUUUUUAAGGUUUUGGCUCAUUGUCCGUAGUUAUCGUUACUAAUAUUACUAAAUAGCUAGUUGUAUUGUGCGCACCUAUUGACGAUUAUUGCAGGGUAAAGUACCCUGGUAGAACUAUAAGUUGGGUCACCGAGAUUAUAGGUGACAUAUUGAACUAUUGACCAGGUCACCGGGGGUAUAAGUGACACUAUGUGAUAUGAGUAAAUUGAAUGAAAGAAAAGUUUUAUUGAUAAAAGAUUUCUUACACGAUUAUUUAUUGAAAAUGAUUAUUAUGCUAUGACUUAAUUGAUUAUGAGUUUUACCGCACACAUAUGAUUACAAAAUGAUUUUUGUUUCCUAACUUGUGGUACUACAUAAUAAUGAUUAUAUACUUUUUUCCUUAUUGGUAACCUUAUGCAUGAGUUCGCUUACCGAUUGACGGCUCACCCCUCGUCUCCAACAUUUUAUAGAUUGAUUUUAGUGAUGUGCGCUUUUGGUCUAGCAAAGAGGAUUUAGCUGAAAAACUUUGGCAUUUUCUAGAUGAAUUAAUUGUAGCUAGUUUGAUUAUUGCUUAGAGCUAGAUUUUAUUUUGGAGGAUUUUUGAGUUAUUUUUUAUUUUAGAGACUAUGUUUUGUCAAUGAACAACAUUGACUUUAUUUGAAAAUAGUAAUAAGAUUAAUGUUAUAAGGUUUCAUUUGGGGUGUUACAACUUGUCUCUUAGUAAGUUUAUUUUUGUUAGCCUAUCCAGUAAGGUUUAUUAUCGACUGACAUCAUUUUCAAUGAAAUCAUCUUAUGUUGUUAAGUUUUGCAUAAAUAAAUAUUUCAGUAGGGUCAAAAGAGCAAGAGUUUACCUAUAAAAAAAAAGUCAAAAUUAGUUUAACCACCCCAGUGCGAAUUUCUGACCACGUCUUGCUUUGUAUGAUUUAACUCUAUUAUUAAUUAGUACUAAAAUAUCGAUGAAAAAAAUGGACAUGAAUUUUGAUCUCGUGUUGCUUUGUUUUGGUUGAGUGGCCAAUUUUAACUUCAUGUUAAACUUUCUCAAUUAUUAGUUGAAUUAUUUGGAUUUGAAAACUUAAAACCACCAUUUUAAUUUGUUUAGUAAUGACUAUGUUGAACUUCAACAUUUGUUUUCAAGAAAAAAAUUGAUCAAACUAUGAUGCUCUUGUUUCUAUUAUUAUGGAAUCUCUUUUUCAAUCGUCAAAGUUUGAAUUAUAUUAUGCUGCCUCUGUAUUUCCGCAGAAACAGAAUCAGUUGGUGAUCCUUCAAAACAAGAAAAACCAAAAAAAGAUGUAGUGCGUGAUAAGAUAAUGAGACAGAUGGCUCAUGUUGACAUUAAUACUCAAGUUGGAAGUUGCAUGCCCCUUGCUUGUAUGCGGACUGGGACCAUCAUCCACAAAAUUGAGGUAUACCCGGCUGAAGGUGGCAAGCUAGUUCGAGCCGCUGCGACGUCAGCCAAGAUUUUGAAGAAGACCCACUUCAAGGUACUGCUUAGUAAGGCUAACUUCUGGAAAUGAGAAACUGAUUGACGCUAGAUGUCGAGCCCACCAUUGGUACAGUGUCUAACCCCAGCCAUGGAGCUACGAAGCUUAGGAAGGCUGGUCAGAGCCGUUGGUUGGGUCGAAGGCCUGUGGUUGGAGGAGUAGCCAUGAAUCCAGUUGAUCAUCCUCAUGGUGGAGGUGAGGGACGAAGCAAAAGUAGCCGUAACCAUGGAAGGUGUUCACUUACGCCUUGGGGCAAGCCUUGUAAUUCUGGGUAUAAAACUGCAUUUCCUAAGGGAAAAAAAAAAAGAAAAAGAAAUUACCCGUCUGAUAAUAUUUUCCUUCUUUGCUAUUUAGCCUUUUUAAUAAUGUUACAUUGUUUGUCAUAUAUUUGAGGUUAGUUUUAGACCAAUUUUUAACUGAUCCAUAAUGAAACUGAAGUUUAAUUUUCUAUUGAACUUUUCCUGGUUUUACUCUUCUGUCAUUUCAAUUUAGCAAUGAUUUAAGAUGUUGAGUUCUGUGCUUGGAACAUGUAAAUGGGAAAGAGAGAUAUAAUGGGGUAGAAUAUAGAUUUUGUGUUUUGGUUUCUCAUGUUUAGAGAUAUUCUGUUCUUUUUCAUUUGUUCAAUUUGGUUAGUGGUGAUUUCUUAAAGAGUCGAUGCACGUGUGUAUAUAUACUUUUCUUUUGGCCUUGAUUCUGUUUCUUGGGGAGUUUAUGCAGUUUCUUUUUUUAUGCUUCGUAUGCCACAUGAAAGAUGAAAGCAUUUUGUGUAUUUAGAAUUGACUUGCAUCAUAGUAACUUUGAAUCACUGUUAACAUUUGUAUAAUAGCAGUCUGAGAUCUCCUUGAAGGAUUCAAAAGCAUUUUAUUUGAUGGUCUAGACCUAAAAUCAACUCCUUUAUAUAGAUAGGUUGGUCUUCUUCAAAGCAAUUCCUAUUUUAAGUAAUCAAAAUUUUGAUUUGGAAGUGUGUUUUAACACUACCAAAAGUUCUUUAAAUACUAAAAAUGUGUUUGGGAGUGAGGUGAUGUGGCUUUUAAGCUACAAUUACUGCAAAGUAAAAGUCAGUGAGUAUAAAUAAGAAAAAAUGACUGUUGAGUUGCCAAAGCCCAACUGCCGCACAUCACUUCCAAAUGCACCGUAAAAUGAUUUUGAGUCUUCUAUAUUAUUGAAACAAAAUACAUGAAAGCACUUUUGGCUACAGAAGUACACUUGGGGUUCUUUAUAAAAUUCUUCGACAGCAAUUUUUCCCCCUUUUUGCUCAUGGCGGUUUUUCUGGUUGUUCUUUUAAGAAAACACUUAAAGGUUCUUUUUAUAGAUUUCUGAAAGUACUUCCAACAUAAGCAUUUUUCAGAAAUUUUUUCUGAAAUUAAUUUUAUUUACUUAUCGACUUUUCAACUCCUGUGGUUGUUUAUGAAAUGAAAGGCAAGGGUAAUCACAAGAAAUCUGCAAACUUUAUCAAUUUUUAACUAUACCAAUUUGUUGUUUAUGCUUUACUUUUAUUUUACAGUUUUGUUUAAUGUUUAGAUGAUAGAUAUAUAGACAUUUUAGAUUGGAGAAUUUUGUCAACAAAUUCAUUCCUUUCUUUCACUUUUUCCCUUUUCAGAGGAAAGCAAUUUUGACUAAUUUUAGCCAGAAUCGGACUAUAAUAUUUUGGAGCAAGCCUACUUGAAAUGAUGCUUUUUAAAUUUGAUCUAGUUAAAAUACACUGCCGUUACCCAAAAAAUUCUAGUCUUGGAUUUCAUAGAAUGCCCUUUUAAGAUAUUUUCUCAGCUCUUUGUUGGUCGCAGCAUCUGAGAUUAGCAUUCUCACAUUUCACUUGUUUUGCCUUUGUUUUGAAGGUAACUUAGUUGCAUAGGUGAAUCGAGGUUCAAGAAUGCCGAGAUGGCUACAAGUUUCAAGAAUCAUUUAAAGAGGCGUAAUGACAGCACCAAGAUGGGCUUUGUGAUUAACAAGAUUACUAAUUGAACCAAUCUUGAUGGGACAGAGGACAUGUCAGAACCGUUGCGCACAGGGAGAAGAGUUAGGGGAGCUUUGAGAGUUGAGACCAUCAACAUCCAGAAAGGCUGCUGGUAAUGUUUCAUGUGUUACAAAGUUGCAAGGAAAUUUCAUUUAUAUUUUAACACCUUGUAUUUGAAAAAUUUAAUGUAAUUUUCUCUUUUUUCAAUUUAUUAUUCAGAUCGUAGACUAGUAAACGGUUUAGAUCGCAAGCUUUUAUUAUGCAGUUAUUUUCUCCUUUUCAGGAAGAAGUGGUCAGUUCCAUUCCAGAAUUGGAAUAUGGUAAUUAGGUGCAAGCAUACGUUGUAACAAUCAUUUCUUGUUUGUUUGAUUAUGCUUAUCUAUUUAGUUGUUUAUCGUUUGGUUGUGUUAAAUUAUUUGAAUUAGCAUUAUUUGAGAUAAAGCAUAAUUCUUUUAUUUAUUUAUUUAUUUUUUAAAUAAAUUAUUAUAGAAUAUCGUCUUUAUCGUAUAAUGUAUUUUUAUAAAAGUAAGCAUUUUUAUAAAAUUUAAACUCUUCCAAUCUCCUUAUGAUUAAAACCCUUAACCUAAUAAACGUAUAAAAGCAAAGAGUCCUAGGAUUUUCUUUUGUGCACAUUUGGAAGAAUUUUUGAGGUAAUUAUCCUUCUCUAAAACAUAUUCUCUAAUCUUAGGUGUUUAAUGAUGAAUGCAUGCAUUGUUUUUUUAAUCAUGAAUGACUAGCUAGACAUUAUGAGGCAUGAGUACUGUGAUUCUAUUACUGUUUUCCCUUUAUUUUUUAUUCAGGUUUUCACUAAAGUUUUCAUAAAAUUAAACUAGACAUUUUAAGGCUUUCAAUGAUAUAUUUUGUACGAAAAGAUUACCAGUAACCAAUUUGUUGUGAAUUUUCGAAUUCAGAACAGUGGUGCUGGAAAAUUCUGAUUUUCAGCAGCAUGUUUGACUUUGCCCAUUUUUCUGUCUGUCUAAAUGAUCCCUAAAAUUAUGCUGAUUUUUCUAUUAAAUCCUCAUUAUGUCUACUUACUAUAUGUUCACUUUCAUAAUUUUCAUUGAGUAAAAAAAAAAUUAAAAAUCAUUAUGUUGGGCUGCUGCAGUUUUGGAAACUGCUUUCCAGAAUUGCGAUGGCUGACAAUAAAAUUACUUUAGGCUAUUAAAAGGCUUUAGAAUGGCCUAUAAAAAUUAUAUUCAUAUAAUUUAUGAAUUCCUUAUGAUUUAAAGUUUAUUUGACUAAUUUUGAUAGUUAACAUUAAGUUAUGAAUUUUUCAAGUGCAAAACAUAAACCUGAAUGUUUCUGGACAGGUUUGCUGGUCUCUUAAUAUAAAUUCGUUUAAAAUAGUGUCAUAUCUUCAAAAAUUCUAGGAAUUUGAAGCUUUGUUUCUUGAUGCAUCUACUGUUUUAAAAUCAAGUGGUCUAAUUUUUAAGAGUUCUAUUAAAUAUUUUACAAAUUUUCCAGUUCAGCAACCUCUGUUUUUAUCACUGUUGGACAGUCUGGAUAUGCAUGUAAAAUUCUUUUUGCAAUAUGUUUGACUUUUAUUCAUUCUUUUGAAUUUUUAUUUGAAAUGUUAUCCAUGUUUAUGGUUUAUUUUCUUUGAUUUUACAAUUUUCCAACAUUUGAUUAGCUUGGUAAAAAUCGGCUCAGACUAGCUUUAAUGGUUUAGUGCUUAUGACUAGGCUUGAUUAUGUUAGAUUUAUAUCAAGAUCAGAAUGAGUAAUAGUAUUGAUAAGAAUGUGUCUUGAUAUUUUAGGACGAGAUUGAGCUCGAGGCUAAGGUUACUAUUCUUUAUUGUUGAGGAUUGAGAUAAGUAGAUUCAUGCAUGGUAUAUGUAUUUCACUAUUAAAUUAUUUUUAAUUCGAGGUAUCUAUUAUGUUAAAUGAAAAGUAUUUGAAACUAAUUUGUUUUAGCCUAUUACAAUAUUUUGUUAAAAUAAAAUCGUUCUUUAAAUUAUUUAUAAUAAACCUUUUAUUUAUUAAAAACUUGUUUUAUAAAUUGUCUUAAAAAAACUUUUAUUAAAUUGUUUUAAGUCAAAUACUUUGAAAUAAUUAUCAAUUAUUUAAAUGAUUAAAAGUUCAAGGAUGAUUUUAAAUGUUUUUGCUCAUUGUCUGUAAUGAUGCUAUGUUAUGUUAUAUGUUGUGGAAGGCUAGUUGGAAUAUGUGUACAUAUGAUGUUAAUGUUAAUGAUUCUCGUGGGGUACAGUACUCUAAAUGAUGUCAUACGGAUGGGUCACUGGGUCUACAAGUGAUACUAUGUGGAAUGAGCUAAGUAUGUUUUAUGUAUUUAAAAAGCUAAUUAUGUUUUACAUGUUUGAAAUGCUAUUAUUAUGUUUAAAGGAUUUAAAUGACUUUCUGAUGUUUUGAUUUAUUUUUUAUAAAUGAUUAUUUACAAAAGUAAUUUCCCUUAUUAUUAUUAUGCAUAUCUAAGAAAUUCAAACAAUUAUAAUUUAAUGGUUUUUAGUAUUGUGCAUGAAUUUACUUACCGAGUUGACGGCUCACCCCUUGUUAUCAUAUUUUUGUAGAUAGAGUUAGAUGAUGUGAGCUCAUGAUCUUAGGAGGAAGAAUGAGAGCUCGUUUAUUUUUGGGGAUUAAUGUUACAUUAAUAAUUUAGCUUCCUUUGGCAUGAUAUUUAUUUGAGAAUUUGUUAUUUCAUUACUUAUUAUCUUUUGGAAGAGGAGCAUUUACUGUUGGAUAUUAAUUUGAUGAUUUUAGAUACGAGAGUGAUGAAAUACAGUUUCACUUCAAUUUCACUUUAGUAUCUUAUUAGUGGAAUUGGGGUGUUACAUACGUGCCCGGUCAAUGAACUUGAACUUUAAAUAGUUUUUUCAACUCAUUGAUUUUUGGAACUCAUAUUGGUGCAAGGAAAUCAAAAGAAAUUUAUGAUUAGUCAAAUUCUGAUAGUUGCUAUAUAUUAUACAUUCUAAAGUUUCUUGAGUUUGUUUUCAGAUGAAAAUAUGAUCAAUUCAUUUUGUUUUUGAAGUGUAGGAAAAUAGGCUGGGAUAUUAAUGCAUAGGCAAAAACUUUUUGAGUGGCUUUCCAGCGGAUAAUUAUCGGAAACAUGACUGGAUUUUUUGACUUCCGUAAAUCUUGCAUUUUAACCUGGCAAAUUUAACAAAAGUUCAAUACAACUUUGUUAGUGCCUUGUGUUCCAGAAGCUAGAAAGAUGUGUAGAUUCCAUAUAAGCGGGCUUGUAAUUACUCUAGUAAGAAUCCAAUUAUUUGCCUUUGCACCUUCAUUUUAUUUGUGGAUCCUUGCAUGUUUCUGAAUUUGAUCAAUCCAAAAGGAAUUGCUCUGAAGAAUAGCAGUAACUAGCCUAUGUCUUAGUGCAUGGACCUGCAAACCUGAGCUGACAAAGCUGAAACUAUUAGUUUGAGGUGACAAAUCCAUGAUCGUCACCUGUUAACUUCUGCUAGUUGCUUUCGUGAAACACUUUUAAGAAAUAAGCAAUUUGUUGUUAGUCGCCGUAUCUGAUGUGCUUUCUUUUAUAGUUUGUAGAAUCAACUGUAUUAUAUGUUGUCAGUUGCAGUAUCUGAGGUGUCUUUUGCAAUUUACUUGACCUUUAUUUGUUUGCUAGUGAGUUAAGAAUACCAACAUUGGCCAGAGAUUUGGAGAAACAUCCGAAGACGCUUAACAAACUUGGAGAUGCACUUGCUUCCAAGCUUCAUUCAUCACAAUGCGAAUCCGGUGAGUACUUAUGUCUUCAAUUAUGUAGAGUGUUUGAAAUUUUGAUGCAGCGAGAUGGUUUGUUGAUGCAAAACUUUAUACUGUUAAGGACUUACCCUGCAGGCUUUUUGCAUGUUGUAUCAACUCCAAAAUCCAACGAGAACUACAGCACCAAAGCCCAGUUUUCACUGAUUCAAUCAGCUGAAAUCAUGAGGGAAAUAACAGUAUAGCACCAUCAAGCUGGACUUAGAGAAUAAUCAGAUCAGUCAUCCAUUUCAUGAACUGUUAAUUUCAUGAUGGAGGCUUAGUGGAGCUGAAGAGGAAACAAGGAUGUGUAGGGAUCAACAAACAACAGUGAGAAGCACGAUUGGAGCUCUGAUUACAAAUAGACAAUUUAAAAAUAUGUGCUGGUAAGUGGAAAUUAAAGAAAUUUGUGAGCUCAUUCAAGUUUCGGUAUUUUCUUUUUGGAUAACGUUGAUACCAAGUUUGGCAAAUCUGUGUUUUCUGCGUUUAAUCUGUGUUUUGGUUAAAGUAGAUGCUCUGAUUAAUACUUGUUUGUUUUCAUAAAACAGGACAAAAAGAGAUCACCAAUCUUGAUUGAGAAUUCAUUUAAGUAAAAUUUCAAAAAUUGCCAAACACAGUAUAAACUAGGAUGCACUUGCUUAAGAUUCAUUUUCAGACGGAAGUUUGUACCUCCAGAUCAUAAAAUCAUGUUUAUGUUGUAUCUUUAUUCAGCAAUUGAAAGAUUCCAAGUUUGCUGAAACCAUAUUAUUUCUUUCCCAGGCGCUUUCCUGAAGGUAUCGACAUCUAUUUCGAAAAUGUUGGGGAUAAGUUGCUUGAUGCAGUGCUACAAAACUAUGAAGGAUUUCUUGUCGGUGAUUACUACCACCUGGAUAAAAAAUUCAUGGAACUGGUCAUGCCGGCAAUAAAAGAAGGAAAGGUGGUACACGUGGAAGACAUAGAUGAAGGCCUCUGUAUACGUCGAAGACAUAGAUGAAGGCCUGGAGUCCAACAGCCCUCGCUGGGCUAUUCAUUGAUCGGAAUGUCACGAAACAACUGAUUGUAGUUGCUUGGGAAUUUAAAAACCACCAUAUGCUGUAGAAAUGCACAGAGCCAUGCACUUUCAAAGCUUUGUGAAGAUGUCUUGGUCAUGUGUUAGAACAGAUUAUGUUUGUUCGAUUAAAUUGUACGCAGUUAUAAAUCAAAGAUUCAGAACAUUGCAUGUAGAAGUUCAAAUUUUAAAUUUUUGGAAGCAGAGGCGUAGAGUUUUUUUCUUUUGGAAAAAAAAAUCUAAAUUGUGGAGACUAUUUUUAUUUAAUUUUACAAUCUUAUUUUAUUUCUUUCACAACAUAAUUUUAAAAUAUUUAUUUAGUAAAUUAUUAACAUCCAAACCACUAAAGAUUUUUUUGUUAAACGCUCUACUUACAAAGUUAUAUUAAUUAUAGAUUUACUCAAAGAAAGUAUAUUUAAGAAGUUAUAGCAAAAAAAAGUUCUAAUCUGUCUUACAAAGGACUAUUGACAAGAGUGGUGCGACUCCCACCCCUUCAAAGUCCACUUGACACCACGCUUUCUCGAUUUAAAAUUUUAUAUAGUUGAAAAUUGUGUUUUCUUUUAAAUCUCCUUGCUUUCCUCUAUUCUUGUUACUUGAGAAGAAGAACCAGAGUCUAGAAGAACGAAAGAAAAUUCAGCGAGAUAGAAAUUUGGAAAUUUCAUCCGAGCUUUUUUUUUCUUAAAUUUUUUGGUAUUUCUUCCUUGUUUCUAUGGAUUCGUUCAAUGGAUUCUUGACCAUUCUUCCUUCUUUCUAUUUUCUACCAUGAUUCAGAAUUUUUCCUUAAAAAAAAUCUAGAUGCAUGGCCAAAUGAAAUGACCCCCUUUAGAGCUUCGGUUACUGUUGCAUAUUCAGCGUCUGCAUUUGACAAAGCAACUAAAUGCACACUAAAGACUUGCUGUUUCCAUUCAGUAUGCAGUUACACAGACAAAGGCCUUAAUUAUUGUCAAGUUCUCCAGUAGCAUACUCCGAAAUCCACAUACCAACCCACCAGAACUCCAAUCUUGAAACUCCAUAAAUCAAAAUUGAAGUGCCUGCCUCUCUGGUACCUCUCAAGGUCCAUUUUACUACUUUCCAUGUCUUUCCAUGCAUCUACUGACAACUUGGGAAAUGCCAGGUCUUGCAAGCACCACUACUUACAUUUGAGUCUGCUAUUAUUAUUAUUACUAUUUUAUUAUUAUUAUUUAAAAAAAAACACUCUAACUAGGAGAGACAAGUUCCGUGUAGUAGGACUGAGCAACAGGGCCGUAGCAAAUAUUAUGUUUUUAAUCAUUCUUGUACCAAAGUAUUUAAGUAUGCGAUAAAAAAUAAUAAUAAUAAUUUAUUGACAACUAAAAGUUAAUAGUGGCUGGGGUGGACCUGGGUUUUGUUUAAAAAAAUUGAUUAAUAAAAUUUUCGAAAUUUCAAAUUUCUAGUACAGAGAAAAUUGAUGAAUAAAAUUCUGCAAGUUAAUUUCUAAUAUGCCAUGAAAAUAUUAUCAAGUUAAAUUGUAACAUCGUUAAUCACUUAAUCCUCAGUCUAAUAUGCCAUAUAUUUGUUUCUCAGGCUUUAAUCGAAAGUGCCGGUGAUUUAUUGUUAUUUUCAGUAAUCAGAUAGGUAUGUUAAGGCUGUUUAAUUCAUCGACAAUGUACCAACAAGACUCAGAUUGGGAGAUUGUAAAUGUAAUUAACAAUAAUCUUUUAUUCAUUUUGAAGUUCAUUCUAUUGUUUACACAGGAGCAGCGUUCUCUUAUGUUUUAUGGAUAUAAUGUUUGGUAAUCCUAAUUUAAGCUAAGGUAUAUAUAUUUCCUAAUUACAUCUAAUUUAAGCUUAUUCAAAUGCAAUCAAUUAAUGUUCAAUAGUAAAAAUUCCAAAUACUAUAUAUUGUAAGAAUUUUAAUCGUAAUGACAAGGUGAUCAUUUGAAUUAUUAUUAUUAAAUUAUAUGUAUGGUGGAGUCCACACGGUUUUGACUAGAAAUCAAAGAGUUAAGAGACAAUAUUAAUUUAUUUAAGUUAAUAGUAUUUGUUCUGUUUAGUACGUCUUUUGACCAACAAGCAUCCCGGCAUUGCACGCAUUAAUUAAUAAAGCAUUGUGCAUGUCACAUUAUUAGAGCCAAUUGCGCCCGGUACACCUCCAUACUUCAAAAAUUAUCUUAAUACCCUAAAAUCUGUUUUUACCAAAAUUUUCAUCGAUACCCUUUAAAAACGGAUAGGAAAUUACUAAGCUAUCCUCAUUUUAAAACAUUUCAACUCAACGGACAGCACCUCUCCCUUCUCUACUGAAGCAAACAAACACUCAUCUGCUGCAAUUCCCUCCAUUAUCAAACUCAAAUAAACAAACACUGCAAUUCCCUCACCGGCAUCACCUCUGCAAUUCCCUCACCGGCAUCACCUCUACCGAAACAAAUAUUCAUUCUCCAUACAUGAUAAAUUGAACUUCAACACGAGCAAACUAAGCUUGAGAAGGGGAAGCUGCCACAACUGAGAAAGAGAAGCCUAGUUCGUCUCUACAUAAUCGCCGGCGAGAGCUGAUCCUUUACUGUAAAAUAGUCAUAAUUUAACUAGUUGAGGUAAGUAAUUCUCUAUAAAUAGUUUUCUUGUUGAUAUUCAGGGAAAAAAAAAACAAAAAGUUAGGGUUUAUAUAGAAAAAUUAGAUUAAUUAGUUGCGGGUCUCUCAUUACAUGUUCAAAAACAAAUUUCUAGUUGUUUUACUACAUGCAAAUUGUGAACAAUUGAUGGAUUGUGCCGAUUAUAAUUUUGUCAUGUAACACACAAUUUGGUCGUGUAAGGUUAUGUAGGAUUCAAGGUUGUGUAUUACACGACCUUCAUGUAUUGCACUUACACGACUUCAUGUAUUGCACUUACACGACUUCAUGUAUUGCAAUUACACGACUUCAUGUAUUACACGACGUUCAUGUAUUACACGACGUUCAUGUAUUACACGACCUUCAUAUAUUACACGACCUCAUGUAUUACACGACCUCAAAAUUACACGACUUUUUUUACUGUUGUUAAUUCAUUAUAAUAACUUAGUUGUUUAAACACUUAAUUUUUGCUAAGAAUUUAUAUUUGUUGCUAUGCAGAAAAUGUCAACGAAAAGUAUUCAGGAAAAAAUGAAACGAGGCAAACCGAAAGUGAAAAUUACUAAUUUGUCAUCGUUGGAACCAAUAAGAAUAAUAAAAAAUAACCUUAGUGACGUACAAUUGGGGAUUUUUCGCAAAUCAUGUUUUGGGCACUUUUUGGACUUGAAUGAGUUUCAGUUUUGUGCCCAGUUGUUGCACAAGUUGGUAUUAAGUCAUAUGCAUUCAUCCGAUAAGGCAAUGUAUUUUAAGAUAGGGAAAAAAGUUUGUCGAUUUUCAAUGUUUGAAUUUGCAUUAGUUACUGGACUGAAUUGUGAAGAAAUUUAUAAACCUAACUUGGACAUUGUUGAUGACGGUGGUCGUGUAUGUGAUGUUUUGUUGGACGGUUGCACAAAGUUCACUAACACAACGCUAGGUCAGAUAUUUGAAGCAACUAAGUCCAAGGAUGAUAUGAAAAUGGUUAAAUUUGCCAUGUUGUACUUUUUGGAGGUUGUAUUACUUGGAAAAGAAUAUAGAUCAUCUAUAAUUAGGGAUCACAUUCUCCACAUUGACAACUUUGAAGAUUUCAAUAAAUAUCCUUGGGGCCGUGUCUGUUUUGAGAACACAUUAGAAAGUAUGAAGAAUGUGAUUGCAAUUAGACAGAAUAGAGAAAGGGCAAAUCCAGACUAUGUCCCUGAAAAGGAGGCAUACAGUCUUCAUGGCUGUCCAUUUGCAGUUCAGGUAACAAAUUGUCAAUAUUGGUUUCGUAAAGAUUAUUAAGAUUAGGAAUAUUAAUUAUUUCUUUUACUUGCACAGGUAUGGGCACUUGAAAUUUUCAGUGAAGUGUGUGAAACUUUUUCCUCGAAAUGUAAGCAUGUCAAAUAUCCAAGAAUUCUAAAUUGGACAAUCACUAAACAUGUUAGCUCUAAUUUGCUUGACUAUUCCAUAUUUGAUAAGAAAAAGGUAAUAACAAACAAUCUAGAUCGUUAGUGUCUUUCUUUUUUUCUUUUUAAUUUAUCUUUGACAUUUAUUAAUUGGCCUAAUUAUUACAGCUUAAGGUACUGGAGAAGUUGGAUGUCGCUGAUGAAAUAGAGGCAUCACAGCCUAAUCUACAAUGGUUUUGGCAAACAAAUUGGCUGCAACAACUUGAAAAUGAUUUUCGUGUUGACUCAAAGAGUAAAAAAUCAGCCACUCCAGUCUCAGAACAGAAAAGUAGCAGUGUUGUGCAGAAAAAUUAUGUGGCCAUGGAAGUUAAAGAGACUAAUAAACGUGCGAAGUGUCAAGUUAUGUCCAUGAAAUACAAAAUGAAUUAUGAACAUGCAAAUUCUGUUGAGGACAAAACUGUAAGUUUUUUUAAUCUUUUAAUAACAAUUGCAUUUUUCAAUUUUUUUUUUGUUUGCCUAAUAGGCUCUGUCUUGUUCUGCUUGCAAGGGUAAACGUCUUGGUUACAUUGAUAAUUUGAUUUCUUUUAUCGAGGACAAGUUUAAUUGUUUGGAUAAGCGUCUCAAAAAGAUCGAAGAGAAGGUGCAAAAAAUUGACUCAUUAGAGGAGAAUACAGGUGAUGUGAGGGAGAUGAGAGAACAAGUCAAUAAAAUUGUAGACUUAGUGGAGUUCCUAAAUUCAGCGGACUACAAUGUGAAGGUUCAUUUUAUUAUUAUUUUUAACUAAGUAUGUUAUUAUUUUUAACUAAGUACAAAUUGUGUAAAGUUAUUAAUAUUUGCUGCUGUGCAGAUUCCGACAACAUUUGAUGAUAACCCGAGUAUUGCCACACCUGCGACUGUGUUUCCAAGCUUCACCACAAAUGCAGGCAUAGUCAAAGAGGAUCCAAUAAUUAUUCCGUCUACACAGCAAGAGGUGAAAAAAUAUGAAAGAAAAAGGCGAUCUCGAAAGGAUGCAGCUGUUUUACGCACGCCAUAUACUAACCCAUUUCGAAAAUCGCGACAUGUCAACGUCGAUGAAGCAAAACAGCAAGUUCAGUUUGAGCAUUGGCUGAAGGAGGAUAAUAUGGAAUCGUAAUUCCUUAUUUCUCUUUGUAAACUUACUUUUAUUUGAAACAAUAUUUCCUGGUUGACUAUAACAAGCAAUAAGUUUUACUCACAUUUUCUUUUUCGUUACUGCACAGUAAAAUAUUAUCGUGGCCUAUGCAUAAAGCAACAAAGAACUUCUUCCGCAGCUUGUAUGAUGCAGACGCGUGGUUAAAUGGCGGGGUAUUAUUAAUAUAGUUUUUGUUUAGCAUGUAAUUUACUGCAGUAAUGUUUGCAUUUAAUAUUAAUUUACAUAUGUUGGUAAUAUGUACAGCAUAUAGACGUUGGUUGUUACGUGAUAAGAUAUGAUUUGGCCAAGCUCACUAUGCCACAUUUGCACCAAUGUGCAAUCAUGGAUAGUGUAUUUCAGGUACUUAGUACUCUGUAGUAAUAAACAAAUAAGAUAUGUAAAUUUGUGCACUGAAAACUUGCAAAAUUCAUUGUUUUUUCAGCAAAAGCUUUUGUUGAAGUAUGAGUUGUUUAAGAAGGAUCCAACUACAAUAUGGGAUGAAGAUCAAGAACAUGAUUUGACAAUCAAACAAGCAAAUGGCGAAGAUCUUCCAUUCGCUAUUCCAUGGAGAGAUGUUUAUAAGGUAAAGUUUAAAUUUUCUUAAUGCAUCGCUAAAGUUUAAAUUUUCUAUUUUUGAUUGGCUCAAAUUAUUGUAGGUUUAUAUCCCAAUUAAUGUACUUGAGUGUCAUUGGAUUCUUGCUGAGGUUGACAUUGUAAGGGAGACAAUUUCCAUAUAUGACUCCAUGGUUUCUAUAAUGAAUGACUCAACAUUUUUGAAAGAAUUAUUGCCAUAUGCUGUUAUUAUUCCUCUUCUACUGGAGAAGGUUUUAUGGUAUGAUUCGCACCCUGAAACUACCCAAAAAAAUAAAGUUUGGAUAGUUUUGCGUUUAGCGAAUACGCCACAGUAAGAAUCUCGGUGAGCAUACCAAAUGCUCAAUUUAUUUUCAUUUUACUGUUAUAGUUAUAUAUUCAGUAUAUAGUUAACUAUUUUUUAAAAUUCUCAGUGGAGAUUGUGGUGUGUUUGUUUUGCGUUACCUGGACACACUUGCACGUGGUGAAGAUAUUCAAACAAAUUGUACGCAGGCACAUGUCUCUUCUUAUCGCAAGCAACUAGCUGAAAGACUUUUCUAUGACCAGUCAUUACUUUCAAAGAACAACUAACAUGUGAGUAUUAUUUUUUUAAAUGAAGUCAUUGCUGUUGGAAUAGUUUGGUUUCUUAAUGUGAAACCAAAAUAGGCCAUCACUGUUAGUUUGGUUUCUAAUUAAUUUCAUGGAUUUAUUAUAUGCAGGCAUUCCUCAUGCAUGCAUGUAUGCUUCGGCAGAGGAAGAAAGCAAUUUCAAGAAAAAAAAACUUUUAAAUGGUUGUAAUAUGUUUAAUUGCGAUAUCCAUUAGUGUAUCCUAUCCAAAUAUUGACAUUGUAAACUGAUAACUUUCUUUAUUUAUAAUAAUUAAUCUCAUCAUUUCUCAAACUGUCGAAUAUGCAAACUUAUUUGUUUGCUGUAAUUUAUGAACACACAAUUUGGUCAUGUAAGGUCAUGUACACGACGGUCGUGUAUUACACGACCGUCGUGUAGUACACGAGUAUAUUACAUGACCUUAAUAUAGUACGCGACUAUUACAUGACGUUCAUGUAUUACAGGACUUCAUGUGUUACACGACUUUUUCCAAUAAUCAUCAGAUUAAUUUAGUUCUUUAAGGACUUAAUUGGGGCUAAAAUUUUAUAUUUGUUGCUUUGUAGAAAAUGUCAACUGAAAUUAUAAAAACAAAGAAGUUAAAUUAAAUUGGAAUGUAAAGAAAUUUAGUUAUUUCAUAAUGCAACAAAUUACAGUUUCCAAGCAUAACAUAUCCAAGACUAAAAAAUUGUAAAUCCAAUUAUCUAAGUUUGGUUAGCCGUAGGGCCAUGCUCUUGCUCUGAAAGUGGUGUUGUUGCAGUGCAUGUUAGUCGAUUAUGCCCCUCAAUCUGCACCUACUACACUUGCGGUGCACGAUGUCUUCCCCUUGAGAAGGUAUUCUAGUAGUUCGCGGUCGUCCUACCUCUCGCUUUUUCAUUGGCAGUGACAGCACAUAUGCACGCACCUCUUCUGAAACAUCCCAUUCCUCUUGUGGACCCACAAGAUAAAUGCUCUCUGCAUAUGCUGUAACCCAUGCAUUGACAGAAUAAUAAUGAGCACAUAAAUCAUAAAUAGAAUAGUUACGCAUAUGCUUACAUACAGCUACCACAUGUUCAUAGGGAAAUUGGUCAAUUUGAAACUCAUUACAACUGCAAGUCUUUUGUAGCACGUCAACAUGGCCAUCAAGGUCGCCAUCCUUAACUAUAAACUCAUGGAAAUUAAUCUGUAUUACUGGAUAUGUGUGUGAUUUAUCCAAUUUCCCUUUCAACUAUUUCUCAACCCAAGUAGUCAUUAAAGUACAUGCAUCCAUUGCCAAAUCUCGCCUUUUUGCAAACCAUUCUUGUAAUUUGUCAAUGAUACAAUCCAUUAACUUAUAAAUAGGCAAGGUUCGUGCUUCUUUUAAGAUAGAAUUCAUACUUUCUGCAAUGUUAGUCGUCAUAAUCCCAUAACGCCUCCCCUCAAAAUGAGAACGAGCCCACUUCUCAUAUCCGGCAUCAGUCAGGUAUUGGUGAACAUUCAAACUAACACUGCGGAUGACAUUCAUAUAUUGAGUAAACUUAAUGGGCCGAUAUGCCUUUGCAGCCAAUUCAAAUAAAGCACCCACAUCAACUUCUUUAAAAUGAGCAUUUACAUUUCGUUUUAGAUGAUGCGUACAUAUGUCAUACCCUACAGUAGGAAAUACUUUAUCAACUGCUUUCUUAAUACUUCCAUGACGGUCAGAAAUGAAUACUAAAUUAGGAACAUCACCAAUAGACUCUCUUAACUUCAUAAAAUACCAUUCCCAUGAAGCGUCAUUCUCACUGUCACCUACACCAAAUGCAACAGGGUAAAGUUGAUUGUUGCCAUCAAGAGAUGUUGCAAUGAAUAAUGUUCCUUUGUACUUGCCCCUCAUGAAUGUACCAUCAACUGCAAUAACAGGCCUAAUACAUGAAGUGAAUCCUCUCAAAGAACUUCCAAUGGCCAUGAAACAGUACUUGAAGUUGUUCGCACUGUCUUUUUUAAUGAAUGUUCGACUUCCAGGAUUUUUUUUUUUCAACCAUUGCCAUGUAUGAGGGUAAUAAAUGGUAUGAAUCAGCCGGACUGCCCCUAACCAUCUCCAUUGCAAACUCCCUUGCUCUCCACGCCUUGUGAUAACUUAUUUCAUAACCAAACUCUUUUUGAAAAUCUUGCAUAAUAUCAGCUGGCUUAUACGUAGAUGAAGCACCAUCAAACUUGUGCCGAAAAUUUUUCCCAACUAACUUGGAUGAAGCUUGACGGUUGUCUUUUUCCUGUGAAUCAAGGGAGCAAGUAUGGACAUUGUAAUACUUUCUAAUUUCAAACAUGUUGCAACCUUUAAGUCUACUUGCACGAAGGCGCCAUUUGCAGUUGUCAUCCAUACAAACAACAACAAGUAAGUCCUUGUCUGAUUUUGGGGUUUUGAAUUGGAACCUUUUUUUCACAACUAGUGCUUUAAGCUUUUCUUGCAAUGCCUCCUUUGACUCAAACACCUCUUUCACCAUCGACACAUCAGUAUCACCACUAACUUCUGUUGAUAAUAAAUUACUGCUACUAGUAAGUAAAUUUAUUCUGGGCACAUGUCCAUUGUUUGAGGUUCUUGAACUUAUAGGAGCUGGAGUAUUAUCUCCUAAUGCUAAAUCAACAGCUAAUGGUGGCUCAUCCAAACAAUCAACUUCAGUUACAAAUUCAUUAACUUCAGUAAAAUUGUUCGAACUGAGAAUAGGAAAUGAUGGAGGCACGUAGCUGGAGAAAGCAUGACUCUCUUCCCAUGAAAGACGAGGUGAAGGUUGUCUAUCCACCGGAACUGUCGAAAUUGAUCUACGUUCAAAAGUAAUGCAGAGCGGGUUUCUAAACUCCAUUCCACUAGCUACUUCCUCUAAGAAAAAUUCCACAUCAUCAUUGGUUUGAAUUGUAACUGGUGGCAUAGGAUCAGAUGUCUUAAGUUUGAACUUCAUUGUGAUUUCGAAUUCCGAAGUAUCUAUAUCAAUAACUUCAGCUAUCUUGUCCACCAAUUCGGCAUAUGUUGUCGAUCGUGGUAUCAUUAUCCCUUUAGCCUUGGAACCUUUGAACUUAUACUCGUCAUUUUGCUCAAUCCAUUCACCAUUAAAGAGAAUAGGCACACGUACCAAAACCAUUUCUGAUGAUACAAUAAAAACAAUAAUAUCAAAUUUCAUAUACAAGUAAGUACACGACUUACACGACUAUAAUACUUACACGACUUACACGACUAUAUUUCUUACAUGACCUACACGACUUACACGACUAUAUUUCUUACAUGACUUACAUGACUUACACGACUAUAUUACUUACACGACCUACAUGACUAACUAUAUGACGUACACAGUAUCAAGAGAAUGCACGGCGCGAAACAUUUUCGCUAUAAAUAAGUUAUAUUGCUGAAAAAAAUAAUUAAACAACCUACAUUGCAUAUAUUUCUACAUAUAAGAAAAAAUGGUGAAAAUAAAACAUUGUAAUGUGAGGAAAAUUUCUAAAUUUUUCUCAAAAUUAAUAAAUUUAAAACCCAAAAACAUUAACAUACCUUAUUGGGUUGUUUAAUAAGCAAUGCACCUUUAAAGAAAGAGUGGGUGUUAAAGAAAUAAAUACAUAAUUGUAUUUGUGUAAGAAGUUAUGAGAGAUUUUGAGAGAUUCUAAGAGAUUUUGAAAGAAUCGGCAGCAAAAAUGGAGUUGGGUGAAAGAAAUGAGGAAAUGAAUAUGAAGACAAUUUAUUGAAUGAAUUUGAUGCAUUCAUUAAGGGUAUUUCUGACUUUACUCACAUUUGUUAGGGUAUUCAUGAAAACUAAAAAGGGAGGGGGUAUUUCAAUAAUUUUGAAACUAUUAAAGGGUAUUUAAUUAAAAACCCCACAUUAUUAGUACCUAGUUGAUUAGUCAUUUGGUCUUCAAUAAAUGUUAGUUGAUAUAUGCUUGAAAUCAUAUUCUGUUUUAUAUGCCGAAUCAUAUUGUAAGAUGGUGAUAUUAGCAUGUUUCUUUUUCUUUGUGCUGUUUCUCGUUUGAUUACAUUUUCAACAACAAGUCGAUCUGUUGAAGAACAAGUUUGGGUUUGAUGAUGCUUUUAACUAUAAGGAAGAGCCAGACUUGGAUGCAGCUCUCAAUGGGUUGACACGAAUGAAUCCUUUCACCCUUUUUCUCACUUCAUUAUUACAAUGCGCUUUGAAGUUAUCUGUGUUGUUAAGGUUAAGGUUAACCCUGCAGGCUUGUUCGAUGCUGUAUCAACUCCAAAAUCGAACAACAUCUACAGCACCAAGACCCGGUUUCAAUCAGCUCAAAUGAUGAGGUAAAUAACACCAUCAAGCUCAGCUUAGAGACUCAUUAGAUAAGUAAUCCAUUUUCUCAGCUGUUAAUCUCUUGAUGGUGGCUAGUGGAGAAGCAGAGGAAACAAAGGAUGUGCCGGAAUCAAUUAGAACAGUGAGAAGCGUGAGGGGAGUUAUGAUUAUAUUUAGGCUUUUUGAUGAUGCUUUGAACAAAAAGGAAGAGCCAGACUUUGAUGAAGCUCUUGAAAGGUUAGCGAAAAUGAACGCUUUAACCAUGUUUCCAACUUCAUUAUCACAAUAUCUGACAUUGCAUAACUUCAAGUAAAGUUGCUCUUAAAAGGUUAGCAAAAAGCCAAAAAUGAUUGAAGUUAUCUGAGUUGAUCCAGAAAAUGUAAUGGAAAUACUCCCCUGCUUCGUAAAACAGGACAAACAGAGAUCGCUGGUCGCGCAUGGGAACUAAUUGCAUUAAAGUUUCAAACAUUACCAAACAAACUAGGAUGCAUUUGCUUAAGAUUCAUUUUCAAAAGCAAGUUGUAUGUUUAUGUUGCAGCCUAUAAAACCAUGUUUAUGUUGUAUGUUUAUUCAGGAAAUGAAAGAUUCGUCGUGUUAUUUUAUUCCAAGAAUUCGCUGAAACCAUACCUGCUUUCCCAGAUGCUUUCCUGAAGGUAUCGACAUCUAUUUAAAAAAUUCUGGGGGUAAGAUGCUUGAUGCAGUGCUACUCAACAUGAGAAUUCACGGCCGCUGCUGUAUGCUGAAAGAUCUCACCGUACAACCGUGAGAAGCCUGAAGGUGUAUUCAACUUGAUACAACUGGUCGUAGUUGCUAGGGAAGGAUAUAAGGUGUACUCAACUUGAUAUGCUGUAAAAGUGCACUAUGCCAUGUACUUUUAAAGCUUUUUGAAGAUGUUUUGGCCAUGUGUUUGAUUAGAUUGUACUCAGAUAUAAAUCAAAGAUUCAGAACAUGUUUGUUACUGUUUUUCAGAAUCCAGAACAAUAAAUACCUUGAAAUGUUUUUGUUCAAUGAUUUUGCAGAAGACCAGCUUCCUUGUUAAUGAAUCAAGAUGGCUGAAUCCGUCCCUAAGCCAAAUCUGUUUUCACUUUUAGGUUAGAAAUUGUCAUUAAAAAGUGUUUGAUAAAAUAUGCUCCGGGAACGCUAUUCGUCAGAUGGUUACUCCAAGUUUAUGAAAUCAAUGGUAUUUCAUCAUAUUCAUAACACUCUGCUUUAAUAUCUAUUCUAACAGAGAAAUUAUAUACAGAGAAUAGGUUGCGUUAGAACUUUUGCUAGAAAAAAGUGACAAGAAUUCAUCGUUCACUUGUAUCUUAAGUAAGUGUAAAAUUUAAAAUCCCAUCAUGAAAAACUCCUGGGAGAAAAAACUAUAAAAAUUAAAGAAAAAAGAGUGUGGCGUGCAUGUAAAUUAUGUCGAUUCUAUCUAUACGAUAAAUACACUCUCUUUUACAAUGGCACGGAUGCUUCAUUGAGUAAUCAUGAUUGUUGCUGGUAGUGCUUUGUUGAAUCAAUCUGCUAGAUAUUCAGCUUUCUUUCUUUCUUACUUUUUUUUUGUUUUAAUAAAUAGCUUGUGGUUGUGAAAAUAAUUUGAAUUAAACUAUGCUUAACUGCCUAUUUGGUACAACUUCUCUACUAGCCAAAAGAUUUUUUUUUAAUCAUUUAUUUAUACCUCGAGUAGAGUUUUUGGAGAUUAAAUAGGUGAUAUUUUGUCUCUAUUAAAAAGAAAACUCAAAAGGUAGGACUAUUUGAAGUUUGAAUCCACCAAACUACUCAUUAAAAAUUCAUUUGUGAAAAUAAUUUUUAAUUAUUAAAAUACCCCUAAAUUAAAUUACAAUUAUGAACACUAAAAUAUAGUAAACAAUUUUUUUUUUACUCUUUGAAAUUGUCCUUACAUUCGAUAUUAAAUUUUUUUCUUAAACUCUAAAUUAAUUUUUUUUUUCAUUUUUAAGUAAUUUUAAGGCACAUAUAAAGUGAUUCAUAUUGAUUUUAUACUAACAAACUAUUACAGCAGAUUUGGAAAAUGAUUAACUCGUUCUCAUUUUCCUAGUGAAAAUGCAAAUAGCUCAUUUAAACGUUAAGGAAUUGGAGAGUUGCUGCUGGAGAUGAAAGAUGUGAAUUAAACAUCAGAAAAAAAAAUUAUGUUUACUAUCUUACCAGACCAAGCACCGAAAAGCAUGGUAAAGAAAAAUUACAUAAUUCUGACUUAGAAGACGAAAAAAAAUGAAAUACAAUUUGAAUAAGAGAUAGAAGAUAAAGCACGUGAAUGGAGGCAGAAAGCAAGUAAUGAUAACUCUUUCGACAAAACUAAUAUAUAUCAAAAUGCAAUAUCAAAAAUGAAAAUAAAAAUUCAUUACGAAUACAUGUUAAUGAUAUCCCAAGUGUUGAGUAAUAAAAAGUACCAGGCAGGCAUCUCCCCAUUCCAUGCCUGAGAAUGAAUCUCUCCAGCUGAAUGAUACGAGCAGAUUCCUAAUAAUAUAUCCUUUAUGGAACACAUACCAACUAGAAACGAAUACCGACCAGAAGUUCAUACCGACCAGGUACUUGUCACUCAAAGAAAGAGAAUACAAUCUCACGAACGCGCGACAGUUUUGCCACAUUCCAAACCGCUAGGGAGAACACGACGCCCCACGUUUACCCACAUUCAGUUGUUGAAGACCCAUUAAGGCCCUUGAUCACCCAAAUAUGACGGGAAGGAAAAAUAUUCUGAGAAAGUGGGACGAUUGCCUAUAAAAAGCUGGGAAAUCAAUUAAGAAAGGGACAGACAAAAAGAGAGAGGGGGGAAACUCUACCGAAUUGAUACCAGGCAUUACUACAUAAUAGCCUUAAAUACAUUUUACUUUAAGAACAUCACAAUGAGUGUGCGUAACCAUAAAUCAUACAAUUUUCCCGCAAACUUCAUGUACUAACUUAAGCAUCGGAGGGUUUAUUCCGGAAAAACCACCAACGUCUCUGGUUUGUUUAUGUGAAUGUAGAUUUGAAAAGAAGAGAAAGAGUGAUUUGAGUUCAAGGAGCUCGGGCAAUUGCUAAAGUUAGUGGAAAAAAUUAAAUGAGACUCAAAAUCAAUCCAGAGGAAUAAAUGAGAAACCUAAUCCUAAUAAAAUACAUUCACAAAUCUUAAUGCUAAUUAAAAUCACGGAUAAAAAACAUAAUAUGAAUGAAUUACAGGCACAACUAUUUUAUUAAGAAAUUAAUAAAAUCGUGUAUUAAUAUAUUUUGUACAUUUUUUUUCCAUAUAUAACUUUCGGUAAUUUAGUUUUCCACUUAUCAUUUUUACUCCAAAAAAAUAUUGAGAAUAUUAUUUAUGUUUUGGUGUAAAAUAUUUGAACAAUAUACAAAUUUUCAGUUUAAUACAUCUAAACAUUUAUUAAGUUAUAAAUGAAUUUAAUGGGUUUAACUAGUACAAAUACUAUUAUUUUAUAAAUUGGGUUUAAUAAUAGUAUAUUGGGGAUUUAGGUUGAGUAAAUUUUAAAAUUUUAAAAUUAAAGGGUGGGUUUGUUUAGCAAAUGAGUUUUUUUUUUUUUUUUAUUACAUGAGACUAUUGCUCAAAUUACAGUUCAAGUUACAACUCAUAUUACAUGAGAGUAUAAUUGAUAUGUACAAUCAUAUAUUUAUACUGAGCCCUGUUGAUAUUAAUGCUGAUAUGACACCGCUCAGAUUUUUAACCCUCUCAAAUAUUUGAGGGAUGUCAAACUCCCAUCCUGGGAGAAAGACUGUCUUCACUCGAGCUCAAGGGCUCCAAGAAAGAAUAUUUAAAGUAAAACCCCUACAAUGCGACUGCGGAGGCUCGAACCCCUUCCCUCACAUUUGUGAGGGAGGGGCUUAGCCUUAGCCCAAGUGGCUCUUUUAGCAAAUGAGUUAAGGGAAUAGUUUGUUGGGAUUUAAAUAGCCCCACCCAAACUCAAAUGUAAAAUUUUUGAAAAAAGAGACUAUUACGUUUUAAAAAAAAGAAUUAAAAGGUCAAGAAUACCUCUAUUUAAUUUUAUAAUCAUAUUUUAUUUCUACCCUAAUAUAAUAUUAAAAAACUUAACUAAAAAUUUUAUAAUUUUUUAUAAAAAUUACCAUUAACAUCCAAAAAGCUAAAGAUUAAAAAAAAAAAAGGAACUGUAUUUACAAAAGUUAUAUCAAUAAUAAAUUCAGUCCAAAGAAAAAAGUUAUUGUAAACAAGUACUCAUAUUUAUCUCUACUUUAACAAUAAUCUUCGAAUCCGUUUUACAAUGGAUUUUAACCAAUGGGCUUAUGAGUCCUUUUUUGGAAAGCAUGAAAGCGAUGGCCCAAUCUCUAAACUUCAUUUUCUUUAGCCAGAAAGCCUAAAACAAGACCAGCCCAUAGAUAUAUAACUACCGGAAAAAAUUAAAAAGAAAAAAAAGAGUAAAAUUGUGUAAGAGCUUUUAGAAUUACAAUUUUAGGAUCACGUGUGUAAAUGGAACUCCAAGAUUGAUCAAGAAUUAACAAGGCAAGAUGAAGGGAUGAUCUUGUAGCAAAGAAUGAAGAAAUUGAAUCAAGAAAGUACUCUAGUGCUUUAGUGCUUUACAGUUAAGGGAUAUAGGGUGCGUUUGGGAUUGAGGUUGGGCAGCUGUAGCUUAAAAGCUACAGCACUAAAGUGUUUGGUAAACACUAGCUGCUGUAACUUUUAAGCUAUGUUGAUAUAAUUUUUCACUUGUAUAAUAUAAAAUUUAUUAUAUCUUUAAUAAUUUUGAUAAAAUUAUUAUUUACAAUUUAUAUUUAUUAUAUAUUAUUAACUUUUAUUUCAUAAUUACAACUUCUUUUUUACAGCAGCUGUAGCUUAAAAACUACAGCACCUCAAUCCCAAACACAACCAUAGUGUGAAUUCAUUACAAAGCAUUCGCAAAGAAAUUGUUUUUAAAUGAAACUCCUCGUCUUGACCAGAUUAUUUAUUAUUAUUCAAAAAAAAAAUGUUCAAAACUUAGCCAAAGUGAUAAACUCGUAAUUAUUCUACAAAGGGAACAAUUUUGAACGGUCGGAAAUUCCAUGCUUAUGAUUUUCUCUGCACUAUUUCAAUAAAAUUAUUACCCAGUGAAGACUUUAGAGACAAGUGCCCCCAUGAGAUCAAGCAAAUAUGCCCCCACAAAGAUCACAUAAUUAUUUCUUGUUCUUUUUCUUUUUGACAAUUUUAUCUGUGGUUUCAACUUUUACGCUUUAUUGUCAUUUCUCGUUGAGGGCUCCGCUGCACCCAUUACAACUUACCCCUAUAUUGUCUUUUACUGACUAAACCGUUAGAUUUGACGGAUAGCACGUUCAAUGCUGAAUUUUAAUUAUAUCAUCAAAUUUCGUUUAGCUCCUUAAACUCCAUUUUAUUUUUUAUUUCUUUAUAAAAUAUUCAAAGCUUCAUCAAGCUCCCGAUGGACCAUCAUGGCUAGGGGUGCAUUAGAGCCGAACUGAAAUAUGUUAGUUUAGUUUAGUUUGGUCAGUUUAAAUCGAAUGGUUUAGAAAAUAUAAAAUGAUCAAUUUUAAUUUUGAAUUGAACCGAACCAAAAAUUAAUUGAUUUGCUGUUAGUAUUUUUGCAUAAACAUAAAUGAUUAGUGAUUAUAAUUGAAUUGGACUAAAAAAAAUCAAACAAAAGUGAAAAAUAUAAAAUCUUAGACAAUAUAAAAGAAAAAAUAUUAAAUAUAUAAACCAAAACGAACUGAAUUAUUUUGACUCAGUUUUGGUUCAUAAUUUUUUAAACCAAACUGAUUUAUUCCCACCCCCUAAUCGUGGCCCUCUAUCUUUAGUCAUUCACCCUUGAGUUUGAUACCAAUUGUUGGGUUUCAAAUGAUUAUACACUCAAAUGGAACCCCUCAUAACCAAAAACUAACAGAAACAAUAAGAACACAAUGUUAAAAUCUUAAAUCAAUCGCAAAAAAGCACCCAAAACAGAUCGAUUAGGAAUAGUUAACAACAAAAGAUUUAAUGGUUCAAAAUCAUAAUGUGACCUACUUCCAUCCAAGAAUCAUACUAAUUGCUUUACUUGUUGUCAAAUACGAGAUCAUAAGAUUGUUUAUCACUCUACAGAGAAAAAAAAUUUAGAAGAAAUACUCCCCAAUUUUUCUCUUAAUAGUUAUGAAUCAACACCCCUGAUUUACUUUUCCUUAUUUCCUAUGAUCGGUUGCUGCUACUUAAUCCUUACCAAGCUCCAACAUAGUCCAAACACUUUUCAUGGUACAUGCACAGUGCACCUUCAGAAACUUUACAGCUCUUCUUAAAACCUCAGGCCUAUAGAGUGCAAUUUCGCACCUAUAUGCUUAGUCCUCUCAGUUCUCGUGAUGUUUUUGAUUUAUUUCUCGGACGAGUAGCACUUUUAGCUGCCAUAAUACAAUGUAAUUGACUUCUGAGCAUGACUUAAUUUUGAGAUCAUUACUUUUAGUUAAAUGAUCUCCUCCAGAGCUUCUACCUAUGUAGUGUUUUUAGACCUCUAUAGUUGAUAAAGCAUGUUCAAGGUGAAGGCUUGUUUUCCAAUCUAUAGUCCAAUUAUAGACUGGAACUGGUCAGGCUUAAUGCACCUUCAAAAGCUUCACAACUUAUAUUGAAACCUUAAGCCUUGUAGAAUGCUACAAAUUUUAAAUCCAUAUACUUAGUGCUCUUAUGAUUUGUUUGAUUUUUACUUAGAUGAAGAGCAUUUUAGCUAUAGAAUACAGAAACUAAUUCAAAGCCUGCCUUAGCUAUGAGAUCAUUCAUUCUAGCCAAAUGCCCCUUUAGAGAUUCUGCUAUUGUUGCGUAUUAAGCCUCUAUAUCAAAGCAAUUACAUGUCGAAGGCUUGCUUUGCAGUUAACAGCGCAAUUACAAUUAUAUAGAUUAAAGGUGUAAAUCCAUAAAACUACCAGACUUCAAUCUUUAGACUCCAUAGAUCAAACCAUAACUUAGUGUGCCUUUCAAUCUCAGGUAACUGUUUUCCACGUCUUGCCAUGUACUUGCUGCUAACACUAACAAUUUGAGAAAUGUUAGGCAUCGUAAGCAGCCGACAACACUCUUCUUCAUUUCUUCAUUGUCAAUUUCUUUCUUGGAACAUUGCUCCAUUGAGAGUCUGCUAUCAUUGCUCCAAUUAUUAUUAUUUUUGUUUUUGUUUUUUAAAAAAAUAACCGUGCAAUAAGAGUAUAAGACUAAGCAACGGUCCUUUUUUUUUUACCCAUUCUUGAACAUGAAGUAUUUGAGUAUGUAAUAAAAAUUGUUUAUCGAUAAUUAAAAGUUAAUAGUGGGUGGCUUUAGGUUUUGUUUACAAAAUUGACAACAAAUUAGAUUUUUCAAAUUCAUAGGUAAGAAACUUUUCAUUUAUUCAUAGAUUUUCCGGUUUAAACUUUAAAGGAAACUUAAAAGAAAAAGAUGUAUCAUUAGGUUUGUAAUUAAAAAAAUUUAAUAUUGUAUGAUCUGUUCGAUAUGCAUAAUUUAAAUAAACAUUAAUAUAGAUGUUAUAUAUCCUAAAACUUAAUUGACUUAAUUCUUAUGGUGCAAGGAAGAGGUUUCCAAGUUUAAAUCUAAAGUCUUGUAUUUAAUUUGGGGUCGGGAAAGCACUGGGAAAUAAAUGUAACAAAGGAAAAAAAAAAAAGAAUGACAGUCUGAGUGGAGCCAACGCGGUUUUAAAAAAAGUGAAAAAAAGGGUUUAAAAAAAAAAACGCGGUUUGCUUGCUUGUGGAAAUAGAAGUCUCAUGUUUCUUUGAAAGGUAAGCAAGUGUGAAUGUUUCUAUCUAGAGCUGGAAAAUGCAUUUCCGUGCAACUUACUUGAUGAAUGAAGUUUUCAUCGCUGACCCUGAUGUUUCCCUGAGCUGCAUUCAUUGCAGCUGAUGUAUUUCAUUUUGUUUUCGAAGGAGUGACACAAAAUCUCCUUCGUUAAGGUGAGAAUUUAGAGUGGCUUUAACUGUUAACAAAUAGCCUAAUAUAAGACUUAAUCUACUUCCUGCCCUGUUGUAUGCUUAUGAAAUUUGAUAGAGUUAUGAGUUUGCAGAAGCUACUGUAUUAUAUGUUGCUUGAGGCUGUAAAAAUGAGGCAGAUCAAACACACAUUUAAAUUUCAAUGACAAUUUACUGGAAGUAAAUUUCCUAUGACCCUACAUGUGACUAAUUGAUGAGAAGUUGACAAAUGACAAAAGAAAGUGUAUGAGCUUUGCAGGUUGGCAUGCCGAUACUGACUGUGUGGCACCAUCCGCCAUUUGGAAGUGAAUAUCAUUAUUCUUUAAUCAACAUGGUGGAGUCCACUGGGACCACACCACAUGGUCAGUCUUAUCUCUAUUCCUCAAUUUUCAGUAUUCCAUACAUGAAAACAACUUCAGUUUUGUUAUCAAUUAUAAUUUCAUUGUUGGUGACGAUUCUGAUUCCUUUCUUUCUGACAAAACGGAACCAUGGUUGCUGUGGGAGAGAUCUUACUCAACGCCUUCUUUCAGGUGUUGUUUGACAGGUUGGCUUCCCGUGAUUUGCUCAGCUUUGUCCGUCAACUUGGAGGCGGGGUCGAUUCCGAGCUCAAGAAGUGGGAAAGAAAGCUGAAGAUGAUUCAGGCGGUGCUCAACGAUGCAGAGGAGAAGCAACUGACUGACGAGGCUGUGAAGACGUGGCUGGACGAUCUCCAAGACUUGGCUUAUGACGCUGAGGACAUUCUUGAUGAGUUUGCUACUCAAGCUUUGGAAAGCAAGUUGAUGGCGCAAAAUCAGGAUAGCUCUGGCCAGGUUCUCAGUUUCAUCCCGGCUAGUAUCCGAAUGCUGUUAGGUUCAAUUAUAGCAUGAGGUCCAAGAUUAACGAUAUUACUAGCCGGUUGGAGCAACUCUGCAAAGAAAGAAUCGAACUUGGACUGCAACGGAUUCCUGAAGGGGCAUCAUCAACUGCUGCUGCUGCACACCAGAGGCCACCCAGUUCAAGCGUCCCACCAGAACGUGAAGUUUUUGGUAGAGAAGAAGAUAAGGCCAAAAUUCUUGAUAUGGUAUUGGCCGAUAGCCCAAGUGAUCAUGCCAACUUUGCUGUAAUACCCAUUGUUGGCAUGGGCGGGAUAGGAAAAACAACUCUCGCUCGGGAGGUCUACAAUGACAAGGCCGUUGAACAUUCCAAGUUUGAUGUAAAAGCAUGGGUUUGUGUAUCUGAUGUCUUUGACAUUUUGGGCAUCUCAAAGGCACUUCUCGAGUCAAUCUGCUGCGCAGCUAGUGAUCUCAAGACUUUAAAUGAAGUGCAGGUUCAACUGAAAAAAGCAGUGGACGGAAAAAGAUUCUUGCUGGUCUUAGAUGAUGUUUGGAACGAGGACUACAGCUUGUGGGUAGACUUAAAAGCUCCAUUCUUGGCUGCUGCACCAAAUAGUAAGAUGAUUAUCACCACACGCAAUUCACAUGUUGCAUCUACAAUGGGACCCAUUGACCAUUAUAACCUCAAGCAUCUGUUAGACGAUGAUUGCUGGUCUAUUUUCAAAACGCAUGCAUUGGAGGGUAGAGAUCAUAAUGCACUUGAAAUCUCAGAAUCAUUUCGCAAGAAAGUUGUUGCCAAAUGUGGAGGCUUGCCCCUUGCUGCAAAAACACUCGGAGGCCUUUUGCGUACGACGAGGCAUGAUGCGUGGGAUGAUAUAUUAGAGAGCAAAAUAUGGGAUUUACCUCAACAAAGUGGGGUUCUCCCAGUAUUAAGAUUGAGUUACCAUCAUCUUCCUUCUCAUUUGAAAAGAUGUUUCGCUUACUGUGCAAUCUUUCCAAAAGAUUAUGAAUUCAAUGAGAAGGAGGUGACUUUUUUAUGGAUGGCUGGAGGAAUUAUUCGACAGUCAAGAAGCAAAGAGCGGCUAGAAGAUUGGGGCAGCAAGUGCUUCUAUGAUCUGGUGUCAAGGUCAAUUUUUCAGCAAACAGCAAUCUCUGGUAGUUCUAAAUUUGUAAUGCACGACCUUAUUCAUGAUCUUGCUGAAUUCGUCUCUGGAGAAACCAUAUUCAGGUUAGAGGAGUCCACCAACUUGUCGUCAAGCAGAUUUGAAAGAGUUCGCCAUUCUUCCUAUGCCGGCGGUUGGUAUGAUGGUAAAAAUAAGUUUGAGGUUUUCUAUGAAAUUGAACAUCUACGAACAUUCUUGCCAUUACGCUUACGCAUGCGAGGUACUUUUUUCAUAACUAGAACGGUUCUAUCUGAUUUGCUGCCAAAGUUCAAAAAAUUGAGGAUGCUAUCUUUAGAAGGAUACUGUAUUGGUGAGUUACCAAUUCCAUUUGAAGAUCUCAGACUUUUAAGGUUCCUCAACCUCGCUGACACUGACAUAAGAAGUUUACCUGAGUCAACAUGCAAAUUGCUGAACUUGGAAAUUCUGAUAUUAAGAAAGUGUUCCCGCUUGAUAAAGCUUCCCCAGAAAAUGAGGAAUUUGAUCAAUUUACGUCAUCUGGAUAUAAGAGGUGCACAGCAGCUGAAGGAGAUGCCAUUUGGAAUGAAAGAGUUGAAGAAGCUUCAAACAUUGUCCAAUUUUAUUGUGGGCAAGGGUGAAACUGCAUCCGGUGUGGAAGAUUUAAAAUGUUUAAGCUUUCUUUGUGAUGAACUUUGCAUUGCUGGAUUAGAGAAUGUGAAUAAUCCACAGAAUGCAAGAGAAGCCGCAUUAUGCGAGAAGCACAAUCUUGAAGCAUUGACUCUAGAAUGGGGGUCUCAAUUUGACAAUUCUCGAGAUGUAGCAAUAGAAGAGCACGUGCUUGACAUUCUACAGCCUCAUAAAUGUAUAAAAAAGGUGGCAAUCAGGAGCUAUGGUGGUGCAAGAUUUCCACUUUGGAUAGGAGAUCCGUUGUUCUCCAAGAUAGAAUUCCUUGAAUUGGAGAACUGUGACAAUUGUGUAUCUUUGCCAUCGCUUGGCCGUUUGAGUUCACUUAAACACCUUGCUGUUAAAGGGCUGAAGAAACUAAAAAGCAUAGAGCCUGAGGUUUAUGGGGAGGGUUUCUCAACGCCUUUUCCAUCAUUGGAGAUUCUAAGUUUCGAGAAUUUGACAGAAUGGGAGCAUUGGGACACGGAUAUCAAAGGAAAUGCACUUGUUGAAAUAUUUCCUCGUCUCCAUAAACUUUCCAUUGUGAAAUGUCCCAAACUCUCUGGAGAACUGCCUGAGCUCCUGCCCUCCUUGGAGACACUUGUUGUUAGUAAAUGUGAAAAGUUGGUAGUUCCAAUGUCUUGCUAUCCGAUGCUCUGCAGAUUAAAAGUUGAUGAGUGCAAAGAACUGGUCUGCCGGACUCCAAUUGAUUUUAAGUUGAUAAAGUCUGUGACUAUUUCAAAUUGUUCACUAGACAUGUAUGGAUGCAAGGGGAUGCUAUACAAUGGUCCAGCUGGCUCUUCACUGCCGAAAUCCAUGACUAUUACAAAUGUUUUGGCGUUUGGAAAAUUAUUGAAGCCUGGAUUUCAGAUAUUAGAAACUUUGGUAAUUGACAAUUCUGAACAGCUCAAGUCAUGGAGGCAGCGUGGGGAUUUUCGACAAGAAUAUUUGGGCGUUCGCGUAAGGCGUCACAAACCAUCACAAGGGCUAGAUAUGCUCGCCUCCCCAGAAGAGGUAACAAUUGAAGAAAGUUGUGUGAGUUUUGUUUUAUUUCCAGAGAUCAAUUUCUUUCCCAGAAAUCUGCGCUCUCUUCUAAUUUGCAACAGCACAGCUUUAAAAUCCUUACCCGAUGAAAUGAUGGACAAUUCACAACUCGAAAGGUUGUAUAUCAGAGAUUGCGAUUCUCUAACAUUCAUCACAAGACGCAAGCUACCUUCAUCUCUAAAAAGUAUAGAGAUUGAGAAUUGUGAGAAACUGCAACAUUUGUUCGAUGAUAAAGAGGAUGCUUCUUCUUCUUCUCCUCCUUCAUCCUCGUCCUCCCCAGUGAUGCUGAAACACCUGAGUAUAAAUAAUUGCCCAGUGCUCACCAGUUUAUCAACAGGAAUCCAAUUACUUGAGGCGCUUGAAAGCCUCGAGAUACGGGAUUGUCCAAAGCUGGAGUCAUUACCAGAUGGCCUUCACAAUCUUAACUGUUUACAGGAGAUUACUCUAAACAGUUGUCCAAGUCUUGUUUCCUUCCCAGAAAGAGGACUUCCCAACACGAUUUCAAAUCUUGUAUCGUUUCCAGAAGAAGGUUUUCCUACCAAUCUAACAUCACUUACAAUUGGAUAUUUCAAAAUGUAUAAGACACUCGUCCAGUGGGGGUUGCACAGGCUUACCUCUCUUAAACGCCUCUGCAUCAUUGGAUGUGAUGAUGAAGCAGAGUGUUUUCCAGACGAGGAGAUAGGAAUGACGCUGCCCACCUCUCUCACUCAUCUGACACUUUCGGAAUUCAAAAAAUUGAUAUCUCUGUCUUCGACGGGUAUUCAGAGCCUCAACUCUCUUCAAUCUUUGUCGAUCGGGAAUUGCCCGAAUCUCACAUCAUUUCCAGAGGUGGGCCUUCCAUCCUCACUUUUGGAAUUACACAUUUACAGUUGUCCAAAGCUUAAAAAAGCGUGCAAAAGAGAUCAAGGAAAAGACUGGCCCAAAAUUGCUCACAUCCCUUUCGUUGAGAUAGACGGUAAAUUCAUAUACGAUCCCGAAUCAGAGGAGUAGAUUCUAUUACACAGGUCAGUUGAUUUAUAUUAUCCGCUAUAACAAGCUCCUCCUUUUUUAUUUUUUUUAAAUAAUAAUUUUGCAGUCAGUCACGUGAUUCCGUUUUCACAAGUCAGAUUGUAUGUUGAGGCUAUUUGCCUUUUAAUCGCAGAUUAAAUUAUAACACUUAUCUUAAAAUUUAAUACCAUAGACAGAUAGACGAUUUUUUAAUCCAAAGUUUUUUUUAUUCACUUCAGUUAGCAUUUUUUUUUCCCCCAAAUCAUGCAAGCCGAGAGUUUCAAUCAAGAAUUGGAGGAUGUGAAUGGGAUUUUUGUGAAAGAGUAACAUAAUGGAUGACCGAACAUUUCAUCUGUGAUCUCAAAGUCAACAGAAUUUUAUUCACUCAUUGACUUUUCAACUGCCGUGGUUUUUAUGGGUGAAAGAUAAGGGCAAUUACAAAAAAUUUGCAAAAUUUGUCAAUUUCUUAGAUGGUAGAUAUAUCGACAUUUUAGAUUUCAGAUAUUUGUCACCAAUUUGCAAAAUUGAAAUUUCUGUCUUCAAUGGGUUUUCAAAGCCUCGCCUCUCUUCGAUUUUUGUGGAUUGGGAAUUGCACAAAUCUCACAUCAUUUCCCGAGGUCGAGGAAAAGAGCGGCCCAAACUUGCUCGCAUCCCUUGGGUUAUGAUAGAUGGAAAAUUCAUGUACGAUCCAGUCAGAGGUGUUGAUUCUCUUAUUAAGGUCAGCUGAUUUCUAUUAUCCACUCUGACAAUCUCCUAUUAGUGUUUUUCCUUUUUUUUUUUUCAAAAUUUUGCAGUUCUGUAUAAUUGAAAAUGCCACUCACUUGUUUCCUUUUUCACAGGUCAGAUAGUAUGUUGAGGCUAUUUGAUUUCUAUCGGUGUUUGUUAAGGUAAUUAGUGCUCCCUCAUAGGUAUGACUAGAUUUUUUUCACUUCCGUAAAUAUUGCAUUUUAGACUGGCAAAUUUAGCAGUAAUUUUAAUACAAUUUUGUUGGUGCCUUGUGUGCCAGAAGCUAGAAAAAUGUGUAGUUUUCAGAUAAGGAGUCUUGUUAGUUCUCUAGUAAGAAUCCAAUAAUUUGCUUUUGCACGUCCAUCUAAUUUGUGGAUCCUUGCAUCAGAAUUUGAUCAAUCCAAAGGAAUUGCUUUUAGACAGAAGAAGAAUAGCAGCACCUAGCCUAUGUCAUAGUGUAUGGACCCGCAAACCUGAAACUAUUAGAUUGAGGUAAAAAAAUCAUUGACCCUCACAUGUUAACUUCUUCUAGUUACUUUUGUUGGGAAAAAAAAACAUUUAAGGAAUUUGCAAUUUGUUGUUAGUUAUGGUAUCUGAUGUUCUUUUCUGUUUUAGCGUUUGUAGAAUCUACGGUAUUAUGUGUUGGCAGUUGCCGUAUCUGAGGUAACUUGCCUUUAUUUGUUUGCUUCUGACUUAAGGACACCAACAUUUGCCAGAGAUUUAGAGAAGCAUCUCAAAACACUUAGCAAACUUGACAAACUUCAAGAUGCACUUGCCCCCACGCCUUAUUCUCCACAACGCAAAACUUGUGAGUACACUUAUGCCUGCAAUUAUUGUGAAGUGUUUGCAAUUUCGAUGCAGAGAAAUGGUUUCUUGAUGCAAAGUAUUAAACUGUUAAGAUUUAUCCUGCAGGCUUGUUAGAUGUUGUAUACUCGAAAAGCCAACAACAUCAAGAACUACAACUCCAAGACCAACUUUGCAUUAAUUCAGUCAGCUGUAAAAAUGAUGCAAAUGACACUAUAUCAAGCUGGACUUAGAGACUAGUCAGAUCAAUCAUCCAUUUCAUCAACGGUUAAUGUCAUGAUGGUGGCUAUCAGAGGAAACAAAAGAUGUGUCAGAAUCUAUACGAACAUUGAGAAGCAUGAGAGGAGCUUUGAUUUUGAGUAGGGUCAAUGAACUCAUGUUGGUAAGUGGUGAUUAAAGAAAUUUGUAAGCUUAGUAGAGUUUCAGUAUUUUCUGUUUGGAGUAUAGUUGAUAAGUUGACUCUGUUUAAGAAGCCCGAUUAUAGUAGCUGACUGUAUUAACCUUUUUUUUUUUGGUCUGCUGUUGUUUUUGGUUUCGAUUAUUUUUUCAACAUUGGGUUGAUCUGUUGAAGAACAAGCUUGGGUUUGAUUAUGUUUUAACUAUAAGGAAGAGCCAGACUUGGUUGCAGGCGUUAAGCUUUUAAUGGGUAAGAACAAAUGAAUGCUUUAACCAUGUUUCUCACUUAUUAAAAUGCAUGGAUUGAAGGCAUCUGGGUUGAUCCUGACAAUGUGAUGGAAAUACUUCUCUGUUUUCAUGUAACAGGACAAAUAGAGAUCUCUGAUCAUGCCUGAAUUUUUGUUGCAUUGAAAUUUCUACCAUUACCAAACAUAGAAUGAACUGGGGAUACAUUAGCUUAAGACUCAAUUUUGAGAAGGAAGUUUGUACUUGCAGCCUAUAAAAUCAUGUCCGUGUCGUACGUUUCUUUGGGAAAUGAAAGAUUCUGUGUGUUCUUUUAUUUCAAGUUCACUGAAAUCACAUUUGUUUUCUCCGAUGCUUUCCAGAAGGUAACAACAUCAAUUUCAAAAAUGCUGGGGCAAGAUGCAUCAUGCAGUGCGACUCAACUUGAGAAUUCCUGGCCACAUUACCCGUAUGUCGAAUGAUCGCACAGUUCAACCUUGAGAAGCUUGUAAUGAGUACACAACUGGGUGCAAGUAGUUUUGAAAUGAAUUUGCCUCAAAUGAUUUCUUGCUCGCAUCCCUUGGGUUAUGAUAGAUGGAAAAUUCAUAUACGAUCCAGAGUCAGAGGUGUUGAUUCUCUUAUUAAGGUCAGCUGAUUUCUAUUAUCCACUCUGACAAACUCCAAGACCGGGUUUUUUUUUUUUUUUAAUUUUGCCGUUCUGUAUAAUUGAAAUGCCACUCACUUGUUUCCUUCUUCACAGGUCCGAUAGUAUGUUGAGGCUAUUUGCUUUUUAUCGGUGUUUGUCAAGGUAAUUAGUGCUGCCUCAUAGGUUGAUUACUCACAGAUGAAAUCAUAACUUUUAUCUUAAAAUUUAAUAGCAUACACAGAUAGAUGAUUUUUAGUCCAAAGUUUUUUUAUUCACUUCAAUCAAAAUUUUAGAUUGCAGAUUUUUGUCAAGUAUUUCAUUACAAUUUUUUCAUUUUUUAUUUUAAACCAGAAUAUGAGUAUAACAUUUUGGAGCGUGCAUACUCUGAUGCAUGCAAUUAACUGUUUUUAAUCAUUGGAUUUUGAAAUUAAUAAUGGUAAGAUGUGUACUUAUUCUGUCUUCCAACAACCUUGGCCUCUUUCUUCGGUCGCAUAUCUAAUGAAUAUUUCUCUGUUUAGUUAAGGAUGAAUGCUUGGAGUGGGGUACUUGGUAACAUUUCUGCCUCAGAUGAAUCCUUGAAGAAAUGCCCGCAGUUCCUGAGACCAAAUACAGGUCUGAUUCAAAACAGCACCUUUCUCAGAAAAUAUGAUCCAAGGCAAAGUCAUGUUCUGAUAAUGUUUCCUUAAGUACAAAGUUGCAAGGAAACUUGAUUCAUUAACUACAGUUUUUUAUUUUUAGGACCUUGUAUCUGAAAGGUUCAGUGUUUUUUUUUUUUUCAAAUUUAUUGUUCAGAUCUCAGAGGAGUAUAUGGUUUAGAUUACAAAACACCCAUGAUUAAUUUCAUUUUUUUUUUAAUUUCAGGGAGAAGAAGUGGUCAGUUUCAAUCCGGAAUUGGAAUAUGGCAAUUUGGUUCAAGCACACACACCUGGUCACUUGGUCAGUGAACCUGAACUUUACGCAGUUUUUUCAACUCAGUGAUUUUUGGAACGCAUAGUGGUGUAAGGAAAUCAAAAGAAAUUUAUGCAUAGUCAAAUUCUGAUAUUUGCUAUAUAUUAUACAUUCUAAAGUUUCUCCAGUUUGUUCUCAGAUUACCAUCAUUUUUUGCCUUCACCAAAAAAAAAAAAUUGAGUGGCUUUCCAGUGGAUAUUUAAUCGGAGGUAUGACUGGAUUUUUUUCACUUCUGUAAAUCUUGCAUUUUAAACUGGCAAAUUUAACUUUAAUUUUAAUACGACUUUGUUGGUGCCUUGUGCCCCAGAAACUAGAAAGAUGUGUAGUUUUCAGAUAAAGGGGCUUGUAAAUUCUCUAGUAAGAAUCCAAUAAUUUGCUUUUGCACGUUCAUUUUAUUUGUGGAUCCUUGCAUCUGAAUUUAAUCAAUCCAAAAGGAAUUGCUUUUAGACAGAAGAAGAAUAGCAGUACCUAGCCUAUGACAUAGUAUAUGGACCUGCAAACCUGAAACUAUUAGUUUGAGGUAAAAAAUUCAUGACCCUCACAUGUUAACUUUCAUGAAAAACACAUUUAAGAAAUUUGCAAUUUUUUGUUAGUUUCGUAUCCGAUGUUGUUUUCUGUUUUAGCAUUUGUAGAAUCUACUGUAUUAUAUUUUGGCAGUUGCAGUAUCUGAGGUAUGUUUUGCAUUUAACUUGCUUUAUUUGUUUUGCUUGUGACUUAAGAACACCAAUAUUUGCCAGAGAUUUAGAGAAGCAUAUCAAGCUGCUUGGCAAACUUGACAAACUUCAAGAUCCUCCAUUCUUCACAACGCAAAACUUGUAAGUACACCUAUGCCCGCAGUUAUUGUGAAAUGCUUGCAAUUUUGAUGCGCUGAAAUGGUUUGUUGAUGCAAAGGUUUAAACUUUUAAGAUUUACCCUGCAGGGUAGUUGGAUGCUGUAUACUCGAAAAGCGACCAACAUCAAGAACUAUGACUCCAAGACCGGGUUUGCUUUAAUUCAAUCAGCUGAAAUCAUGAUGCAAACGACACUAUCAGCUGGACUUAGAGACCGGUCAGAUCAAUCAUCCAUUUUAUCAACAGUUAAUGUCAUGAUGGUGGCUAUUAGAGGAAACAAAGGAUGUGUCGGAAUCAAUGUGAACAGUGAGAAGAAUGAGAGGAGCUUUGAUUAUACGUAGGCUCAAUGAACUCAUGCUGGUAAGUGGUAAUUAAAGAAAUUUGUGCGCUUAGUAGCAUUUCAAUAUUUUCUGUUUGGGAUAUAGUUGAUGAGUUGAUACUCUGAUUAAGAAGCCUGAUUAUAGUAGCUGACUUUUUUUUUGUGGUUUGCUGUUGAUUUUUCUUUUGAUUUUUUCAACAUUAGGUUGAUCUGUUGAAGAACAAGCUUGGGUUGAUUAUGCUUUAACUACAAGGAAGAGCCAGACUUGGAUGCAGGCGUUCAGCUUUUAAUGGGUAAGAACAAAUGUAUGCUUUAAACAUGUUUCUCACUUAUUACAAUGCACGCAUUGAAGGCAUCUGAGCUGAUCCUGAAAAAGUGAUGGAAAUACUUCUCUGUUUACAUAAAACAGGACAAGAGAUCUCUGAUCAUGCCUGAGAAUUAGUUGCAUUGAAAUUUCUACCAUUGCCAAAAAUAGAAUAAACUAGGAAUACAUUAGCUUAAGACUCAAGUUUGAGAAGGCAGUUUGUACAUGCAGCCUAAAAAAUCAUGUCUGUGUUGUAUACUUGUAUGUUUCUUUGGGAAAUGAAAGAUUCUGUGUGUUCUAUUAUUUCAAGUUUGCUGAAAUCACAUUUGUUUUCUUAGAUGCUUUUGAGAAGGUAACAACAUCAAUUUCAAAAAUGCUGGGGUAACAUGCAUCACGCAGUGCUACUCAACAUGAGAAUUCCGGCCGCAUUACCUGUAUGUUGAGUGAUCGCACAGUACAGCCUUUAGAAGCUUGUAAGGAGUAGACAACUAGAUGUGAGUAGUUUCAAUAUGGAUUCGCAUCAAAUGAUCUCUUGCCAGUGAUUACUAUAACCUCUAUCCCAAAAUUCUUGGAACUGGUCAUACCAAUAAUGAAGUGUUGUGUAUGUUGAAGACAUUGCGAAAGCUCCGUCAGCCUUUGUAUUGGAAAACAGUUGGUUGUAGUUGCUUCUGAAUGAUAUUAUUAAUAGAUACUGUAAAAAUGAACUGUGCCACUCAUUUUCAGAGCCCUGUUAAGAUGUGUUGGUAAUGUGUUUGAAGGUUGUUUGAUUUAUGUUGUAUUCAGCUAUAAAUCAAAGAUUCAGAACAUGGUUAUGUUACUGGUUUCCAAAUCAAAAAAUUGCCUUGUGAUGUUAGUGUUCAUUGUUUUCACAGGAGAUCAGGUUCCCUGUUGAUGAAUCAUUAAGGCAAACGCAUCCAUGUCUUAAGUUCAAAUGUGUCUCUUCUAUUUUCUAUUACUGACUCCUUUAUUUUGAUUUCUUCAUUGUAAUGGAAUUGGUUUUUAUUCCAAAUUAGUCUUAAGUUCUGUUAGCAUUUGAAGAUAGAACUAGAACUAAAUGAUUGACUGGAUUAAAUUCCGAUAAAGAAUUAAGUUAUAUAUUUAGAGAUAUUAUGUUUUUUUUUUUUUCAUUUGUUCAAUUUGGUUAGUGGUGAUUUCUUAAAGACUCAAUCCAUGUGCGUUUAUGCAUUUUUCUUUUGCCUUAAUUUCUGUUUCUUGGGGAGUUUAUACAGAUUCUUAUUUUAUGCUUCACAUGCCACAUGAAAGAUCGAAUUCUUAUAAUAAGAGUCUGAGAUCUCCCUGAAGGAUUCAAAGCAUUUUAUUUUAUAUUAAACUCCUUUACGUGGGUUUGGACACUACCACAAGUUCUUUAAAUACUAAAACGAUUUUAAGUCUUUUGUAUCAUCUGAUUGAAAUACAUGAAAGCACUCGUGGCUGCAAAAAUACAGUUGGGGCUAUUUCUAAAGUCUUCAACAGCAUUUUCUUUUUAACCUUUAUCCUCAUGGUUGUUUUUGCAGUUGUUCUUUAAGAAAACAUUUAAAAGGUUCUCUUUAUGGAUUUUUGAAAAUAAUUUUAACAUAAGCAAUUUUCAGAAGCACUUUAGAUGUCUGGCAUUUAGAAAAUUUUAUUCCGGUGUCACAUAAAAUACUUAGGAAGUUAAAUUUAUUUAUUUAUGAGCAUGUGCCAGUGCCCUGUGGCAUCCUCUUCACUUGUGAUAGUCAAAUGUAUUAUACGAUACAAUAUUAGCUUGACUGUAGCACAGAGGAGAAUAGGGUUGGUGUUGGUCUGAACCAGCUUAUGUAACAGCUGCCAAAGGAUAAUUUAAUUGUACUUUGAGUAAAGCUUUUGCAAAUUAAACAAGUGAUAAUUUGUUUCUAUUAAGAAAAACUUAAAGGAUAGGGCUAUUUUAACUCACCAAACUACACAUUAAAAAUCUACUUACAAAAAUAGUUUUUAAUUAUUAAAAUAUUCCUAAAUUAAAUUAUAAUUAUGGACACUAAAAUAUAAUUUUUUUUAUAUUUUACCCUUUGAAACUAUCUUUACAUUCGAUAUUACAUUUUUUUCUUAAACUCCAAAUUGAUUUUUUUUAUUAAUUUUAAAACACAUAUAAAGUGAUUCAUAUUGAUUUUAUACUAACAAACUAUUAUAGCACAUUCGAAAAAUAAUUAAAUCGUUCUUAUUUACAUAGUGAAAAUGCAAAUAGCUCAUUCAAAUGUUAAGGAAUUGGAGAGCUGCUGCUGGAGAUGAAAGAUGUGAAUUAAACAUCAGAGAAAAAAUUAUGUUCACUGUCUUGCCAGACCAAGCACCGAAAAGCGUCGUAAAGAAAAAUUAGAUAAUUUAGAAGAUAAAGCACGUGGAAUGGAGGCAGAAAGCAAGUAAUGAUAACUCUUUCGACAAACUAAUAUAUACCAAAAUGUAAUAUCGGCCCUAAUAAAAAAUGUGUUACGUAAGUAAAAGCACCAGGUCGGUCGUGCUACUAUUUCUGUCCCGGUAUGGCUCACCUCAACUGAAUGGUACAAGCAGAGCAUGGAGACGAAUAUGGCCCGACCAGAGAUGAGUACCGACCAGAGGUGUAUGUCGAGCCGAUACCCGUCUCCUGAAAAAGCGGGAACACGAUCCCACAGAAUCGCGGAAUUUGCGUUUUUCCCAGAACCGUUGCGAGAGAUGCGAUACCCCACGUUUACCCGUAAUGUAGUAGUUAAAGUUCCGUGAAAGGCCACCACCCGAAAAAGGAGGGAUGAAGACUGAGCGGGAACGUGGGAUAACGGCUAUAAAAGAAGGAGAAAUCGAUGAAGAAGGGGACAGAAAAAUCAAAAGAGGGAAAACGCUGCCAAAUUAUUGUCAGGCUAUCUUCUUGAAAAUUCCAGAUAAAUCAAAAACUACUCUUAAAUCUAAAUUGCUCUGUUUUCCCGUAAAUACCUUGAGCUAACUUAGGCAUCGGAGGGUUUACGCCGGCAAAACCACCCGCGUCUUUGAUCCGUUUUUUUGUGAGCGCAGGUCUAGAAAGAGAAAGGAGGACGAGUCCAAGUCCCGCGGUUCGAACUUGAUAACAUAAUCGUUGGUGGAAAAUUCUGGUCGGUAACAAGGCGAGCAGAUUUAAGCAUCAACAUUUUGGCGCCGUCUGUGGGGAGCUGGAUAAAAAGCUACCACCAACUUAGUAGUUGCCAGAGAAGCGGUAAACAAUCAGACAUGGAUGUGCCCAGGAAAGACGCUCUGAGGGAGGAUAACGAGUCUGGAGAGACAAUCACUCUUAGGGAAAUUGCAAAUGAAGCCCGGGAGAGGGUAAUGCAAGAUCGAUUGGAGCGGAUGGAGAAACAAAUGGAGACUCUCGCGACCAUACUAUUUGAGCUGAGAGACGAGCGGAGAAGGGAUUGCGAAACCCCUGUGGGGAGAGAUGAUGUCGGAGCAGAACCCAGCCUCCGGACGCGUAGAGUCGAGGAGAUCCCUCCGCCGGCGGACCAACCUAAUGGGGUGCAUCCCCACAGAAGUACUGGUCGGAUUCCAGGAGAACAAAUAGAUGAAGGGAGGAACCAACCUCGCCCUGGGCGGGUACUGGAAGCUGAUGGCCGAGGGGCCAGUGUUAAUGAAGGGGAGCUCAGGCAGCGGUUGCAGAAUGCCGAACAGGAGCGAGAUCAAAUAGCUGCACGUGAUCCUGACCGUGCUGUAGAAUUGGAGGGAGAGGUGCGCAGAUUAGCGCAAGUGAUAGAGGAGAUACAGGGUAGGAGAAAGCCCCCGAGCUGGAGGAUAAUGCUAGAUGAAGAAUCUCCACUAUCAGUUGAGAUCAUGGGCACUGUAAUCCCAAGAGAUUUCCGCUUCCCCGACCUCAAAUACUCCGGGCGAAGUGAUCCACUGGUGCAUAUUGAACGUUUUAAUGACGUGACGGGUGUUCAGGGGUUAACACCAGCUCAGAGGUGUAGGGUAUUCCCAUUGACACUAGAGAGACGAGCCCGAGAAUGGUACCACAAACUGUUACGAGGAAGUAUCAGAGGGUACGAGCAGAUGUGCCAAGAAUUGGCCGAACAAUUCCGGGGGGCGGUGGCCCCAGAGGAUGAUAUGAUGGAACUAAUGGGGAUAAAGCAGGAGGAACAAGAACCCCUUCGAGAUUUUGUAAAACGAUACCACCGAGCCGUGCUUGAUUUGGGAGCUUUCAAUCACCCGCAGGCGUUGAGGGGAUUGAAGGAGGGUGUGAGAAUAGGCCGACUGUGGUAUAACCUGAGAAGCCCCCUGGUGCAGAAUUAUUCCGCGGGGUAUGAGCAAGCAAAGAGAGACAUUGAAAUCGAAGAAGAAAAAUCAGCCAGGAUAAAGAGUGAACAAUUGGAGGAGCUGAGACGAAGAGAGAUGAGAGCCCCAAAAGGAGCGGGUCAGGAAAGCAAGCUGGGGAAUCUUCAAUGAUGGGUGCAGUAUCCGCUCGAUCUCGCCUUUAUCCUAUGGCUCAGAGACCGCAGCAGGUCCAACACAAUCGGGCUCAGCCCUCACGCCCCCCAUUCCUGGAACGACAACGAGAAUUUCGGCAGUUGGCUAACCAUCCCUAUCACAACGCUCCCAGAGCACCGCAUACAGCCAACCCCAGAGCGGGACGAUCAGGUCAGCUACCUUCAAUAUCCGCUCGGGAUGAUACUCAUGAUAGCCGAGCAGUCCAGCUGAUUGACCAGAACCCAGCGUACGGACAAUAUACCCCGCUAAAAGUCCCUAUGGAGGAGUUGUAUGAGAGAAUCGAGGGACGAGGCCUGUUGUACCCUCCAGCCCCUAUAACGAAACCUGCUCACCGAAGGGAUAAGAGCAGAUUCUGCAAAUUCCAUGACACUCACGGUCACACCAUCAGCCAAUGUCGUGACUUUAAGAUUCAGGUGGAGGAUUUGGUGAGAAAUCGUUAUUUGGAUGAGUAUGUAGAUGGGGUUUCUCCCGUCAUUGAAUCACAGUACACGCGGGGUGAAGGAGAUGAGAGGAGCCUGGAACGUGAACAGCCAACUAUCCGUGUGAUAGCAGGAGGGCCAACCCUGGCUGGGGAUUCGAAUAGGGCACGGAAGAACUAUGGGAAAUACGCCAUGACCAGCAAAGAAGUUCUUUUCAAUUUGCCAGCAGCCAAGAAGGCAAAAUUGCGGCAAGUUCCCAUUAUGUGGACAGAUGACGAUAAAGAGGGUAUCCUAUAUCCUCAUAAGGAUGCACUGGUGAUUAAGGCAAUGGUGGCUGGUACAGAACUACGACGGAUACUGGUAGACACGGGCAGCUCGGUUGACAUCUUGUUUAAAUCGGCCCUAGAUGAUAUGGGGAUUGCAGACUUAAAAUUGGAACGGACGAACACAUCUUUAAAGGGAUUUGGAGGGGGACGGCUAACUCCCAUAGGAAUCGUCGAACUCCCAAUUACUAUGGGGACAAAGCUGUUUGAAAGAACAAUGAUGUUGGAUUUUGUCGUGGUAGAGGAGAGAAGCCCUUACCAGAUGAUACUGGGGAGACCGUUCAUGAAGAUAAGUCAAUGCGUUGUGUCUACGCAUUAUCUGGCACUAAAAUACAGAAUAAACGGAGCGGUUGGUGUAGUAAAAGGUGACCAGAGGGUGGCAAGGAGUUGUUAUGCUACAGCGGCCAAGGAGACGCUGCAGGUUACUUCCUUAGAUAAUCGAGGAGAACCUAAAAAGGGCCGCCAAGAACCUGUUGAGAAACUGGAGGCAGUUUCGGUAAGCAAAGGCGACCUGAGCAGAGUGGUGAAGAUCGGAUCGGGGUUGGUUGGUGCAGUCAAAGGCGAACUGGUAAAUUGCCUACAGUCUCAUGCAGAUAUAUUUGCCUGGUCUCACGAGGAUAUGCCAGGAAUUGAUCGUGGGGUAGCUUGCCACAAGUUGGCAAUUAAGAAGGGGGCGAGGCCGGUGAGACAGAAGAGGAGAUGCUUUAACCAGGAAAGAUACCCAGACGGACGAGAUGUGAAGAGGUCAUGGAACGCCGAGCACUUAAAGAAGUAUUUUCAGUAAGCAAAGUGCUCUGCUAAAUCCUCAUUUUGAUAAGUUUUCUUUGUUAACUGCAUGAUGGUUUAUUACGCAUGUACAUAGUCUGUAUUUUGUAAUACAUUCAAAUCGCAAUAAAGAUGAAUUCAGCAUGAAACCCUUCUGUUAAGCAAGGCCAUUAUAAUUUAUACCAAGGCAAGUAAGUGCCUGCUUCUGCUCGGUCAACGAAAGACCAGCAGCUAAAUUAGCGAAAUUUCUACCAAGGCAAGUAAGUGUCUGCUUCUGCUCGGUCAACGAAAGACCAGCAGCUAAAUUAGCGAAAUUUCUACCAAGGCAAGUAAGUGCCUGCUUCUGCUCGGUCAACGACAGGCCAGCAGCUAAAUCUACGAAAAUUAUACUAAGGCAAGUAUGUGCCUGCUUUAGUUCGGUCCACGAAAGACCAGCAGCUAAUACUACGAGAAUUCUGCUAGGGCAAAUAAGUGCCUAGUUCUGCUCGGUCAACGAAGACUAGCAACCAAUUUUAUUAAAAUUUUACUAAGACAAGUAAAUGCAUACUCCUGCUCGGUCCACAAAGAAACCAGCAAGCAAAAUCAGAUAAGUUGUCCAAUUAUUUUGCAGAAACCAUCUAUGAGCAAAUACCAGACAAGAAAGUCAAUAGAGAACAUCUAAAAGUUUAUAAAUGUUUGAUUGUCUACAAAAUAGAUGUAAAUCUAAAGUUUACACAGAAAUAGACUUAAAGAUUAGCAGGGUCAACGGCUCCAGCAGCUGAAGAAUCAGCAACCUCAGGAGGCGGGAGAUCGGCAAUACCGGGAGGAGGGGGCAUGGACCCUUGACCCACCUCGAAAGUACGUCCCCCGGCUUCCCCCUCCUGCACCCCCUCCAAAGGAGCCUCCGCCUGAUCCUGAUGACCUUGCUCCUUAUCUGCCUGGCCGGUUUCCGCCAUAUACCGCUGCACUCCAGCCUCCAGCUUACUCAUGUCCAGCUCGGGAUAUUCUUCUUUAAGCACGGACAUGAUACACUUAUAGGAGAAAGCAACCCCAGAGUCAUACUCGGCAUCCAGCUGGUCGUCCACAUCAGCGGAUUUGCCUUUCUCCUCAGCCAGCUGUUCAUUUAGGGAUUUGAUUUCUCCCUCAAGGGCAGUCCUCAGAGUAUCUCUUUCACUUUGAGUUACCUGAAGGUCAGACUUCAGGCUGCCCAACUCACCCUCGAGUUUGGAGGCAGUGGACUCAGCAAUUGCAGUUUUCUCCUCCAGCUCCAUAAUCUGUUUGUUCAGCUCGGCCAGUUUCUCCUUGGAGCGAUCAGCAGAUUCAGCCUUCUUUUUCAACUCCUGAUUAUCAGCUUGAAGCUUCCUCUCAUGGCGUAUGGACACGUUCUUGUAACACGAAACCAUGGUGGCCAGCCUGAAGGAAACCCUUUGAACAGAGGCAGCUAACUCGGAGAGCUCCAUACUCUCGAUGUCCUUCACCAUCUUGGGCCCAACCGACCUCUUGUAAUCCUUUUGGUACGGGCUCAAAUAGUCACCCUGAUCCCGAGAUGGAAGAGGAGAAGAUCGGUCCCCAGAUUGUAAGCUGACCUCAGGGCUCUUGUCGGAAGUUUUCUCCCCACUACUCUUACGAGGUGGAGGAGGGGGCAGAGCAGGAACUGGAGCCUGAGAAGGACUGGCACUGGCCUUUUUCGGAGGAGGAGGAGGGUGGCUGGAGCUGCUCGAUGCCCGACCACGCUUUCUGCUCAUCGCGCUGAGGAUCUUGUUAUCCAUCCCAGCGGCAAUAUCUACUAAGCCCGAACCGACCAGGUUUGUUGGUGACAGGAGGUCUUGACAAGUAGACGCGCUCACCAGAGCCGUUUCCACCUGGAGUAAAGGUCGGUCCUCGAGAGUCUUAACCAAACCCCACGAUUCUGAAAAAACAGACAAGGUUAAAGAACCCAAUAAGUGGCAAUUCGAGAAAGAAUAUAGGCAAAAAAUGAACGACCUGGGGUGACAAAUUGCGUUGGAAGGUAAAUGUCACCACCCAACGACCGAACUGCUGGACACCAAUUUCCCCCAGCAAAGAAGAAUUUGUUCUUCCAAUUUUUGCACGAGGAGGGGAAACCGGUGAUUGGCUUUCUCUUCGCAGAACUGGACAUGAAGUAGUACCAGCCCGCCUCCCUUGGGCUGCUCCGCAGCUGAUACAGAUGCUUCACUUCAACAAGGGAAGGCUCCUCCGACCCACACCUCUCCCACAACACAAACAUAGCCGAGAGAACCCUCCACCUGUUUGGGUGUAGUUGACCUGGGGCCAGGUGCAUACCCCCUAAAAUCUUGGCAAAAUAGCGCUGAAGAGGCAGCCGAGCUCCUAAUUUAAAGCUCUCCAGGUGCAUGGUCACGUACUCCCGCGGAGGCCGACUAGGAACAUCACCUUUCUCAGGAACCACAAGGAGAACCUCCUUAGGAAUAUCAUAGAGGUUCCUAAGCUUGAACAGAUCAUUUUGGGUGGUGGCACAGGCUAUGUGAUCAAUGGGGUAAGAAUCUGCCUCCAUCCUAUGCCCAAGGUUUUGUUUCUUAAGAGGUCGGCUCGGCUCGGCUCGGAGCUGCUUCCCUCACUAUCACCCGCUCCUUCAGGAACCCCGACCCCACCAGAACUGUGGUUCUCGCCAGAGCCCGACGCAGGUCCCCCUCUAUUUCCUACAAGCUCUAAUUCAGAGGAGGGUGAAAUGGUCAAGGGACGUGGGUACUCAAGGAUAUCCCUACUAUGGGAUAAGCCUACACUACGAGAGGGAUUCAAAAAAUCAGUGGGUAUGGGCAAGUUAAGGUCUGAAUCCCCAGAUUCUUCAUCACCCUCGUCUGCAAUCAACUUCCUUCUUCGAUUUGACAUACCGGAGUUCCAAAAGAAAACCAAAACAAACCCAAGUACACGAAUACAAAAAGAGACAGUACAGAACCCAAUCAACAACAGCCAAAAAAGAGGUUAAAGGCUAUACCUGGAAUGGACUAACAUUGGUAGCACUGCCGUGACAGAGAAAACACCCAGCAAAUGGAUACUCCGGACGCUGGAAAUGGGAGCAAAGUCCAGAAAAGAAAUUGGUUAGUGACGGAGAAACGAAUCGCAGAAUGAUGAUGAUUUUAGUCUAGGGAUUUGGAACGAAAAGGGGGGAAACGGAAGCAUUUAAGUGAUGGGAUAUGCCAGCUCACUCACCAUAUAUCGAGGAAGGAUAGCCCGUCGUUUCAAAUUUCAAAAUAUGAAGAGUCGGGAAGCGCCACGUCACUAACCGAUACAAGAGGCCAGACUAGAGCAAGCCCAGAUAUGCAAUGGACAGGCUCAUUAAGGCCCAUGCUCAGAAGACCAGAUGAGAAGCCCCGGGCUGGUCGGCUUCAACCAUCAGUUUCUACUCUUAACUCAUUUCACUCGCAAGACCAGAAACUGGGGGACUGGUGUUAAGUAAGUAAAAGCACCAGGUCGGCCGUGCUACUAUUUCCGCCCCGGUAUGGCUCACCUCAAUCGAAUGGUACAAGCAGAGCAUGGAGACGAAUAUGGCCCGACCAGAGAUGAGUACCGACCAGAGGUGUAUGCCGAGCCGAUACCCGUCUCCUGAAAAAGCGGGAACACGAUCCCACAGAAUCGCGGGAUUUGCGUUUUUCCCAGAACCGUUGCGAGAGAUGCGAUACCUCACGUUUACCCGUAAUGUAGCAGUUAAAGUUCCGUGAAAGGCCACCACCUGAAAAAGGAGGGAUGAAGACUGAGCGGGAACGUGGGAUAACGGCUAUAAAAGAAGGAGAAAUCGAUGAAGAAGGGGACAGAAAAAUCAAAAGAGGGAAAACGCUGCCAAAUUAUUGUCAGGCUAUCUUCUUGAAAAUUCCAGAUAAAUCAAAAACUACUCUUGAAUCUAAAUUGCUCUGUUUUCCCGUAAAUACCUUGACCUAACUUAGGCAUCGAAGGGUUUACGCCGGCAAAACCACCGGCGUCUUUGAUCCGUUCUUUUGUGAGCGUAGGUCUAGAAAGAGAAAGGAGGACGAGUCCAAGCCCCGCGGUUCGAACUUGAUAACAUAAUCGUUGGUGGAAAAUUCUGAUCGGUAACAAGGCGAGCAAAUUUAAGCAUCAACAAAAUGAAAAUAAAAAUUCAUUACGAAUACGUGUUAAAGAUAUCCCAAGUAUAGAUGUGACUGAAAUAUUUGAGAUUGAAGAAGAAUUAAGACUCAAAAUCAAUUGGGAGGAAUAAAUGAGAAACCCCAAUACCAAAAAAUACACGCACAAAUCCUAAUACUAAUUGUAAUCACGGAUAAAAAGCAUAAUACGAAUAAAUUAAAUGGGCAACUAUUCCAUUGAGAAAUUAAUUAAAUCGUGUAUUAAUAUUUUGUAUACAUAUAUUUUUCUAUAUAUAACUUUCGGUAAUUUAAUUUUCCACUUAUCAUUUUUACUCCAAAAAAAUAAUUGAGAAUAUUAUUUAUAUUUUGGUGCAAAAUAUUUGAACAAUAUACAAAUUUUCAGUUUAAUAAAUCUAAACAUCUAUUAAGUUAUAAAUGAAUUUAAUGGGUUUAAUUAAUAAAAUUACUAUUAUUAUAUAAAUUGGGUUUAGUAAUGGUAUAUUGGGUGGGUUUGUUGAGUAAAUUUUAAAAUUUUGAAAUUUAAGGAUGGGUUUAUUUAGUAAAUGAGUUAAGGGAGUAGUUUGUUGGGAUUCACAUAGCCCCACCAAAUUCAAAUGUAAAAUUUGUGGAAAAAGAAGCUAUUGAGUUAUUCUUUUAAAAAAAGAAUUAAAAUGUCAAGAAUACCUUUAUUUAAUUUUAUAAUCUUAUUUUAUAGUCAUAUUUUAUUUCCACCUUAACAUAAUUUUAAAAACCUUAACUAAUAAAUUCUAUAUUUUUUUUAUAAAAGUUAUCAUUAAUAUCCAAACGGCUAAAGAUUUUUUUUUUUUUAAAAAAAAAGGAACUAUGCUUACAAAAGUUGUAUACAUUAACAAUAAAUUUAGUCCAAAGAAUAAAGUUAUUCCAAACAAGCACUCCAAUUCAUCUUGCUAAUGAAUCAAGAUGACUGAAUCCUUCUCUAAGCCAAAUCUAUUUUCACUUUUAGGUCAGAAAUUGUCAUUAAAAAAAUGUUUGAUAAAAUAUGCUCUAGGAACACUAAUUCGUCAGAUGGUUACUCCAAGUUUAUGAAAUCAAUGGGAUUUCAUCAUAUUCAUAACAUUCUUCUUUAAUGUCUAUUCUAACAAAGAAAUCAUAUACAGAGAAUAGGUUUCGUUAAAACUUUUACUAGAAAAACUAACCACAAUUCACCAUUCAUUUAUAUCUUAAGUAAGCCUAAGAUUUUAUCAUUAAAAUCCCAUCAUGAAAAAAACUCAUGGGAGAAAAACUAUAAAAAUUGAAGAAAAAAGAGUAUGGCGUGCAUGUAAAUUAUAUCGAUUUUAUCUACAUGACAAAUAAGACUCUCUUUUACAAUGGCACGGAUGCUUCAUUGAGUAAUCAUGAUUCUUGCUGGUAGUGCUUUGUUGUAUCAAUCUGCUAGCUAUUCAGCGUUCUUUCUUUCUUUCUUCUUAUUUUUUUGUUUUCAAAUAGCUUGUGGUUGUAGAAAUAUUUCAAUUAAACUAUACUUAAGUACUUAUUUGGUAUAACUUCUUUACUAACCAAAAGAAUUUUUUUUUUUGGUUUUUUAUAAUUUAAUUAUACUUUAACUAGAGUUUUUGGGAUAAAACAAGUGAUAAUUUCUCUCUAUUAAGAAAAACUCAAAGGGUAGGGCUAUCUCAAUCCACCAAACUAUUUAUUAAAAAUCCACUUAUGAAAAUAAUUUUUAAUUAUUAGAAUGCCUUUACAUUAAAUUAUAAUUAUGGACACUAAAAUAUAAUAAAUUUUUUUUUUACUCUUUAAAACUGUCUUUACAUUUGAUAUCAUAUCUUUUUCUUAAAAUCUAAAUUGAUAUUUUUAUUUUAUUUUUUAUUAAUCUUAGAACACAUAUAAAGUGAUUCAUAUUGAUUUUAUACUAACAAACUAUCACAGCACAUUCGAAAAUAAUUAACUCGUUCUUAUUUGCAUAGUGAAAAGGCAAAUAGCUCAUCCAAAUGUUAAAGAACUGGAGAGCUGCUGCUGGAGAUGAAAGAUAAAUAAUUCUCACUUAGAAGAAGGAGAAAAAAAGGAAAUACAAUUAGAAUGAGAGGUAGCCAGUAGCCACUAGCCGCCACCACCACCAGUGAAACUAUUUCACAUAAUAGAAGAUAAAGCACGCGUAAUGGAGGCAAAAAGCAAGUAAUGAUAACUCUUUUCGACACACUAAUACAUAUCAAAAUGCAAUAUCGGUCCUAACAAAAUGAAAAUAAAAAUUCAUUACGAAUAUGUGUUAAAGAUAUCCCAAGUAUUGAUGUGAUUGAAAUAUUUGAGAUUGAAGUAGAAAUAAGACUCAAAAUUAAUUGAGAGGAAUAAAUGAGAAACCCAAAUAUUAAUAAAAUACACGUGCAAAUCCUAAUGCUAAUUAAAAUCACGGAUUAAAAAUAAUAAUAAUAUGAAUGAAUUACAGGCGCAACUGUUUCAUUAAGAAAUUAAUUAAAUCGUGUAUUAAUAUUUUGUACACAUACAUUUUUCCAUAUAUAACUUUCGGUAAUUUAGUUUUCACUUAUCAUCUUUACUCCAAAAAAAAAAUUGAGAAUAUUAUUUAUGUUUUGGUGUAAAAUAUUUGAAUAAUAUACAAAUUUUCUGUUUAAUAAAUCUAAACAUUUCUCCAGUUAUAAAUGAAUUUAAUAGGUUUAAUUAGUAAAAAUAUUAUUAUUAUAUAAAUUGGGUUUGGUAAUGGUAUAUUGGGUAUUUAAAUGGGUUUGUUGAGUAAAUUUUAAAAUUUUAAAAUUCAAGGGUGGGUUUAUUUUAGUAAAUGGGUUAAGGCAGCAAUUUCCCAAACUAAAAUUUUUAGAAAAAGACGCUAUUGAGUUUUUUUUUUUUUUAAAAAAAGAAUUAAAAUGUUGAGAAUACCUUUAUUUAAUUUUAUAAUCUUAUUUUAAAAAAUUUACCCAAUAAAUUUUAUAAUUUUUAUAAAAAUUAUCAUUAACAUCCAAACAGCUAAAGAUUAAAAAAAAAAAAAAAGAAGAAGGGAACUGUACGAGCAAAAGUUACAUUAACAAUAAAUUUAGUCCAAAGAAUAAAGUUACAGCUAAAAAGUGCUCCUAUCCUAUUUUUCUCUAUUUUAACAAUAAUCUUCUUCCAAUCCGUUUUACAAUGGACUUUAACAAAUGGGCUCAAUCUCUAAACUUCAUUUUCUUUUGCUUACCCAUGGCCAUUAGCCAGAAAGCCUAAAACAAGACCAGCCCAUAUAUAUAAUUUUUUUUAAAAAAAAGUAAAAAUGUGUGAGAGCUUGUAGCAUUACAAUUUUAGGAUCACAUGUGUAAAUGGAACCCCAACAUUGAUCAAGAAUUAACAAGACAAGAUGAAGAGAUGAUCUUGUAACUAAGAAUGAAGAAAUUGAAUCAAGACAGUACUCUAGUAAAACCCAGAAAACAGAGCUUGAAGAAUCACGCACAAAGCAGUAAAUUUGUAAAACCAGAAUUGGAGCUUCACUUCUCAAGAGAGACGAAACAGGAUACAGUCUAGCUUUAGCCAAAGUGAUAAACUCGUAAUUAUUCUACAAAGGGAACAAUUUUGAACAGUGGGAAAUUCCAUAAUUAUUCUUUUCGGUGAAUUAUUUUAAAUAAAAUUAUAAAAACCAAUAUAAAAUUAUUACCCAGUAAAGACUUUAGAGAGACAAGUGCUCCCAACAGGAUCAAGUGAAUAUGCCCCACAAAGAUCAUUUCUUGUUCUUUUUCUUUUUGACAAUUUUAUCUGUGGUUUCAACUUUUAUGCUUUAUUGUCGUAUCCCGUUGAGGGCUCCGCUGCACCCAUUACAACUUACCCCUAAAUUGCCUCUUACUAACUAAACCGUUAGAUUUUAUGGAAGCACGUUCAAUGCUGAAUUUUAAUUAUGUCAUCAAAUUUCGUUUAGCUCCUUAAACUCCAUUUUAUUUGUAAUUUCUUCAUAAAAUAUUCAAAGCUUCAUCAAGCUCCUGAUGGACCAUCAUGGCUAGGGGUGCAUUAGAGCCGAACUGAAAUAUGUUAGUUCAGUUCAGUUUGGUCAGUUUAAAUCGAAUGGUUUAGAAUAUAUAAACUGAUCAAUUUUAAUUUUUAAUUGAACCGAAAAUCAAUUGGUUCAUUAUUAGUAUUUUUUUAUAAACAUGAAUUAUUAGUGAUUGUAAUUAAAUUGGACUAAAAAAAAUUCAAACUAAGGUGAAAAAUAUAAAAUCUUAGACAAUAUAAAAGAAAAAAUAUUAAAUUUUUUUAACCGAAUUAUUUUGACUCAAUUUGGUUCAUAAUUUUUUAAACCAAAUGGAACCCUCAUAACAAAAAACUAACAGAAACAAUAAGAACACGAUGUUAAAAUCUUAAAUCAAUCGCAAAAAAGCACCCAAAACAGAUCGAUUAGGAACAGUUAACAACAAAAGAUUUGAUGGUUCAAAAUCAUAAUGUGACCUACUUCCAUCCAAGAAUUAUACUAAUUUCUUUACUAGUUGUCAAAUACAAGAUCACAAGAUUAUUUAUCACUCUAUAGAGAAAAAAUUUUUAGAAGAAAUACUCCCCAAUUUUUCUCUUGAUAGUUAUGAAUCAACACCCCUAGAAAGGCUAUUGAUUUACUUUUCCUUAUUUCAUAUGAUCGGUUGCUGCAACUUAAUCCUUGCCAAGUUCCAACAUAGUCCAAACAUUUUUCAUGGUACAUGCAUAGUGCACCUUCAGAAACUUUACAGCUCUUCUUAAAACCUCAGUUCUCGUGAUGUUUCUGAUUUAUUUCUGGGACGAGUAACACUUUUGUUGAACCUAGACCAGAUUUAGUAUCCAAUCAAGAAUUUCCAGGAUCUAGCUGAACUCUCUAAUCAAGACCUAAAGAAUAGUUAAUCAAAUCCACACAAAAGAAUCACCCAAAAACAGUAUACAAAGAACAACAAAUAUAAGUGGUUUUGAGAUAAAUGUAAUUGACUUCUGAGCAUGACUUAAUUUUGAGAUCAUUACUUUUAGUUAAAUGAUCUCCUCCAGAGCUUCUACCUAUGUAGUGUUUUUAGACCUCUAUAGUUGAUAAAGCACGUUCAAGGUGAAGGCUUGUUUUCCAAUCUAUAGUCCAAUUAUAGACUGGAAAUGGUCAGGCUUAAUGCACCUUCAAAAGCUUCACAAUUUGUAUUGAAACCUUAAGCCUCAGAAUGCUACAAAUUUUAAAUCCAUAUACUUAGUGCUCUUAUGAUUUGUUUGAUUUUUACUUAGAUGAAGAGCAUUUUAGCUAUAGAAAACAUUGUAACUAAUUCAAAGCAUGCCUUAGCUACGAGAUCAUUCAUUCUAGCCAAAUGCCCCCUUUAGAGAUUCUGCUAUUGUUGUGUAUUCAGCCUCUAUAUUUGGCAAAGCAAUUACAUGUCGAAGGCUUGCUUUCCAGUUAACAGCGCAAUUACAUAGAUUAAAGGUGUAACCAGGCAAAGAACUUAGUUAUUCUGCCAAGGUCUCCAACAUACUCCAAAUCCAUAUAACCACCAGACUUCAAUCUUUAGACUCCAUAGAUCAAACCAUAACUUAGUGUGCCUUUCAAUCUCAGGUAACAUUUUACUGUUUUCCACGUCUUGCCAUGUACUUGCUGCUAACACUAACAAUUUGAGAAAUGUUAGGCAUCGUAAGCAGCCGACAACACUCUUCUUCAUUUCUUCAUUGUCAAUUUCCUUCUUGGAACAUUGCUCCAUUGAGAGUCUGCUAUCAUUGCUCCAAUUAUUAUUAUUUUUGUUUUUUUAAAAAAAAAAAUUAACCGUGCAAUAAGAGUAUAAGACUAAGCAACGGUCCUUUUUUUUUUCCCAUUCUUGAACAUGAAGUAUUUGAGUAUGCAAUAAAAAUUGUUUAUUGAUAAUUAAAAGUUAAUAGUGGGUGGCUUUAGGAUUUGUUUACAAAAUUGACAACAAAUUAAGAUUUUUCAAAUUCAUAGGUAAGAAACUUUUCAUUUAUUCAUAGAUUUUCCGGUUUAAACUUUAAAGGAAACUUAAAAGAAAAAGAUGUAUCAUUAGAUUUGUAAUUAAAAAAAUUUAAUAUUGUAUGAUCUGUUCGAUAUGCAUAAUUUAAAUAAACAUUAAUAUAGAUGUUAUAUAUCCUAAAACUUAAUUGACUUAAUUCUUACGGUGCAAGGAAGACGUUUCCAAGUUUAAAUCUAAUUUGGGGUCGGGAAAGCACUGGGAAAUAAAUGUAACAAAGGAAAAAAGAAAAGAAUGACAGUCUGAGUGGAGCCAACACGGUUUUGAAAAAAGUGCAAAAAAGGGUUUUAGGAUAUAUUCUAUUAUCGUUUGUUUGCUUGCUUGUGGAAAUAAAAGUCUCAUGUUUCUUUGAAAGGUAAGCAAGUGUGAAUGUUUCUAUCUAGAGCUGGAAAAUGCAUUUCCGUGCAACUUACUUGAUGAAUGAAGUUUUCAUCUCUGACCUUGAUGUUUCCCAGAGCUGCAUUCAUUUCAGCUGAUCUAUUUCAUUUCGUUUGCAAAGGAGUGACACAAAACCUCCUUUGUUAAGGGGAGAAUUUAGAGUGGCUUCAACGGUUAACAAAUAGCCUAAUGUAAGACUUAAUCAAUUUCCUGCCCGGUUGCUUACCACUACUUAUCACUUUAACGUAUGAAACCUAAUCAAGAUUCCUUUGAUGAUUUUUCUAUUUGCUAAUUGAUUGAUAAGCUCUUCAGUGAAGAUAUAGUGUCCGCAAGCCAUAUGUUGAUAGAGUUAGAGUUUGCAGAAGCUACUGUACCAUAUGUUGUUAGAGGCGGUAAAAACGGAGGCAGAUCAACACACAUUUAAAUUUCAAUGACAAUUUACUGGAAAUAAAUUUCCUAUGACCCUACAUGUGACUAAUUGAUGAGAACUUGACAAUGACAAAAGAAAGUGUAUGAGCUUUGCAGGCUGGCUUGCCAAUAUUGACUGUAUGGCACCAUCCGCAAGUAAGUAUCAUUACUGUUUAAUCAACUUGGUGGAGUCCACUGGGACCACCCCACAUGGUCAGUCUUAUCUCUACUCCUAAAUUUUCAAUAUUCCAUACAUCAAACCAAUUGCAGUUUUGAUAUCAAAUUCAAUUUUAUUGUUGGUGACGAUUCUGAUUCCUUUCAUUCUCACAAAACGGAACCAUGGUUGCUGUUGGAGAGAUCUUACUCAACGCCUUCCUUGAGGUGUUGUUUGACAGGUUGGCUUCUCGUAAUUUGCUCCGCUUUGUGCGUCAACUCCAAGGCGGGGUUGAUUCGGAGCUCAAGAAGUGGGAGAAAAAGCUGAAGAUGAUUCAGGCUGUGCUCUGCGAUGCAGAGGAGAAGCAACUGACCGAUGAGGCUGUGAAGAUGUGGCUGGACGAACUCCAAGACUUAGCUUUUGACGCUGAGGACAUUCUUGAUGAGUUUGCUACUCAAGCUUUGGAAAGCAAGUUGAUGGCGCAAAACCAGGAUAGCUCUGGCCAGGUUCUCAGUCUCAUCCCGGCUAGUUUGAAUCCGAAUGCUAUUAUGUUCAAUUAUAGCAUGGGGUCCAAGAUUAAAGAUAUGACUAGCCGGCUGGAGCAACUCUGCCAAGAAAGAAUUGAACUUGGACUGCAACGGCUUACUGGAGGGGCGUCAUCAACCGCUGCUGCUGCACACCGGAGGCCACCCAGUUCGAGUGUCCGAACAGAACGUGAAGUAUUUGGAAGAGAAGAAGAUAAGGCCAAAAUUCUUGAUAUGGUCAAUACCCCAAGUGAUCACGCCAACUUUGUUGUAAUACCUAUUGUUGGAAUGGGCGGGAUAGGAAAAACAACUCUUGCUCGGGAGGUCUACAAUGACAAGGCAGUUGAGGAUUCCAAGUUUGACGUAAAAGCAUGGGUUUGUGUCUCCGACAACUUUGAUGUUUUCAACAUUUCAAAGGCACUUCUCGAGUCAAUCACCUCCGCAGCUAGUGAUCUCAAGACUUUAAAUGAAGUGCAGGUUCAACUGAAAAAAGCAGUGGACGGAAAAAGAUUCUUGCUGGUCUUAGAUGAUGUUUGGAACGAGGACUACAGCUUGUGGGUAGACUUAAAAGCUCCGUUCCUGGGUGCUGCACCAAACAGUAAGAUGAUCGUCACCACACGCAAUUUAAACGUUGCAUCAACAAUGGGACCAAUUGAACAUUAUAAUCUCAAGAGUCUGUUAGAUGAUGAUUGCUGGUCCAUUUUCAUACAGCAUGCAUUUGAAGGUAGAGAUCUUAACGCAUAUCAAAUUUCAGAAUCAUUCAGCAAGAAAGUUGUUGGCAAGUGUGGGGGCUUGCCUCUGGCAGCAAAAACGCUCGGGGACUUCUGCGCACAACAAGGCAUGAUGCGUGGGACGAUAUAUUGGAUAGCAAAAUAUGGGAUUUACAUCAACAAAGCAGCAUUCUCCCUGUGUUAAGAUUGAGUUACCAUCAUCUUCCGUCUCAUUUGAAAAGAUGUUUUGCUUUUUGUGCCAUCUUUCCAAAAGAUUAUGCAUUCACUGAGAGGGAGCUGACUUUCUUAUGGAUGGCUGGAGGUAUUAUUCGACAGUCAAGAAACAAUGAGCAGCUGGAAGAUUUGGGCAGCAAGUGCUUUGGUGAUCUAGUGUCGAGGUCAAUUUUUCAGCAAACAGCAAGCUCUGAUAGUUCUAAAUUUGUAAUGCAUGACCUUAUUCAUGAUCUUGCUGAAUUGGUCUCUGGAGAAACCAUAUUCAGGUUAGAGGAGGCCAAUACUCGGUCAAGAAGAUUUGAAAGGGUUCGCCAUUCUUCCUAUGCUUGUGGUGGAUGUGAUGGUAAAAAUAUGUUCGUGGUUUUCAAUGAAAUUGAACAUCUACGAACAUUCUUGCCAUUACGCUUACGCAGAAGAGGUGGCUCUAAUGCUGGUUACAUAACUCGUACGGUUCUAUCUGAUUUGCUGCCGAAGUUCAAAAGGUUGAGAAUGCUAUCUUUACAAGGAUACUGUAUUGGUGAGUUACCAAUUCCAUUUGAAGAUUUGAGACUUUUAAGGUUUCUCAACCUUGCUGACACUGACAUAAGAAGUUUACCCGAGUCAACAUGCAAAUUGCUGAACUUGGAAAUUUUUAUAUUAAGAAAUUGUUCCCGUUUGAUAAAGCUUCCACCCAAAAUGAGGAAUUUGAUCAAUUUACGCCAUUUGGAUUUAAGAGGUGCGAAGUUGCUGAAGGAGAUGCCAUUCGGAAUGAAAGAGUUGAAGAAGCUUCAAACAUUGUCCAAUUUCAUCGUGGGCAAGGGCGAAACUGCAUCUGGUUUGGAAGAUUUAAAAUGUUUAAAC
Molecule: long non-coding RNA, 170306 nt
Filed under: Citrus maxima (pomelo)
Lineage: Eukaryota; Viridiplantae; Streptophyta; Magnoliopsida; Sapindales; Rutaceae
Description: long non-coding RNA (CMAX_LNC000711)
Source: RNAcentral